Molecule: long non-coding RNA, 90660 nt
Filed under: Ananas comosus (pineapple)
Lineage: Eukaryota; Viridiplantae; Streptophyta; Magnoliopsida; Poales; Bromeliaceae
Source: RNAcentral
UGUCAUCAAUUACAAUACUACUACACCACCUAUAUAUUAGCAAUAUAUAAAUAUUUAGUCGACUAAAUGGGAUUAUAGGACUUGAUUAUAAUAAUUAUUAAAGUUCGAGCUAGAAAUUAUAAUAAAUUAAAGUUUGAGGACUAAAUUGUCACCUGCCUCACAGUUUGAGAAUCAAAUACGCAAUUAUUUUGGAAUUAUUUUAGAAUAAUGAAUUUAUUUAUCAUUAAAAAAUAACUUAAUUUUUAUUUAUGAUUUAGUUUAUAAAUAUGUUAUAAUGUACUGAAUUUUGAUUAAAUUAAUAAAGUACGAAUUAAUUCAUGUUAAACAUGACUAAAAUAGGUUUCGAAAAGUUUAGACUAAAUUUGGAUGUUAAAAGGAAUUCGGAUUGAGACAGAAUUUAAAACUUUGAAAAUAGAGUUUCAGGUAAAUUUCAGAUGCCCGAAACCGAUAUCAAGCACUAGGAAGAGGUUUCAGAGGGUCCUAUGUGGGAGAAAUUCUAUACUAUCACACUUGCACUACGUCAUCAAUAAUAAACCAAUCACAUUCCUUCUUUUCAACCAAAAGGACAAUAAAAAUAUUUUUUUACAAUCAUGAUGGGACAUAUACUCUUAAAAUGAGACAUUUGAUUAAUUUGUUACGCCACGUCAUCAAUAUAUCCGUUGCAUUUUAGAAUUUUUCCCUAUGUGGAGCCCGAAACCUGGCGCAAACAGCAUGUUUUGUCCUUUUGCAAAUAAUGAAGUGUGAGCGGUUUAGUUGCCAUUAUUGCAACCCGAUGAAUUUUGAUGGAAAGAAAAGUGCAGUAAAACUUUGGUAUAGUUUUGUUCCUGGAUAAGUAAAAAGUUGCUAUUUCAGAGAUAGAUAUAAAUUGAGAUAUAAGCGGGGAUUAGAUCAAUUUUGUGUUUGGAUGAAAAUUGGAUUAUUCCUGAGAAUAAAAAAAUAGCGCUUGGUUAGGUAAGAUAGAAUAAGAAGGAUAAUAGGUUUUAUAAAUAAAAAAUAAUGAUAAUUACCCUUUUAUUAUAUUUUAAUUUGAAUUUUUAAAAUUUUAAAUUUAUAUUUUUAAAUUUAAAAUUUUAACUUUUAAAUUUCAAAAUUUUAAAUUUAAAAUCUUCAAAAUUAAAUUCAAUUUUAAAUUUUAAAUUUUAAUUUCAAACUUUAAAAUUAAAAUCAAAUUUAAAUUUGAAAAAUUAAAAUAUCAAAUUUUAAUUUCAAAUUUUAAAUAUCAAAAUUUAUAAUUAAAAAUUAGAAUUUAGAAUUUAAAAUUAUAAACUUUAAUUGAGAUUACAAAAUAUAAAUUAUAAAUUUUAAAAUUUUAAAAUUUAACUAUAUUAAUUAGAUAAAUAAUAAUAAAUUAUAAAUAAAUUUUUAUUUAAUAUUUUAUUAAUUUAAUUAACUUAAAUAAUCUAAUGUCAAUUAUUAAAAAAAUUAAUUAUAUUAAUUAAUUAUAAUUUAUAAUUAUUUAUAACUUAAUUAGUAGAGGAAUAAAUUAGAUAAUAGCUUGUUCCACCUAAUAGAUGGAACUACUAUUCUCCCUUCUUAACGGGUUAUUUCGAAAUAACCCGUUAACACAAAGAUAAAUUAACAUGUAAACUUUGUUUGGUGUUUGGCAAGAAUAGUGGGAUAAAAAGGGUUAUUACCCUUUUAUUCCACAACCAAACGGGCCUAAAAGAACAAUAAAUAAGAGUAAUGCUACAGGUAUAUCCUAAACUGAAAUGUACAUUUUACACAUACUUCAUUUUGAAGUCAUUUUUAUUACAUUAAUUUUUUUAAAUUUUACUAAAAAUUAAUUCAAUUUUAUCAAUUCUAAGAUUAUAGGUGUAAGAUCUACACUCCAAGAAGAGUGUACAAGAAGUAUUUUUCGUUAUUGAAAUUUAUAUGAGUUGUUAGAAUUUUUAAUGAGAAUAUUAGAAUUAUACGUUAACUAGUUAUUAUAAUUUUUGUGUGAUUAUUAUGAUUGUACAAGAAGAAAAUAAGAAAGAAACGAUAAGCUAUUUAUUACUAAAAAUUGAUUUCAGUGUUUGCUCUAUCUUGGAAUUAGAGAAGUUAUUUGGUAAAAUAUAAGUUCUUUAAGGGGAUUCUGUGAGGAAAAAAAAUCUAAUUGCGUACAGGUCUCUACAAAUAUAGCGAAUUGCAAAUAUAUUUCUAUAAAGUUCAACUUUUAUAUGUUGUCCCUAUAAAAGUUCUAAUAUUUUUAAAUAUGUCCCUACCAUUAGGAUCAGUUAGAAAAAAUUAGUUAAUCAUACAUAAAAUACUUAACCCUAAUUAGUUAAUAAGAUGAAUUGACUUUUUUAUCCUUUUUCAAUUAAUAAUUGGGAUUUUUGGAAGGAUGUAUUUGUUAUCACAAAAAGAUCAUUUUAUUUAUAAAAUAAAUAAUACUUUAACGCUAAAAAAAUAAAAGAACAUAUUUAAAAAUAUUAUAAUUUUUAGAAAAAUUUCAAACAAAAUUCCUGUAGUUUCGCACUUUCUCACUUUAGUACCCUAUGGUUUAAAAUGCAUCAAUUUACCCCAAAUGUGGUUUUGUUUUUAUCUUUUCGGCAGAAUUUUUCUUAAUAUUUAGUUAAAUUAUAUACAAAAAAACUUCAGAUACCCACAUAGAUUUAUCGAAUAUUUACUUUAGUACUCUUUAAUUUUAUUUUGUCACUGAUUUAAAAAAACAAUAAAAUAAAAUUGAUAAUAAAAAAAUUGAUAAUAAAAAGAGAAAAAUAAAAUCACAGGGGCAAAUUGAUACACUUUAAACCACAGGAUACUAAAGUAAGAACGUGCGAAACAACAGGGAUUUUUUUUUUUUUUUUUGAAGUUAUCCGUAAUUUUUAUAAAAGUAAAUAUAAAAAUUAAAUUUUAUAAAAAUAUAUUUAUGAUUUAUUUACUAUGUUUCAGACGUUAAUAGGGACUCGUGGAGUUCAAAGGGUACAGCGGCGUGCUUAUAAACCCUCGUGUCGUGUUGUGCUCGCAAAUCCUAACAUUUUUUUGAUCCAUUCCUUCUUUAUGGGACAAACUCAGAGCUUCACCGCCGCCGACAACCGCCAAAUAUCGCCGCCGCCGCCUCCGCCUCCGCCGCCGCCGCCGCCGCCGUCGCCGACGACGACGACCGUCGAGCCGCCGCCGCCGCCGCCUUCUAUGGAAGCUCUGGUCUCAGGUCCAAAUCCCAUCUUUUGUUUUAAUCCAAACCAUGGAAAAAAAACAUGAUCCGUGCAGCGAAAAUUCUUAAUUUUUUCUCUGUUACUCCUAUUUUGGGAUUGCUGUUCUCAAAGCGAUUUUACGCUAUGAAAGAUCCAAAAAAAAAAAAAAUCAAAAACGCUUUAAAUUGCGGUUGAGGAAGUACAAAAUAUCUUAUUUAUUUUUGUACGUGAUGUCUCGUUUCGUAUAUCAUAAUCAGUGACGUAUUUUUCACGGUCUCAUCCGAAAAAAGCCGAAGCAUAUCCGUUUAUACUUGCACCCCAAUUUUAUUUUAUUCGUAUUAAAUGAGCCUCAAUAUUAAAUGGACCACUACUGUUCUCAAAAAAGCUUAGGCUGUUAGACCGCGGUGCUGUAAUACUGUGUGUUGUCACUCAUUAUGUCUAGGCUCGAGAUGUUUUUAAUACGCGUGUGAUAGUGACAUAAAUUAAAAGGGAGGAAAUUAAGUGAGACUAGGAGUUUGGUAGGAUUCGAGCUUGGAGCGUCUUGCUCUCGCGCCAUAAGAAUGAUGUGAAACAUGAGUGUUUGGUUUGGUUCCUCAGAAAAGCGUGAACAACUAUUUUCUAGGAAAAAAGUUUUCCAUAAAAAAAACACUUAUUUUCCAACGUUUUUAUUUUCCGUAUAAAAAAUUUGAAAAACGAAAAUACUAUUUUGCCAUGAAAUCUGGAAAAAAAAACUUUUUUUAAGAAAACUACUUUUUCUAGAAACCAAAUGGGCGGAAAAUACUUUUCCAGUUGGAGAACUAUUUUUUAGGAUAUCUGCCGGAAAACCAAACACAGAGUAAGUUGCCAGAAAACGGUGUUUUCAUAUUGUAUAUUCAACAUGAACGAUCACUUUUGGGCUGAAUUUAAUACUUAUUAUUCCUGCUCAUUGUUGAACAGAAGGCUUACCUGAACUGUUUGUGGCGGCCACUACAAUCGCGUUAAGAAUCAUAGUCUUGUGAAAUGUUGGGGAGAAAAAGGCGUAGUUUGGUAUUGCCGCUAUUUUGUUGUUCUCGGUAUUGCAAUUUCUAUUCUUGGCAUUGAUGCUUAGCUUGAGAUCCGUCUUAGCCGUAUGCAGAAUGACAUCUUCUUAUUAAAAAAAUAACAAGAAAAUAAGUUACUGAAAAUUUUGUUUUCUGUCGCCAAACAGACUCCAUAGAUAAUGUGGAUUGGAAGCAAAUAGUUACCUGCCGGCGCACUCCAGACUCCAGAUAGAAUUUGUGUAGAAAAUGAAAAGAUUCUGACAACAAUUGCCGAUGAGGCGUAAAUUCACUGUUUUCAUACCGUGUCUCUGUAUGACUGUAAACUAGUUAACCCAGUAGAAGUUUGUCAGUAAUAAGCUUAUCUGAUAAGGAAGGAAAGAAAAUAGAAAAAGGAAUACCUCUGUCGCAUACUGCGAUUCAAAGUUGGUUCUACUAAACAUUCUAGUUGAAUAUUCUGAUUGAUGUUCUCUAUGUUUCCUGUGGACAGAAGCGAUGGCUUUUGGCGAGGAUGGGAGUGAGGAGGUCCGUAUGUUUCUAUCGCUCUAACAAAGCAUGCUUGUUCUUUAAUAUCCGUAUUGUCAAUUGUUUCUUACACUCUUUGCCCGACAUGUAUUUUGAUCCUUAGAGAAUAUCAUUACUUUUGCAGUCGCUGGAUGCGAAGGUUCAGAAAGCAUUGGAAUGCCCGUGUGUCGCCGGCUUGAGAAGUGGUCCUUGUGGGGCUCAGUUCACGGAAGCAUUUGCUUGCUUUCUCAGGAGCACUGCCGAAGAAAAGGUUCAAGUCAUCUAUUAUUAUCAUUUAAGCGACUAGAGUAGUUAGAUUCCGUUGUUUCGUUUCAGUGGAAAAUCCUUGCAUGAAGUUUAGUUUGCUGUUUGAUUAUGUAGGGAUCGGACUGCGUUAGUCCCUUUAUCGCCUUGCAGAAUUGCAUCAAAGCAAACCCAAAUGCAUUUUCGAAGGAUGUUUUGGAGGAGGAAGAAGAAGAUAAUGAAAGUGGUCAAGAGGACAAGAAGAUGUCAAAUUAUAGAAUCAAAGCUCCAGCUUGGUCUAGAGAGACUAGGUCAAAAAUGUGAGAUGUAUUCAUUUUUUCUGUAAUAUUUGCAAUAAAUAAUUAUGGUAGAUCACGACAAAUGGAAAAUUUUGAAAGCUUUACAAAGUCAAAGGCGGCAAAAUUGGCCGAGCUUAUGUGCUAGGUAGCGCCUUAUUCUAUUUUUAUUUUAUUUAUGAACAUCUAUUUGCUCACAACCUUUCUCGACAGUAGCAGAUUUAAAACUCUACCGCGAAUGCAGAAAAGAAUUCUUUAAACUUGUAUAUACAUAAGUUAUUCGUCUGGGUAAGUUACACUGAUGAUUAUUGGACUCUCUGCAAUUUUCAACUCUAAUCCUCUUUCUUCAAGCUAAAGCAGCAGUGCUUGAGUUUAAAGACGAGGGAUUAAAGAAAAACUUAUACUAGUGCUGCUUUCAGUCUGGGACUCUCUCAGUACCAAAUUAUCAGGAUCUGUGAUCAGAGUCCCAGACCAUGGAUGAGAAUCAUGGAGUCCAUUAUUCAGGAAAAGUAAAGGAAAUAUUGGUAUACUGAUAUCGAUUGCUCGACAGACAAAAUGAUCAAUUUGUUAAAUUCAUUACAGUACUUUGAAAGGUGAUGAAGGAUUUCUUUUCUGCGCUCUUUCUUUUUGAGAUGAAUGUGCAAUGACCGCGUUUUAGUUGGCGGAGCUUAAGUUUUUCAAUUUAUCAUCUGUUUUUGUUUCAUUGUUUCAUUGAGAUAUUCAUCUAUUUCUUGUGAAAAUUCUUGGUACCUGUGUUUUGUUUGAGCAGAGUGUUUGAUUCUCUUCUUAUGUACUGGAAUUGAAACAUCUUUUGUUACUGUUUUAUUUGCUUCAAAAUAUUUUCAUAGAAAUUGCUUAUGAUUUUCCCUGUGCGCAUUUUCGGUUUCAUUGAGUAGGUAUUGGGGACUAUACAUAGAGUGGAAAUAAUAUCAAACAUUUACGGAAUAAAUUAGCAAAAUUAUUUCUCUUCAUGGAUGAUAAAUUGAUAAUACAGAGAGAUUGAUCUAUCACAUGAAUUUUUUUUUAAAUUCUUUUUAUUACAUAGCUUUAGCUUUGGUUGAAGUAGCUUGUAGUUUCAGCAUGCUUAUACUCCCAGAUAUUUGUGUAUAACAUUUUUAUGCAUGCCUCAAUUGCUGAUGUGUCUCCACUGCUAGUGUAAAUUGGGCUGGAUUAGAACUUAAAGCUUGCUUGCAGAGUAAAUAGUUUCUUUGGGUCAAGUACGCCCCUUAAACUCUAUUGAUUUUACAAUUAGGCGUUUCAAAUUUUAAUUUUAGCAAUUAGGCCAUCUAAAAUUUUAUUAAAGAAUUUAAUUAGUUUCUCUCCUACAGCGAGGUUAUUGAUUUAAUAGUCAUUUUGAUCACAUAUCUUGUACACGAUGUUCUAUAACUUUACGAUGAAAAGAGAUCUAUGUCUUUCCUUGUGGUUGUGAUACUUACUCACGAGGAUUGAAAAAUCGAGUAAAUUCAUCUCCAAUUUUUUUUUUCUGUUAGAAUAAAAAAAUAUAUUAUUUUUUUGUGUUUUAAAGCAUUAAAAGAUUAUUUACAAACAAGCGAUCAGAAACGUUAUGUAAUUAGUUACUUCAAUUGGGGAGAGAAGCCUAUUAAAUUGUUCGAUUUAGAAGCCUACUUGUAAGUAUGGUGAGUUUAAGAAAUCUUUGUAUAUUUUUUUUGUUAUGUAUUUUAUUUUUUUAAGUGCAGUUUAAUGAAUUUGAAUCAUGUGAUAAUCAGGGGAAAGCAAACAGGCCCACGCGAUUUGAGCCUAAAGGUCUCCGAGUUUAAGUCAUAUUUGAAGUAUGAUGUAAAGAAUAGGUAGCACGCUAUCUGCUUCAUUCAUUGAAUGAAUGAAUUAAGCUACAAGGGUGAGGCAACCAGGUGCCUCAAGAAAAAAACCGCACUAGAAGGGACUAGGCAUAAAAAAAAAAAAAACCAACGAUCAUAGGAGAUAUUUCCAAGAAGAAUCUUUCCAAGAAGAAAGCAGCAGCUUGAGCUUUUGAAUGGCAAAAAACAAGGUCAAGCUAUAAGUUACGAAAGAUAAGGUUGUUCCUGGCCUUCCAAAUGGUCCACUAGUAGGCGACCAAUUUGGAAAGUCCAUUGCUCCUAUUUCAUAAAGACACAUUAAGUGAAUAGAUGGUCCAUUGACUUGUCGUGAGCCCUGCACAACACACAGGCCGUAUCUCCAAACCACCCUCUCUUUUUGAGGUUAUCGGUUGUAAGUGGUCUUUUCUUAAGGACUAGCCAGCAGAAUAUUUUGACCUUGAGCGGUAUUCGGAGCCUCCAGACCAUGUUAGCACGUCCAUCCCUCGUACCCCCAUCACUCAACAUUCUAUAAACCGAUUUGACUGAAAAUAUACCGUUGCUACACCAUCUCCACCUUAUUGUGUCCGGCCUGAGUCCUAUUUUAAAGCUGCUGACCCUAUCUUUGAGCGCCGAAAGGUUGGGACUUAGGCCAGGCGUAAAGAGUGACUCACGCCCAGGAUCCUAGUCCAGUUCCAGUCCUCACUUCCAAAGCAAUCCCUGACCAGAAUUGGAUUGCAAUCCAGCAACGUGUAAACCUCCGGGAAGGGCGUUUGAAGUGUGGUAUCCCCGCACCAUCUGUCCGACCAAAAGUCAAUAGAGCUCCCAUUGCCCAGCUUACAGUUGAUUCCUCAUUUGAAGAUAGCGUUGGUUGUUAGAACUCCUUUCCACCAGUGUAAGAGAGGCCUGAAGCAUUUUCCCUCCCACAGAGGCCUUCUUCUUUGGUAGUAUAAGGCAUGGGUAAUCUUGAUCCACUGCAGGUGAGGUGUUGUGUGAAACCUCCUCCACCAUUUGACCAGGAGCGCCUGAUUCAUGAUAGCAACAUCCAGAAUGCCUAACCCGCCUAUCAUUUUGCUCAAGUAGACGUUCUUCCAUGCAACUAGGCACCCCUUGCCUGAGGAGUUGCUUCUGCCGCUCUAAAAGAAAUCUCUACGUAGGGCUUCGAUGCGCUUGAUCACCCAACUGGGUGCCUUGAAUACCGACAGAAAGUAAAGAGGUAGGUUAGUAAGCAUAGUGUUCACCAGAAUAAGUCUACCCUUUCUUGAGAGGAGUUUGGCUUUCCAUCCAUCGAUUCUGUGUUGCAAUUUCUGAAUUACCUCUCUCCAUGCCUCCUUUGUAGGGGGUUUUGUGGAGAGGCGAAAUCCUAAGUAGGUGGUGGGGAAGGUGCCAACUUUGCAAUCAAGCAAGUUCGCUAGACUUGCCGCUUUGCCCUCAGUCUGUCCAAGGUAGUAGAGCUCAGACUUAUCUCUGUUGAUUUUCAAACUAGAAGCCCACUCGAAAAGGUGCCACAUCAGUCUGAGAUUUCUCAUAUAUCUUUUCCUAGCCACAGAGAAGAAGAAAGUAUCAUCCGCAAACUGUGUGAGGGUCGUUGUACUUUCGUUUGAUGGACCAAUACUCUUGAAGAGGUUGUUAGAAGUAGCCUCGCUGGUUAAUCUGGCGAGACACUCCGUCACCAACAAGAACUGGAAUGGUGAUAACGGGCCCUUUGUCGUAUUCCUCUCUUAGUUUUGAUCCAAUUGGUCGCCUCUCCAUUGACCAAUAUAGCUACUUUGGCGUUGCAUACACAUUGUUCGAUCCAGUCAGACCAUUUUGCAUCGAAUCUCCAGUGGAUCCUAUCGUAAGCUUUUUCGAAGUCCACUUAUAUGCCGACCCCCUCGGUAGCCUUCUUACUACCUCAUCCAAUUAGCUCUGAGACGGUGACAUAUGCGUCGGUGAUGUUCCUCCCUUUCAAGAAUGCUAAUUAAGAGGGUGAAAUUAACUCGUUCAUCACUGCUGCAAUACGAUUUGCUAGGACCUUCGAGAUGAUCUUUUGGAUACCGUUAAUGAGGCUGAUAGGUCGAAAGUCAUUUACUUUCUCCGCCCCUUCUUUCUUGGGGAUUAGACAAAUAAAGGAGUAGUCGAAGAGAGCGGUGGAUAGCCUGUCCUCGUACAACUCCUAGAACAAGUUGAGUAGAUCACCCUUGAUGGUCUCUCAGAAAGUUUGGUAAAACCUUAAUGGGAACCCAUCAGGACCCGGAGCUUUAUCACAACCUAUAUGGAAUACCGCUUUUUUUAUUUCACCGAUGCAGAACUUUUCCGUAAACCGCCUUAGCAUAGGGGCCGAGACCCUUUUUGAGGUAAAAAGCCUACUCCAAUCCCCAAAAGAAGGUAGGGUCGUGACAUAUGAUGAAUUCUUUUUUAAAGAUUAUUAUUUUGGUUUAUCUAAAAUAUGAUUCCAAAUUACUCUAGCCAAUUAGGCUAGAGCACGUUGGUGAAAACACCUGGAUGCAAAUUUCUUAUAGAUCCUGUGCGUAGUAUAUUUUAUGCAUGGAAUUUAUCAAACUGCUAAUUUUUAUUAUUAUAAUUAAUUCGUGCGGUUGGAUAUGACGGUGCGGAUUAAUCCCGUUAUCCUACGGAUGCAAUUGUACCCAAUUCGAAGCUAGCUAGCCUGCACCAACUAAAAAGUGGGAUUAGCUUUUCUUUAUUUUAUUAUUUCCCCCCAAGAUUUUCCAUACAUCUUUUUAUUUUUAUUUAUUAUUUUUUUUUUUUGAGAGAUAGGUAGCAACCACGCUACCUGCUUCGUUUAUUUUAUUUAGAAAUAAACUCAGCUGGAAAUAUGAAUCAACUAGGAUUCGAACUUGGGUCUCGGGUAUCAACCAUGAAGCCUUUUGCUACUUGCUCCAGGGACGGUCGGUGAUUUUCCAUACAUUUUAUCUUUCACUUUUUAAGUUUUAUCUACAAUAACUAUACUUUUCUCUGCAUCAAUUCUGUGACUAAGCUUUUGGUUGAUCUCAGGCUUGUAACAUUACAGGUGGAAUGAACGAUUUACCCUAUUUUUCUAAAUAUAUGGAUAACAUUGCUCUUUCUUUAUAAUUUAUUUUGUGGUAUAAUAUUUUAAUUAUUUGGUUAAAUUAUAGAAAAUUCUUCUAUAAAUAUAUAUAUAUUUUUUUUAACCUUUUCUUCUUUCCUUUCAAAAUCCUAUAUUUUGCCCCCCUAAAAUUUCAAAAAUAUUUUCAGACGGUACAACAUUAAUAGAGAGGACAAAGUGACCAAAUUAUUUUUACUUCUUUUAUAAAAAUAAAUAAUAAUAAUUUUUUAAUAUAUUUCAGAGCAAUUUUGAUAUCAAUUAUAAGAAAUGAACGAAAUAUUAAUGGAAUCCUGAUGGAGGGGGGCUAAAUACAACAACUUGAAAUAUUUUUUUUGAGAAAAAAGUAGCUUCAUUCAUUAGGAUUAUGGACUGAACUACAUUAUAAGGCAACUAGGUCUAGGCAGAAUAAAGGUUCCACAGGUAUCUGAAUUUACGCGAUUCCGCCAAUAAUUGCUUAGAGGUGUGUUUCUUAUUUUCGAAAAUUUGUUUGUUACGCUCCAACCAGAUAGCCCACCACGAGAAGGCAAUGGUCAUUAACUCCGUUUCCCAUGAGGUUCCUCCUUUGAGUUUACUCAACUCCUAACAACCUGAAAUGUUGAGAGGGUAAAAUAUAGGUUUUUGAAAGUUAAGGAGAGAUUUUCUAUAACUCAACCUAAUUAUUUUCUAAUUUUAUAAUAUCAGAGAUUUUUUUUUUCUCUUAAGAUGGAGUAAUGCUAUGCUCGCUGAUUGGGCGAGGUGUGUUGGAGUGUUGAGGGCCUCACCAUGUGCGGUGGAGCGGCCUAACAAAAUAUUCAUGCAUCCAAAUAGAGCCUAAUAGAAAAAUGCAUGGAUUAAAUCACAAUAUUGUGAAAGCAAUUAACUGCAAUUAAGUGGCAAUGUGAUUCUCGAAGUACACUAAUCCAAGUCAAUUUGAUGGUGAUUAGUGUGACUAAUAUUAGAAGUUAAUGAUUUCACGAAAACAAUUGGACUUUAAAAAAAAAAAAAAUUUGUCGGCGCCGAACUGGUUCAUUGUUCAUCAGAUUACUUGUAUUAAUCUAGUACGGCAAAUCAAAUUGAUCAAUGAAGUUACAAGGACAUUGUUAUUAUUAACAUUACAUUCCCAAAUAAAAAUGACCUUAGAUGGUGUGUAGUGAUCUACCUAAAACCUUAACCAAUAAAUUUACUACUAAAUUAAAGUAAAUGACUUUUUUUUCUUUAACCGUAAAAUAGAAAACAAACAUAUAAUAUAACUCACAUUUUCACACAACCACUAAUCAAAAGGUCAGCGGCCAAUAUAAACCAGCUUAACAUAAAAUAAAGAAAGUACAAUUAAAUAUCUAAAUCAAAUUAUAAAAGAGUCAUGACUUAUUUUACAUAACAUAUUAAAAAGAGAGGCAAAAAUAAUUCUAGCACUCGAUCGAAAGGGAAGCUUCAAGUGUCAAACAGUGAGCAGCCUCGCAUCCAAGGGUGUGGCUGCUCACUUUUUUUUUUUUUUUUUUCUUUUACAGUAAAACCAUCGUCAAUUCACUAAAAAUAUAGAUAGAGAAUUUCACAAUAUAAACUCACAUCUCUACGCUAUCACUAAUCAAAAAGUCAGCGGUCAACAAAAAUCAGCUUAACCUAAAAGAAAGAAAGUACAAUCAAAUAUUUAAACUAAAUUAUAAAAAGAGCCACUACAUUUAUAAUGCAUACUAAAAAAAAGACAAACGACCAUUCCGGUACUUGAAGAGCAAACUAUCAAGUAUCGAACGGCAAGCAACUUUUCAUCAAAAGAUAAGAUUGCUCACUUUUUUUUUUUAAAACUGUAAAAUCACCGUCAAUUCGCUAAAAAUAUAGAAAAAAAAGUUCACAAUAUAAACUUAUUUCUCCGCACAACCGCUAAUCAAAAGGUUAGCACUCUAUAUAAAUCAACUUAAUCUAAAAAAUGAGAGUGCAAUGAAAUAUCUAAACCAAAUUAUAAAAGAGUCACUAAUUCUAUAAUACGUACUAAAAAGAGAGACAAACAAUCAUUUCAGUUAUUAUUGACGCAACCUACUCUUAUGCAUCUUUAUUAGGAAUAAACAAUCCUUUUAUUGCUAAUUGAUUCUUCUAUGUUGAACAUAAAAUAUUAAAACACCAUUUUUCAAGAAGCUUUAUUAGGCUUUCAGAAAAAUAUGAUUGUUUCACUAUGCACAAGUCAACUUUUCUUUAUAUUUGAUUAGGACCAGAAAAUAUAACAAUGGAUGUGCAGGGAUGAGGAUGAUGAUCCAAUGGAAUUAUAAUUCGCUUCCUAUAAUUCAAGUGUUGCAUUGAGGUUAAGUUCAUUGUGCCUAUGCAGAGAUAAGGACCAAAAAGUAAAAUAUAUAUACACAUUGCUUUCAUUUCCCAUGGGCAUUUAAGAUCAUCAAGGUGUAACUUAUAUAUCACAGGUAUUUUUAUAAGCCUUGCGUAUCCAUAUUGGACUCGUGUCCGAUGUGAACACUUUUUGAGCGCGUGUUUGAUGCCGUUCCAUGACGCAGACAAUUAUAUAUAUAAUCAAAAGGUUAAAUCUAACAGUGGAAAACUCGAUAGCACCAAAUCUUUGCUGCUAUCGAUAGCAUCCCAGCCGGACUCUAUAUAUAUAUUUAUUUAUUUAUUUAUUUAUUUAUUUUAUACAUGUAAAAUGUAAGAUGAUAAGUAUUUUAGUUUUUAAUUUGAUGAAUGCAUAUAAUUUUUUGGACAAUGUAAAUAAAUUAUGUAUGAUGGAAAAGUUUUUUCUUAAAAUAAAUAAAUUAUCAAUAAAAAUUUUACUAACUGUCCCUAGAGCAAGUGGCAAAGGGCUUGGUGGUUGGUACUUGAGACCCAAGUUCGAAUCCUAGUUGAUUCAUAUUUCCAACGAAGCGGGUAGCGUGCUACCUAUCUCAAAAAAAAUAUAUUUUUAUAAUAAAUAUAUAUAUUAUUAUAUAAAAUUAUUAUAUUUUAUUAAUAGUGUUCAUGUCGUGUCCAUGUCCUAAUUUAUUAAAAUUUGCCGAGUCGUCGUGUUCAAAUCGUGUCGUGUCCAGUAUUCUGUGUCAAAGUCCAUGACGCCUAGGGUGUAACUGUGCAAGCAAAAUCUCAACUACUAUAAAUCUGAAAGUUUGAGCCAAAAAUUAAAACAAAUUAAAAUUUGAGGCCCUUUAAUUUAUUUCCUUAGCAUCAAGGUAGUCCAAAAACCAACAUGUAAAAAGAGUUUUUAUUUAAUAAUCUAUUAUAUAUAUGUACCUAAAAUUUUGAUAUUUAAUUUGAAGGCCUUGUAAAAUCCAACGAAUUAAAUUUCAGUCUUAUGAUAUCCAUAAUUAGACUUCAAAGCUGUAUUGAAAAAUAUUCUGUUUUGCUUAUGUAAAUAAGCUUUAAAUUUUGCAGUAUGAUUAAAAAACUAAAGUAUUACAUUUUCUGCAUUAUUUCAGACUAGAAAAGUAUUUUUUGUUUGUUUGAUUUUCAAAAGAAGUAGUUUUUUUGAAAUGUUUUUCAGAUUUUAUAAUUUUUUAUACUUUCUAAAUUUUUUGUUCAAAAAAUGUAAAUUAUAGAAAGUAUGUUUUUAACCUUUUUUUUUUAUAGAAAAUAAGUUUCCAUGAUUUUUUUUAUGGAAAAUCUUGGGCUCAACAAAUUAUGAUGGCCCUUGUUAAUACCAAACCGGCCCAGCCGAAUACCGGUUUCGGUUUCGAUUUGGGUUCGGAUUCGGAUUUUGGAAUCCGAUUCGGAGUCCAUUAUGCUCUCGCCGUGUCAGAACGUUCGAGAUUUGUAUAUUUAUUUCAUUAUUUCAUUUUAGAAAAAACUUCAAAAACCCUCCAUAUGGUUUCGUAGUUUCUCACUUUAUCCCCCUGUGAUUUAAAAUAUAUCAAAUUGUCCCCAUGUGGUUUCGUUUUUAUCUUUUUAGUAGCUUUUUCGUUAAUAUUUCAUUAAAUUAUAUACAAAAAACUUGAGAUACCCAUCUAGAUUUAUCAAAUAUUCACUUUAGUACCCUUUAAUUUUAACUUUAUCACUGAUUUAAAAAAAAAAUAAUGAAAUUAAUAAAAAAAGAAAAAAAAAGAAACCAUAGGGGGCAAAUUGAUACAUUUUAAACCACAUGGGGCAAAGUGAGAAACUACGAAACCACAUGGGGUUUUUUUGAAGUUUUCCCUUUAUUUUAUUAACAUUAAACGUUACUGCUUUUCUUUCUCUUUUAACUCUACCCGGCCCCCGACUCUUCCUAUUAGGGUUCUUCGAUCGCUCCCUCAAAUCCUAUCCAAACCCUAAUCUCAAUUCGGAGGGGAAGAGGCCGAGAGCGAGGGCGCUAUCAAUCGAGAUCCGUCGUGGUUAGGGUUUCCAUUUUCGAGGUCGGUGUCCAUGGCGGGGCGAGAGGUUCGAGAGUACACCAAUCUCAGCGACCCCAAAGGUGAGACCUUUUCUCUGUCCAAUUUCUAGGGUUUUUGACGAUCUCUGUUGUUGUGCGUCUCUUUUUGGGUUUACGGUGUUGGGAUUACAUGAGAAAGAGAAGGUUUUUGAACAUUUGGUGUUCCUGUUGGAUCUCACAGAUAAGAAAUGGGGGAAGGGGAAGGAUAAGAUCGACGAUGAGGACAUCACUUUCCAACGCAUGGUCGCAAAGGUUAGCGAAUCGGCCCUUCUAUUGUUUUCAUCUUUAUUAAUCUUUAAAAAAAAAGUAUUUUUUUUAGUCUUUUUUGCUGGAAAUUUGUGCUUGUUAACUACUAUUAUGAUGAUUAUGAUACCAUCUACGCCUGGGAUCCUACGGGAAUUUGUUUUUCAAUUGUAAUUUUAUUAAUGUAGUUAUUUCUAUUAUAUGGAGAACUCAUAAGGGGAAAAGGAAUUUAACAUUUAAAUGUAUGAAUAAACUUUAGAAUUGCUUUACUGCUAAUAUGUGUUGUGAAUGCGUGAGGUGAGGUGAUCACUUGUCGGCCAUGUUUUUUAUCACUAAUCGCUACUAAUGAUACAUCCAGUGAUUUUAACAUAUUAAUCUUAUUAUAAGAUUUGGGGAUUUGGGUCUAGGAUUAGGUUGGACGGAAAUACAACCUAUUAUGUCUAAGUGAGAAUUGCACAUUCACGUAAUCCAGAUGGUAUUUUGAGUAUACGCGCAUGGACAAACAUGAUUUACCAAAUGUUUACGUUGUUUAGUUGAUCGUUAUUAACAUUCUAGCUCAUAGCAUUAGCCAGUUUCUUAUACUUUUUGUAUGUGAAUGAAUACAGUGUUCUAAAUUCGAAGUCAUUCCCAUCAUCGAUCGUCCAUCUUUUUUGUAAUUUUCUUCAUUCUGUUUCUUCCAUGGUUCCACCACCAUUGUCAUCAAUUGUAAGAUGAUCUUGGGCUUGUGAUUUUUAUUUUAAUGGAUACUUUUGCCAGAAGUACCUAAUUGAUAAAUGCCAUAGAAACUAUAACCUAGAGGAACUAUUGAGAAAAUUCGGUGACUUGAAAUUGUAUACUUGGUUAACAGAGAUUACUGGUAUUUUGGUUUAUAUUGAAGUAGCGAACUAUUUAUAAGUUCACUCCAUAUAAUAUUAUGGCAUGUGCUUUGGUUUUGUUUUCACUUGGCUCUCUUGCUUGUUGAUGCGUGAAAGAUGAAGACUGUUUUCAACAUCAGUAGUAGCUAUCUUACUUUUAUGUUUAGACUAAAUGGUUCUCAACUGUCAUUCCCUAGGCAGAUAAUUCUAAGUUACCUGGUUUCAUCUCGAAUUCAGCAUCAAAGGUUUCGAUGCGAAGUCAAUAGAUGGUUGCCCUAAAGUAUGUGACAAUCUAAAUCAUUGAAUCUUCUCAGUAUUGAGUUACACAUCACUUAACCCUAUUAUUAUUAGGCAAAGACCUGUUAAUUUAUGGCGUGUUCCUGUUCGUUUAUGUGAACCUGGUUUUUAUGAGGGAUUUAUUAAUUAUUUUUAUGCAAUAAACUGCUAGCAAGGCACCUUGCAGUUUCUUUGUGAUGUGGUGAUCUGAUAACAUGCCCCGACAGGGAUCUUGGCAUCUCCUAUUGGGGUGGUUGAUGCUAACAGAUGCAGGAGGUUGCUGGUGAACGUGGAGGCUAUCUCCAUGGGCGAGGAGGUACUAUUCUUUUUUCCCUGUUUUUUUGUGUUAAUUAGGCUAUUUAUCUACUUCAUCCUGUUAACUUUUUUUUAAAAAAAAUUAAUCUGCAGCUUUGGACAGUGAUGACCUGCUCUACCUGAAGGAACAAAUGGAGGCUGAGGAAGAUGCUGAGCGUCUUCUCCGCCGGACAGAGAAGCGGGCGUUUGCUGCUUUUAAGAUAUCCUUGUGCAAUUGAUUAAUAUAGUGAAAUUUUGUUGGUUUUUCUUUAACCUAUUUAAAGUUUCUUUGGGUUUGUUAACUCGUUUUUUACAAAGCAGCAAUUCUAGCAGAUUCUACACCUGCUUCACUACCCUUGCCUCUCCGUGUUGAACCAAAACCUAAAAGCGGAAUCAGGUAUAUUCAGAAAGGGUUUUUUUUGGCUCAAAUAUUGAAAUUUCCUGAAAGUGUGUGACUUUCACUUUACUGAAAAUAUUGAACUGAUAUAUUAAACACUUAAAAUAUGAUUAUUCUAGACUUUUGCCUCUUGUUGAUGGCUCAUCUUUUCUCUGCUAUAAAUAUAUAUAUAUUAUAUAUAUAAUAAUAUAUAUUUAUAUAUGAGUGAGGCUACUAUGCUUCUGUAAGCACGAAGCUUCCGUGCUUCUAGGUCGUUUUUGAUGUUGCGACUUUCGAAUCGUCGAUCAGCUCCGUUAAACUUGAUCUAGAGAUUGAAUUACUAGAAAAUAAAUUUGCAAUUUUUGAUAUCAUUUGCCUAGUGAAUCAAGGGGCUCAAAAUCAACGGCUGAAAAUUAAAAUCUUACAAAACGUGAUAAAUAUGACAUUAAAAUUUAGAUCAAAGAUAUUGAUCUUGUUUUAUAUAGUAUAAAGAAUUUUCUAAUAAAAUUCAGUGAUUUGGAUAUUUUAUACACCGUUAAACUUGCAAACGGCUCACCACGGCCAUUAAAAUUAUUGAUUUUGAGUCCCUUCGAUCACUAGGCAAAUGAUAUCGAAAAAUCAUAAAAUUUAUUUUCUAAGCACUUCAAAUACUCUAGAUCAAGUUUAACGGAGCCGAUCGACGAUUCGAAAGUCGCAACACGAAACGACCUGGAAGCGAACGGAGGCUCCGUGGCUUCAAAACGCAUAGUAGGCGCUCACUCUAUAUAAAAGUAUUAAUAGAUAUUAUAAUAGAGUAGGGCUACUAUACUCUUAUGAGUAUAGAGCUCUUCGUACUCAUAAGUUGUUUUCUAUGUUGGGCUUUUCGAAUCGACGAUCCACACCGUUAAACAUGAUUUAGAAUAUUUGAAACUUCUAGAAAAUAAAUUUCGUAAUUUUUCAAAAUCAUUAUAAAGUCCAUCAAGCGGGUAUAAAAUGAACGGUUAAAAUCGAAUGACAUCCUAAAAAUAGAUGAUCGGAUCCUUCAAUUUAAGAUCGGAGUUAUUGAUCUUUAUUUAGAUAGUGAAUAGAAUUUUCUAUCAAAAUUCAAUCUAUUCCGAUUUUUUUUUACCAUUAAACUAGCAAAUAUCUCAUACUAGCCGUUAAAAAUUAUCAAUUUUGUGAGCUUUUGAUCGUAAGGUAAAUGAUAUUGAAAAAUUAUAAAAUUUGAUUUCUAAAAGUUUUAAAUGCUCUAGAUAAUAUUUAACGGUAUGGAUCGUCGAUUCGGAAGUUCUAUCAUCGAAAACAACUUAUUAUGAGUAUGAAGGCGAUCAUACUCAUAAUAGUAUAGUAGCCAGACUCUAUAUAUAUAUAUAUAUAUAUAUAUAUAUAUAUAUUAAGAGGGUGAAAUGAGGUUUUAGUAUAUCAGAGAAUUGCGAUAUUUAUUAGGAAUUUGAUGGAUUUAAGUAGACAUUCUGCUGCUCUUGUCAUGACACGUGUGUCUGACUAAUGCGUGCAGGCAGCAAGAUCUCUUGAAGAAUAUUGUUGAAAUCAAACCGAAACGUCCGAGAGUUGAUAGCCCUUCUAACAGAGAACAAAGUGAUAGAUCAAAUGCUAGCAAUGGUGGGAACUCGGGGAAAACCCCAUUGCUGGGAAACAAAUCGAGUGAAUCGGUAGGUGUUCAAGUUUAUGUUAACUCCGAGCAAGAAAAGAGCAUUCCUUUGAAAUCAAGUAGAGAUGUUGUCGCUAACAAAGCGGAGGCUGCUGGUGGGAGCUUGCUGGGCUUAUCUUAUGAGAGUUCUGAUGAGGAUUGACUGGGGAUAUUGGCUCAAGCAAGUCUGUUGUAUAGUUUGAAAAUUUUCUUGCCAAUCUUGUCUGUUUUGUCUAGAGUUGUGCAUUUUGGUCCGAUGAGAUUGUAAGAUUGACAGCUAGAAGAGGGACAUUGUGUUUUUCGCUCACUUAGUGCAAUAUAUCAUCUAUUUUAUUGCGAUAGAAAAUUUUCACCUUCAAGCUAGUAGAACUUCACCUCUGUGGAUUUUUAGCAAUUUGGUUGUAGUAGUUGUCGUUACUAUUUAUUUAUUUAUUUAUUUUCAGAAGUGUGUGUAAUUAGUCUUAAACUUUCAUGUUACUAUUUAUUUAUUUAUUUAUUUAUUAGGGAUUAAGGCUUUUGUAUGGACUUUAUUUGUUCUAUCAGAAUUUGACAGGCAUACUUGAGCAGUGAUGUAAAUUUUAUUAUUUUUCAAUAAUAAACCUUGCGUAGGAUGCAUGAGCAGUUAUUCUGGGGACAGAAUUAAUCUUGAUAAGUUGGGCAUCUGGUUUAGCGGCAAAUGUGUGGUGAAGGGAAGCAACGAGAGAAUUUUAAACUUAUUUUGAACGAAACUGUAGUCAAGCCUAGCAUCAAAACACAUGCAUUUACAGGAAUGCUUCAUCUUAGACAAACAGAGCCAAGCAGUGCAAUAAUUCUGCAGAAGUGAUAAAACAAAACUUGCCUGCUACACUUUAAAGUCAUUUUUAUCAACACUCGCUAGUCUACUGAAAUUUGGUCUCAUAUGAAUUAUGUAAAAAAAAAAGACACAACAGUGUAACAGGGCUUUGAUAUACACCAAAAUAUGAGAAAAAAUAUUUCACAUUUUACAGGGUUAGUCGACAAGCACUCACUAUUAUAGGCGGCUACAGUGGUGAAAUCAAGUGUGACCUAACAAGUUUUGAAUUGCAGAAAAAAGAAAAUACAUCUUACGGACAACAAAGAGAAGAAUCUUAAAUCUGAGCCCACUAGCUUCCAGAAUCUUCCACGGACAUCAGAAGACCCUUUCUCAAGCAAUGGGCUUGCAAGCGUAAGAAAGCAAUGAAGGGAUUGAUCAUCCAGAGAUCUUGUAGAUGAGAGUUCACUUUUUCUUCCAUAAGUUGAUGAUCCCAUUUGCAAAAGACUUCAAGUUUCCCCAGAUAUUUGUCGUUUCUUCAUUGGCAUGCUCAGAUAAUUGUUUGCUGAGAAAAGAAAAGUAAAACCACCGAAGUCACAUUCAGCAUGUAAGAAUAUGCAUGUUAUGCACAGCAGGGCAAAGAGAGCUUCUAGCCAGAAACAGCAUACGCGAAAUAGGAGAAAAAAUUAAGUACUUGUUAGUACAUACGGCGACGAAAAUACUUAAUUUAUACAGUACAGUAUAAAAACAUGCACUUAACUAAGUUUAAGGAAUUUUCUUAUAGACAACUUCCAUGGUAACAUCAACUGUUUUGCAAAUUAAACAAAAUAUUGGGACUACGGAAUGUAGGAGUUUUGCAAGUUGAACUUUAACUUUCUUUUGAAUAAUGUAAACAAGGUUUUUUGAUCUCAAUUGUUAAUCUUACUACAUUAAGGACCAGUUUGAUUCACAAUUUGUAAUAUUCCGGUAAUUCUCCAUAUUUUUUAUUAAAAACAUUCAAAUCAUUACCAUUUAACUCAAGUUAGGUAGUUGUUAAAGGUGUUAGUAAAGUAGUGGAAUUAUUAUAGAUUUCUAGGUGGUAGGAAUACUAAAUUAUCAUGGGUUAGAAGAUAUUCGCAUUUCCAUGUUUGAUAGAAACCAUUAGCAGUCCAUCAAUAAGACUAUAAUAGUUCUUAACAACCUUCAAACCCAAGUGGCUUGAUAAGUUAGAAACAAACUUGUCGUUCCAAGUAUAAAAUAUACAACAUUCCCGGAAUAUUACAAAGUUUGAAUCAGGUCGCCCCUAAAGGUAAAACCAAUCAACUAACUAAAAUGCCAGAUGUAGGGAAGAAAGAGUUAUGUAAUUUUAACCACCCUACCUGUGAAGUUCAUUUGAUUCUGGAACUCCCCUACCGCCACUUAGUUCAUCUCCCUUUGGGCUGUUAGGCGCCUGUGAAGUGCUCACCUUUGUCCUGUUGUGUUCUGCUUCUUCUGAAGAAGAAUGUGAAGUCUCUAUUACUGUUUCCAAUUUGAAGGAAGAUGAAUGUUGGUUCUGCAUAAGUUGCAGAGGAAUCAAAUAAUAAGGCGCACGGAAGAAAAUGAAUGCCACGAAAUUAUGUUAUCAAUAUAAAUAUCAGAUAUCUCCGCAGAACAAAGGGGGGAAAAAAUUAACUAACUUGCUGAGAACUAUCAGUGAAGGUACUUGUCACGUUGGAGUUCAGAGACCCAACGGAAUCCUCAGUUGAUACCAGGUCUAGAGGCUCUUCAGUGGAGAUAUUCCUGGCAUUGCCAGAAAACUGAACUUUUUCCACUAUUUGAUCACUUUUGAGCAAAGAAUCUUGAUCUGUCUCCAUUUUCUCAGCAAUCAUCACCUUAUAUCUUACACUUCCUUGACUACUUGAGUUUAGUGGUUUUUCUCUAUCAGCAAAAGAAGGGUCUCCUUUAGCAACAGUACCUGAAGGUUUUGCUGUCUUAAAUUUGUCUAAAGAUGCCAUUUUAUGAUUGUGUUCCAAUUCCUGUAUGAUCUCUCGUACAAUGUAAUAAGAUCCUCCAACCCCUUCUCGGACAAGGUAAGCAGAAGGGAACUUUCCUCCAUUCAAGGCUCUGUAACUGCAUUAGAAACAAAGCCAGACAGGCACUGUUCAUGAUAAGCUUCAAAACUGGCUAAGCUUAUUGACUAAAAUUUUGCAGAUUUUAGUAAUCAUAUAUUACUAUGCGUGGAAACAAACAGGGUACAGGGGAGUGGCCAAACCACACACAUCUUUAUAUCAUACCCCUCGGAUUAGAAUACAGAUACAAAUAAUAAAUGGAUACUAAUAAUGGGAAACAUAUCCUAUUAAUAUGGAUAAGGACACAAAUUGAAUAUCGGAUUUAUUCAUAUUUCAUUAAAAAUAUAUUUAAAUGUAACUAAUUAUGUGCUAUAGUACAAAAGUGUAUAGAAAAUGUAAGUUAGACACUUGGUGCCUAGAUGAACUUGUCCUCCCAAUUUAGAAUAACCUCUUCAGUAUCUGGUGGCCAUAGAGUCUUGGACUUUAUCCAUAAAGCAUAUAAGAACUUCUAAGGCUCUAUUCAAACAGUAGUCAGAGUCUAGGAAAACCAAGAGACCGAUCUUACUUCUCAACGAAGGCCUCUAUCAGAGCACGUCGCUCUUGCUUUGGAAUUUUCUUCUGGCCCUUUUGCGCUUUGAGCGGGUCUGUCUGUACUGAAGCAGUAUGUGAUUUCCCACGGGAUCGAAAGGCUGCUCUUGUUAUGCUAUUAGAGAUGCCAACCAGGACUGUAAAAUGAAAGUGGUAAAGCAAGGUUUAUGCAUCCAACAAGCAGAAGAAAAGUUCCAAACGGAGUACUUGCUCUUUUAAACAUACGAUUUCCAAAUGGCAAGUGAUAUUUAUACUAUUCCCAAAUGGAAGAAGAAGAAGAAGAAAACUUCAUGAAACAGAAGAUACUAUAGAUUCAAGAGGAAGCACAGUAUUUGCAAUGAUGAAAACUGUCACUUGGGGAUCAAGUCCCAAAAAAAUUUACUCCAUUACUAGGAAAGAGGUGAAAUCACUAGUUUACACACACUUUUGCUAUUUAAUCAGCUUAUCAACUCUUGUUAUGCAAACAUUUACGUUGAAAUAGCAGAUUUAUCUCCACAAAGCUAGAUUGUAUCCAAUUGUUUAGCUUAAAACCCUACUCUUUUGGGUAAACUUAUUCUUUCUACAAUACAGCAGACUAGUUUCGCUCUAAUCCUUUUUGUCACCACAUUUUGACCAGGUUACAACCUCGCUAUCUCAUACUAAACCCUCGAUGACGAAUUUAACGAAUGGAAAGAGGAGGAAUACAACAGAAACGCCAUUAACUACGAUGAUUCAAACGCAGGUUAUAUUAACGCUUGGGAUUAAUAGAUUCGCGUGGAAAACGAACGCGAUCCAGUGUGAAGCGAUUAAAACUUCGCAAGAUUACACAAAACAUCCAACAUGACAGUCCAAGAACCCUAAAACCCUACAAAGCGUACACAAAAAGGACCAAAAGAGAAGAGAGGGGAGAACGAUCGGCGAAGAAGAAACCCUAACCCCUUUUGGAGGUCGACGAGGAGGAGAAUCGCGCGGCGGUUUGCAUCGGAGCACUCGACUGGGGGGAUCACAAGCUCGAUCCCGAUUCCAUGGCGAUUUUAGGACGCUAGGGCACGGGGGGUAGGGGGGAGGGGUAUUAAUGGCGACGCCAUAGAAAGCGAGAGAGGGGUGAAGGGGGACGCCGGGGUUUUAGGUUUUUUGUUUUAAAGAGGAAGAAGAAGACGAAGAGGAAGGGCUUUACCUAAGCCGACGAGCGAGAGUUCUGCGGGAUCAUCGAUCCCGAAACGUGAGACGGUCUCAUCUGCCUUUCAUCGCGCGGAUGGCACGAAUCUCAAAGCUAAAUGAGCGGUAUAUGAUGCCCGUCCUGGCUUUUGAGCGAGUGUGAGACCCAAGCGGACACCGUCGUAGUAGGACACGAAGUUGGACCGUACGGGCCCACACCGUAGCUAGGCCUGGGCCGUAAUAAUGGGUCUACUUGAUGGGCUUGUAAAUGCACCCAUCGAAUGUCCAGAUCAAAUAGCUAAGUUACACUUUUUUGAUUCGCUGAGCCAAAUGAUAUUUUAUUUCUCAAAUUAAUUUAUUAUAAAUUUUGACUGAACGAUGACGUGCCGCUGAUGUAACUACAUUGUGAGAAUGUUGUUGUCGACGACGCGUUAAUCAUUAGAAUGUCGCAUUGCAGUUAUAUCAACAAAAUUUCAGCAUUUGAUUUGCUAAAUUGAAUUGUGAAAUUUAGUUAGAACAAUCGGCAAAGGUUGCAAAAGUAAAUGUUUGAAAGACUUAAGUGUUAUAGGCGUCAUUGUUCGAUCGAGGACCAAAAGUGUAAGAUAUUCAUUCCAAAUUUAAGUCAAACUAUCUGAAAUGUUUUGGGAUCCUUCAGGUUAUAGUUCUUGUAAAAUGUUAGUGCAUUACAGUUAUAGUUUACCCAAAUCUCGAAUCAAAUUAGUAGGACGAUUUUAUUGAGGAAGUUCUCAACAAAGUUUUGUUUCUGUACAGUAGAAUAUUAAAAACUCUGGGUCAAAUAGAUCAUUAAAUGCUUAUUCGACGGCACUUGAGGAAAGCGUCGCCAAACGUUCUUACUAUAGAGUAAACACCGACGCUUCACAAAGCUACAUUAUAUGAAUCGUCUAUUGUAUCAAACUAAUUGUAGGAUAUAUUAUAUUAUUAUCUUAAAUUUUUUAUACUUUAAAGCGUCAAAAUAUAUCUCACUGACAUAUGACAUAAGCGUCGAUAUAUAUAUAUAUACGUGAUGACUUUCAAAUGAGACGAUAAAUUAUUUUAAGACGUUUUUAAGUAUCAUUAAUUAUUAAAAUUAUAUAUAUUUUUAAUGAUAUGUGACUGCAAUGGCUGAUCAUAACAUGUGAAACAAGCCGAGCCAAACAGGCCCUGAACUUUCCAUGUGAAGCGUGAGCCCAAAGAGAAGGCCCUCGACAUUUCAUGUGAAGCUUGAUGAGCCCAUAGAGAUGGUGAGCUCGAGAAACGGCCAAGCUCCAUAAGCGGUUUCUUUUUCUCCCUUAUUACGUGCCACUCACCUCACGCUCCCUCCCCACACGUGUCCCCCUCACACCCUACAUCCCUCCCCCUCCUCUUCACGCCCCUUAUUAAUGCAUGCAUUACCUCCUCUCAGCACUCUUUGCAUCAUCAUCAUCAUCAUCAUCAUCAUCAUCUCCCUCGCUCAAACAAGCAGUAUUUUGAGUUCAAGAAGAUCAAAGAAGCAAAGCGCUUCAAAGAGGAGAUCAAUUAAUACGAGGUACGUAGAAGAAGUAGAAGGUUUGUGAGGUGAGAAGAGAAGCCAUGCCGCUCCGCCGCUUCGCCUUCGGCCGCACCGAGGACGCCGUCCACCCCGACACCAUCCGCGCCGCGCUCUCCGAGUUCGUCGCCACCGCCAUCUUCGUCUUCGCCGCCGAAGGCUCCGUCCUCUCCCUCGGUAAAACGAAUUGCCUCAAUCUACUUGCAUGCACGACUAAAUAUGCACCUUUUUGUUGUCCCGUGUCUUCUGUUUGUAUGUACAAAUAUUUUGCUCGACAUAUCUCUUUAUCUAAAAUAGAAUGUCAUAUUAAGAAUUUAAAUACUAAUUAUUAGACAAUUUGAUGCAGACAAGCUGUAUAAGGACACUUCCAGCGCGACGGGGCUGGUGGUGGUGGCGAUCGCCCAUGCGCUUGCGUUCUUCGUAGCGGUGGCCAUCGCCAUCAACAUCUCCGGCGGGCACGUCAACCCCGCCGUCACCUUCGGCGCGCUUCUCGGUGGCCGGAUCUCGCUCAUUCGUGCCCUCUUCUACUGGGUCGCCCAGCUCCUCGGCGCCGUUGUGGCCUCCCUCCUCCUCAGGAUAACCACCAGAGGAAUGGUAAUCGUUGAAUAUAAAAUAUUAAAAAUAUAAUUCUGACAAAAAAUAGCCGCUUUAUAUAUAUUAUUUAUAUAUUAUUUCACAAGGUAUCAGGUAUAACAUCUUUAUCAGUUUUCUAUUCAGAUUCCAGUUUAAGAUUUUUUCAAUUUCAUCAAGAGAGUUAUGAUUUUAGCAGAAGAAGUCUAAUGACAGUUACUAUAUAUAUUGACACUUUUUUACACUUAGGGAUCAUUUGGUUGCAUGUAGUUGCAACUACAUUGCAGUUGUAACUGUAUGUAAAUGUAAAUUUUGUGUUUGGUUUGAUGUAUUUAAUUCCAACUCCUGCAGUAGGAACUGUAGGAGGAGACCCAACUGCAGCAGUUCGAACUACGCUCAAAUUGGCCGCAGUUCCAACUACAGCAGUUAGAGAGAGUAAUUUUAAAUAAAAUGUAUGCUUACCUCCUCAAUAUUUUUUAAACAAAAAUUAUUUUCUUUUUUACAUUGGAGGUAAUCUCACCAUCAUAUAUAUAAAAUAAUAAAAUUUUAAAAAUUAUUUCUCAACGGCAUACAACCAAACAAAUUAUUUAUACUUGCAGCGCUUUCUAUUACAUCCAACCAAACAAGAUUUUUGUAUUUAUAACUGUCGUAUUUCCAACUGCAUGCAUUUCUAACUACACUGCAUUUAUAAUUACAUCUAACCAAACGGCUAGAAACAACUUCAAUUGUGUAAAGAAUAAAUUUGAGGAACUAAAUUGUAAUGAAUUGAGGGGCUAAGUUUAUUAUAUUUUUAUUAAAACUUGGGAAUUAAUUGACACUUGAUUAUCUAUGGGGACCAAAUUUAAAAAUUAGUGUUUCUUAUUCUUUUUUUGAAAAAAAAAUAGUAUAUUAUCUGCUUAUACAUUUUAAAAAAGAGCUUUAAUUUACAUAUAUUCUCUUUAUUUACUAGUGUUGGAAAUUUUCAAAUUUAUCAGUGACUACUCAAAAUAUCUUUCUAAAAUUCAAUCCCAUUAAUAAAUAAUAAAGAAAAAGAGAAUAAUUUAAUUUUUUUUAUAUUUUGGUUAUUCAAGAUAAAUAAGGUAUGUUUGAAGAUUAGAAAGGGAUAUUAUAUAUUCUCUUAAAAAAUUAGUGCUAAACACUCUUUUAUGUACUCUGUUGAAUGAAUGCACUUUGUGUAAUUAGCUAGUCCUUUCUAAUUUUUAACUUCUGUAGAAUGGAAAAACUAAUGAGUUAGAUGAUUGAAAAUAAAAGGACAUAACUGUACUAAUACUUAUGUGGAGGGCGAUAGUGUUUUGAAUUCGGAGUACCUAUUAUUUUUUGCUCUCGCACUCUUAUCAUGCAGCGUCCGCCGGGCUUCUCGCUCGCAUCGGGAGUGACCGAAUGGCACGCCGUCCUGCUCGAGAUCGUCCUGACGUUCGGGCUCGUGUACACCGUCUACGCCACGGCAAUCGACCCGAAGCGGGGCCACAUGGGCACCAUCGCCCCGCUGGCCAUCGGCUUCAUCGUCGGCGCCAACAUCCUGGCGGGGGGGCCGUUCGACGGUGCAGUGAUGAACCCGGCACGAGCGUUCGGACCAGCGCUCGUGGGGUGGCGGUGGAGGCACCACUGGGUCUACUGGGUCGGGCCGUUCGUCGGAGCCGGGCUCGCCGGGCUCGUCUACGAGUAUCUGGUCAUACCCGAGGAGACUCCUCAUGCUCACCAGCCCCUGGCACCUGAAGAUUACUAAAGAAGUGUGUGUGUGUGUGUGUGUGUGUUUGUGUUUUUUUUUUUUUGGCUAUGUUUCUUAUGCUUGUUUUGUUUGUGGAGUGUUUAGUAGUGUGUGUUCUUUAAUUAGGUAAAGAAAUAAAUGCCUAGUUCAUGUAAGGUGGUGUACAUUGGACAAUAAGUAUGGUUUGAUUUUACUUUGAAUUUAUUUUACUUGAUGGCGAAUUUCAUUUUCUCACAGCAUUAUUUUUUUUAACUUUUGUUGCAGGCAAGGGUCUUUGUCAUGAUUCUCAAUUUUACAGUUAUUUUAAAUAAAGUUUCAUAAUUUGAUUGACACAAGUUCCUAGAAUUGAUUGGAAUCGGAAUUUGUCUUAGGAUUAUGCAAUAAGGAAGAGCUAGUUUCAAACCAAAUAUACCGACCGUAUCUAGAGCAAGUGGAUGGUUGGUACUCGAGGUUUUAAGUUUGAAUUUUAGUUGAUUCACAUUUUUAGCUAAUUGUAUUUUUAAAUAAAAUAAAUAAAGCGGGUAGCAUGCUAUAUAUAUUUUUUUUAAAAAAAUAAAGUUUCAAACCAAAAUUUGUGGAUACAAUUUGUUUGAAGUGUCAACUUGCCUCUCAAUCUUCGUUUGUUUUAUUUUUAUUCUAUGAUACAUUGGUCAUUAAGUUAAACUGGCUCUCCUAACAAGGGUACCGGAAGUCCAGCUCUUCUGACAAAGGCGUGUUUGUUCACCGGAAGUCUAGCGACGUAUUUGUGAGUUCAUGUAGCCUGACUUUCUCCGGUGGCAUACAUGUGCGAUCAGUCUUACGGAGCAGCCUACAUGUACGGUCAGUCUCAUAGAGCAACGAGUUCGCACAGGACACGAACUUGUGAAGUUCCUACAUAUACAAUUAGUCUCACAGAGCAACGAGUUCGCACAGGACACGAACUUGUGAAGUUUCUACAUAUACAAUUAGUCUCACAGAGCAGCGAGUUCGCACAGGACACGAACUUGUGAAGUUCCUACAUAUACAAUUAGUCUCACGGAGCAGCGAGUUCGCACAGAACACGAACUUACGACUUAAACUCGAACUUGCAACUUCACGCUCGAGAAGUGCGAUGUCCAGUUCCGUUUUACGGACGAAACUCACCGACUUCGACCGAGUGCGGUUCCGCGGAACAAGCAUGCCCUAAGGAGCAGUUCAUUUGCAACUAUAAAUGCAAUACAGUAAAAAAUAUGUACAAUAAAAAAUGUAGCAAUAAUAAUCCUAGCAUCUUAUAAUGGUCCCACGCACGUACCGGAAUGUGUUAUAGUUCAAAAGAAUUUGUUUGAUUAUAUAGAGUUGAGGAUUAUUUUUAUCAAUUUUAACAAUUUAUAUUUGUAUUGAUGAAUUAUUUCUAAUAUAGAAAAAAAUAUUUAAGAAAUGAUUAGAUAGGCAAACUAACCAUCUAUUUAAAAUUACUUCCUCCAACUACUAUAAUCAGAAUUGCGGCUAAUUUGGGCAUAACUUCAACUAUUGCAGUUUAGUCUUCUUAUGCAAUUCCAUCCUAGCAAUUUAAUCUAAACCAUCACACCACACUAUAUUUAAAUCAGUAUUAUAUUACAACUAUAGCACAAUUGUAAUUAGGGUAAACUUCAAAUAUCACCCCUGUAGUUUUGCAUUUUCUCACUUUAGUACCCUACGAUUUAAAGUGUAUCAAGUUAGUGUCAUGUGGUUUCAUUUUUAUCAUUUAGUCAGUUUUUCUGUUAAUAUUUCGUUAAAUUAUAUAAAAAAUAUUUUAAAUACCCACCUACAUUUAUCGAAUAUUCACUUUAGUAUCCUUUGGUUUUAACUUUGUCACUCAUUUAAAGAAAAAAAUUAGUGAAAUCGAUAAUAAGAAGAUAAAAAUAAAAUUACAUGACACUAAAUUGAUACACUUUAAAUCACUGGGUACUAAAGUGAGAAAGCAUGAAACCAUAUGGGUGGUAUUUGAGUUUUUUCUUGUAAUUAUAUGGAGCCAAACAAUCUCUAAAUUUAAGUUCGGUUCACUCUUUUAAUAAGAAAAUUUUUUAAAAAUGCUGCCUAUGCAUUUAUUUUGGAGUGUAAAUUUUAUAUUCCAUCCAUUUUAUAUGUAAAAUUUGUCAAUAGUCGUAUCAAGAUAAUUAGUUAAAAAAAAAUCUCGUAUGAAAUGGACAGAAUAUAAAAUUCACACUACAAUAGAAUUAGGUUAUGAUGAUAUAUUUUUAGAAUAUUUUUAUAUAAAUGUUCCAUUUAUGUCAAUUUUUUUUUUAAAAAAUCUAUUAAAGCCUAAAUAUAAAGUUCAAUUCAAUAAAAAAUAAAAAAUUUCUCUAUUCAACCAACUCCACCCAGUCCACUUGGCCCGAUUACAAAUAAAAAAAGAAAAAAAAAUGAUCAUCAUCUCUCAUUCUCCUCCUCCGCCGCCGCAGCCGGCGAGAUAAAAUUCCAACGGUUGGAGUUCGGCCACGAGGAUCUUGCAGGAACUGUAGAGGGCUAUAAUCGCCACGUAUCGCUCCGUCAUAGAUCGCUAAAGGAGUGGGUGCCAAAUAUCCCACAUAUAGCAACACUUUUAAAAAAUAUCAAUAAUUUAGCUAGCAGCAUUUUUUUGACAUGUACUAAUAUUUAAAAGUAUCGUUAUACAUUAUUUUUAUUGUAGUGUCAACUAAUUUUGGAUGUAAUAAUAGUAUUACUCUUUUUAAUAAAUUUUUUUUUUUAAUUUUCAUCGAAAGAAUCUCAAAAAUAUUAAAUUAUAUAUAAAACAAUAAAAGAAUAUAGUAAAAGUUAGGCCGGAUGUUUGUUGGAUGUUAUUCUAAUAUAAAGUGUAUACCAACUAGGGGUGGAAACGAGCCGAGCUCGAGCGAGCUUACCUCGGCUCAAAUUCGGCUUGAAAUUAAUUUCGAGCCUAAAUUUAAGCUCAAGCUUGGAUUGAAAUUAAUUCGAACCGAGCUCGAGCGAGUCUAAUUUCGAGUCGAGCGAGCUCAAGCCCUAAACGAGCCGUUUGAAAUUCUCAAUAUCAUACGAUCAAUAGUUUAAUUUGUAUAGGAUAUCAUCUAUAAUUUGAUACAAAAAUAUGUCUAAUAGUUCAAAGUACAAAAUAAUUAUAUGAAAUAUAGUAUUAUAAUAUAAAAAAUUAAUGAGUUGAAUAUCUAAUCUUUUCAGCCUCACAUAUCUUUUCUCCGCAUUCAUCUCCAUAUUAUUCAUUUUAUUUAUGCAGUCAAAAUAAAUAAAUUAUACAGAUAAUAUUGGAUUAAACUAUCCAAUCAUAUAUAACUAAAAUAAAAAUUUAUAUGAUAAAUAAUUUUUUACUUUAAAAAUAUUUGUAUAUUUUUCUCAAGCAUACAAUUAAGUGCAAGGUAGGCCGAGGGGCAUAUGCUGUUACUUGGUAACUUGGAGGGCUUCCGGUUGGCCACUUAGGUGAGAGACAGAAAAGAGAAGAGAGAAACAUAUGAAAAUUUAGAUCUCUGUCAAGAAAGAAAGAAGGAAAAAUGUAUAAAUUUAGUGAAAUUUGCUCUUUUAUUUGUUUAUGGGUUUGUUUUUAUGGUCAACACAUUGGCCAAUUUAACUAAAUCAGAUUAUUCACUCAGCCUAUAUAUAAUUAAAAUAUAUUAUAUAUAUUUUUUUAAUAUAUAUAUAUAUUAUAAUAUAUAUAUAGAGUUGAGCUAGAAUACUCUCGAUAGUAACGGAACGUUUUAUAUCGAGUUGUUUCGAUGAUAGAGCUUCCAAAUUGACGAUCGGCUCGUUAAAUAUGAUCUAAACCAUUUAAACUAUCUAGAAAUCAAAUUUCACGCACUUUCGAUAUUGUUCUUUAUCCAUCUAGUGAACAAAAAAUAAUGGCUGAAAAUGAAUAUUCUUUAAAAAAUGAAUGAUAGGAGUCUUGUAAUCAAGAUCAAGAGUAUAGACUCCUGUUUUAAAUAGUUUAAAGAAUUUUCUAACAAAAAUUCAAUUGAUUUGGUAUAUCUUUACAACCGUUAAACGAGAAACUGCUCUCUUAUCCACCAUUAAAAAUUACAAAUUUUGGAGAACCCUUUGAUAUCAGGACAAAUGAUGUCGAAAAAAUUGUGAAAUUUGAUUUCUAAACACUUCAAGUGGAUAGAUCAUGUUCAAUGGAGGCGAUCGUCAAUUUGGAAGCUCUAAUCCAUCGAAAACAACUCGAUAGUAAACGCCCCGUUUACUAUCAAGAGUAUUCUAGGCUCAACUCUAUAUUAUAUAUAUAUAUAUAUAAUAUAGUAUAUAUAUAUAUAUAUAUAUAUGUAGGACUACCUAUACCUAUCGAAAAUAUAGAGGAUUUGAUGCUUUUCGAAUUUUUGACCCUUUUGAUUUAAGAUUGUAUGAGUUGGAAAAUGAUUGCGGCCCUCUUUAGGAUUAAUUAAUAUCCCUAUAAAUUGAGUGGUCCCUACAAGGUAAUAAUAGUAUUAGUUCCAAUCGAGCACCAGAUCCCUAUUCUUUCAAUAGCAAUAAGAAGCUCUACUCUCUGCUCUCUCAUCCCUCUCUCAUCGCUUCUCUCUUCUCCCUCUCUCUCUCUCUCUAUAUAUAUAUAUAUAUAGUGGCUCCGAAUACUUGUACAAAGGUAUCAUGGGGUGAUACAUUGUGUGUUUUAGGCGCUUGGAUGAGAGCAUGUGAGGUUGAGAUGAUGGUGGUAGGUGUGGUGGUGGUAUAGUGUUUAAUCCAAGACUAUUACUAAUCAAAAAUGUAGAUCCAAUGGCUUAAACACCUAAUAGCACCAAUCGAGUGGAUGCUUGUAAGUAUCAUACUCAACUCAUAAUAUAUAUAUAAUAUAUAUAUUAUAUAUAUAGUAUAAUUAUAGAGAGAGAGAGAGAGAGAGAGAGAGAGAGAGAGGAGAGAGAGUAGGGCUAGAAUACUUUUACAAGUAUCACACAAAUGAUACUUGUGUGUUUUUAGCCAUUGGAUCUUUUUUUUGAUUACUAAUAGCCUUUAGAUCAAACACUAUUCCACCUACCACCAUCAUUUCAACCUCACAUCUCUCCAUCCAAGGGCUAAAAACACACAAGUAUCACUUGGGUGAUACUUUUACAAGUAUUCUAGCUCUAUACUCUCUCUCUCUCUCUCUCUCUCUAUAUAUAUAUAUAUAUAUUCGAGCUUUUCGAGCCUAAUUCGAACCAGCCGAGUAAUACUCAAGCUCGGCUUGAAAUAAAUUUCGAGCCUUUCUUUUUGUUCAAGCUCGGCUCAUUUAAUUUCAAGCCGAGCUCGAGCGAGCCAAAUAUCGAAUCAAACGCGAGUCGAACGCGAGCCGGCUCGCUCAUUUGCCAGCCCUAAUACCAACUCUAUAACGAGGUGGUUUUUAUGUCACAUUUUCACUACACGCUAACCUAAUCAAAACUCUCCUUUUAUAUAUAGUACAAAUUGUACAAUAAAAUUUUGAUAUUUUGUAUAAAAAAUUUACUGAUUUUAUAUUUUUGAAAAAAUGGGCCAUCAUUUUAGAUUUUAUAGAUUAUGUUCAAAUUUUUAGUAAACUGGUUAUAAUAGUCUUUUUUUUUCUUUAUGUUUUUUUUUUUUUUUCACUUUCGUUCGUCUUCCUCCACAUUUCUUCUUUUCCUUCUCUUCCCCUUUCUUCUCAUUCUCCACUACCCUCAUAUCGACAUCACGUUCUGCUUUCUUAUCUCCUCCGCCGAUGCCGGCUCGGAUAUGGCAUAUAUUGCAGAGGUGAGGCUACUGCGGAAUACAUGAUUGCGGACGGCGACGGCGACGAGUGUACCACAGGAUUUGAGGGCGACGAGAAUGGAGAGCACGUCGGGCAGGGGCAGGGGCAGUGCUGCGGCACGGCAGAGGGCGAGAGAGAGGGCGCAAUAGCGAAAAAGAGAUGUAGAGGGUACAAGAAAAAAAAAAAAAUAAAGAGUAAAAAUAAAAAAAUUCUUCUGAAAAGACUAUUACGUGUUGUGACAAUUAUCAGAAAAUUGAAGAGAGUAGAUGUUGGUAGCCGAAAUUCCCGACUCUUGACCCGGUCGAAAAUCCUCCUUGGGAAGCGCGUCGGGGUGAGGAACGGCUGCAGAUAGUGACCCUCGAAGUUUGCGCCCUUCGACAGAUCAAGUGAUUCGGCUGACGAGGGAUCAAGCCAACCGAGUUCAAAAACCACUACUAUCUGUUCGGUUCGGCUGGAAUGAGCCGAAUGUACAGAACAGGCCAGAAACUAGGCCGGAAGAAGAACCGAAUGACUAAAGCAAUACGAGCUCUGAUCGGCUUGAAGAGCCGAAAUUACUUUCUAUUGAUUAACUGAUGGGAAGUACAAAUAUGGAUAUAUAGUUUACAACGGAGUAAUGCCCGUGGGACAGACAGACUCCAGGAUUCUAUUUUAGCGAACUACUCCUAGAGAAAAGCAGUAAAAUUACAGGUAGACUACUCCUAGAGAAAUGCAGGAAAUUGCAGGAGAAUAAGGGUGGUCUUUUGUUCACAGGGGAAAAGACCUCUUUUUAGAGUAUUGUUGCCCUAUUUAUAGAUCGCCCCUGCUGAUAAGUUAUUCUAUUUUCACGAUUGGCCACUAUCCUUAUUAUUCGGACCACCUUCAGCCGAUCAGAACUGCUUGCAACCGCUUACGGUUACUGUAACUUCUUUCAAUUGACGUGACGGUUUUCUUUAAAACAUUGCUGGUGCUCCUAGUGCACGGCUAGAUUGAUGCCUUUGAAGGGAACACCGGCGUACCACCUAUCCGUGCCUAAUUGACUCAACAGUAGAGAAGAAAGAAGAAAGAAAUUGCACUACUUGAAUUAAAAUUUAUAUUGUUUGAGACAAAAAGUUACACUGUUGGAGAUGAAAGUUACACUUUUUAAAAAGAAAAUUGUAUGAUAUAAAUUAUUUGAGACUAAGUUGGACUAUACAAAAUAGAAGUUGCCUUUUGUCGUUAAAUCUACUAGGGGGCGCAACCCCACUCAAUUUAUUGGCUCAAUUCAACAUAUAAAUUAUUUAUUUCCUAGACCUAUCAUUAUAGAGUAGAAAUUUGGACCUACCAACAAUAAAUAACCAUUAGACCUAUUUUAGCCAACAAUAAAUAACCAACUAGUUAGAUAGAAUAGAAGGAUGGGUCAUGGGUGGGUCUAAGUGCACGAUUAUAAGGUUACACUGGGCUUAGGCUAAAUUUCCUCACUUUACCGGGCCGCGUCGAAUCAGGCAUGUGUUUGCUCCACCGAAAGUGCAGAGUGCAGCAAUUUUCAAUCAGAAUUGCUCACUUUCAUUAUUAUGUUAGUCAAAACUUCACCGCUGGUCGAAACUUAAAUUUUUCAAAAUAUCUUAAUUGACUUCGGUCCACUAAAAACUGAAAUCAAUUAUAGAAAAAAAUAAUAUAUUAAUCUAUUUCUUACACUUUCAUGGCGUGUUUGGUUCGCUUCUUUUUCACCCUGAAAUUGAAAUCGGAAUGGGUGAAUCUGUUUGUGGGUGUUUGGUAUGCGGGAGUUCUAUUUUGAUUCUGAUUUCCGAGUGGAAUGAGAAUUCGAGAAUCACCUCUUUUUUCAAUCCGGCCUAGAAGGUCGGAUUGGAAGUUGAAUCUGAAUGGAAUGAAUAUUUAUUCGGAUUAAAUUUAUUUUUUCAACUUUUUUAAUUAAAAUAUGAGUUUAAAUUUAGAAAUUAAAUUUAUAAUUUUAGAUUUUAAUUUGAAUUUUAAUUAAAAAUUAAAAUUUAAGCAAGUCUUUUGAAUCUAACUUAUAAAUUUGAAUUUAAAUUAAAUUUUAAUUUAUAUAAAGUUUUAUUCAAAUUUUAUUUAAAACUUAAAUUAAAUUUAUGGAUUCAAAUUAAAAUUUAAAUUGUAAUUUUAAGUUUGAAUUUGAAUAAAUCAAAAUUUAGUUUUAUAUUUUGAAUUAUCCACUAAACUUCAAAGUUUAAUUUUUUUUAAAAAAAUUAAACUAAAAUUUUGACAUUAUUUCAAAAUUUUNAAUAGAUUUAAAAUUUUCACAUUAUUUCAAAAUUUUGAUGAAAAUUUUUAAUAUUGAAUUUUUAUUUUGAAUUUAAAUUAAUAUAUUAUAAAGAUAAAGUUAGUAUAUUAAUUUGAUUACAUUUUUUACCUGAACCAAACACCGACAAUGGGAAUGAUUUAUCCCGAUUCCGAUUCAGAUAACGAACAAAACAGAAUUAGAUAAUGAGUCAUUCCGAUUCCGAUUACAGCUUAUUUCAAUUCCGAUUCUGAUUCCAAUUUCAACUUCGAACCAAACGCGCCCUCAGUUUUACGUUAAUCACUUUCUAUCAAAUAGAUUAACAGCAGAACUGAGAAAACUUCAACUCCACAGCUAGUUAUUAACCUGCGCUCUAAUUUACCUGAAAGUCUACUUCAAUCUAAAAUUCACCUUUGGUGAAACAAACAUGUCCGGUACCACACCUUAUAUUUGAUGAUUAUAAUUAUCGAAAUAAUCCAACAAAUUUGAUUCAAAAUAUAUCUGAAAAGUCUAUAUGGAAAAAUAAACAUUUUUUAAAAAUUUUUUAAAAAAUCUCCUUGUAAGAAGCCUGUUUUUAACAAAAAAAAUGGUAUAGAACAUAUCCAAUAAUUUAAAUUUGAAUUUUAAAAAUCCCUAUCUUAAAGUUUAAGAAGUACUGUGUAUAUAUGUAUAUAUACACCUGGUGCAUAGAUGCUGUUGUUGUUAUUAUUAUUAUUGUUAUUAAUUAUUAAUUAUUAUUAUUAUUAUUAUAUUUAGUAGUACGUAACCGAAUUCGGUUAAGCCACAUCGCUCUUAUCCAAAUUCACGCACCUCUUAAUUAUGCGUACGUAGUGGGUAUUGGUGUGUAUAUAUCUAUAUUUAUGUACACAUGAUAUAACACACACAAACGAAGGAAUAGAGGCUUCUAAAGUGGUGAACGAGAACAAGCGUGUUUUGUAUUGAUAAAGGGGAAAAGAAAACAAAAAAAACAAAGGAGAUGGGGAGGUGUACAAUGAUGCAGCUCAUGGUUUUCGCAAUAUUGUUCGUCGGCGCGACGAAGAGGGCCGAGUCGCGGUUAGAUUCGAGCUUCGACAAGCGUCGACGGAGCCUCCUCGCCAACGGGCUCGGCUUAACGCCUCAAAUGGGGUGCGUAGCUGCUCUUCUUGUUCUUCGUCACUAAUCGCGAAUUAAUAAUAAUAAUUGGUUUAUUUUUUUAGCCAAUUUAAUUAUUAAUUGCAUUUAGUAAUUUAUUUUUAUUAUUAUUAAUUUUUGAGUACAGCUGAUGCUUUGGUCUCUACUGGGCUUGCAAAGCUUGGAUACAAGUAUGUCAAUUUAGGUAAUGUUCUCUUCACUCUCCAUUUAUACACAACCUCUAUAUAUAUAUAUAUAGAUAGAUUUAAAUAAGAUGAUUUAUUUUUUUCAUGUGUGAAACAAAUGAAAUUUUAUUAUAUUUUUUCUAAAUAUUACAGAUGAUUGCUGGGGAAACUACAAUCGCACACCAGAGGUUCAAAUUUGAAUUAUUUCUCCCUUUUUUUUUUCUGGGUUUUUAAUUUGUUUGUUUCAUCGACGCGGUAAGUUAUUUUGCUUAUAUAUCUAUAAUACGGUUUACUUAAAAUAUUUCAGGGUAAUUUACUUGGAAAUGAGAUAACAUUUCCGUCGGGAAUCAAAGCUCUCGCCGAUUACGUGCACAGCAAAGGGCUCAAGUUAGGAAUAUAUUCUUCUGCAGGGUAAAGUUACUUUGGUGCUUCUUCAAAUUUAUCAUACAUUAUCUCUACUUUUCAAAAGUUGCUGCAUGAUUUAAAUAAUUGAGUUUUAACUCACGAAAUUCGAACUAAAAGGAUUAUUCGUCGCUUUUAGGUUCCGAACAUGCAGCAAUCGAAUGCCGGGAUCGCUUGGCUACGAAGAAAAAGAUGCUAAAACCUUUGCUUCAUGGGUAAAGAUUCUAAGAUCUUUGAUUUUUUAAUAUGUUUUUCUACUAUUCAUUAUCGAAAUAAUAUUACAAUUUAGUUAGUAAGUUUGUCAGAAAAUUUUCAGUCAUUAACUUGCUUCGAAAUGUAGGGAGUUGAUUACCUGAAAUAUGAUAAUUGUUACACCGACGGAUCGAAUGUGACGAAGAGGUUAUCUUAUUUUUCCCAGAUUAUUAUCGACUAACUCGACUUAAAUUCGCUCGUCAAGCUAAAUUUUACAAACUAUUUGUAGAUUCCCUGCAAUGUCUCGAGCACUAAGGAAGGUCGAUCACCCGAUCUUUUACUCUCUGUGCGAAUGGUAAAGCUAAAAUUGAUCACAUAACUUAAUCUGAUCAUAAAAUUCUGCAACUUUUUUUCUUAUUUGUUCAUUUUAGUGAUUUUUUUUUUUUUGGUUUUUUUGGUUAAUGGGGUGUGUUUAGGGGAUGGGCAGAGCCAGCAUUGUGGGGUAACAUGUUUGGGAAUAGUUGGAGAACAACCACUGAUAUUAAUGAUACAUGGAUUAGGUAUGCUUCAAUUUCGCCGAAGAAGCAUAAAAACAAAGAGGAAUUAGCCUUGUUUAAUCUCUUUACGAACUUGAAUGGAUAAUUUUGUUCUUGUUUCAGCAUCAUGUGGAACAUUGAUGAGAACGAAAAGUACGCAAAGUACGCAAAACCUGGUGGUUGGAAUGGUCAGCAUUGAGUAGAUCAGAUCAACUUUUAGCCUCACAAGUUGUUGCUUCAGAUUAUCAUUUGAAUAUACUAAGAAAAAAUUUGCUUUUCUUUUUAUUUGUUUUUAUUUGUUUUUCCUGCUGCAAUCAGAUCCUGAUAUGCUAGAAAUAGGAAAUGGAGGAAUGACAAAAGAUGAAUACAUUGUUCAUUUCAGCUUAUGGGCCAUUUCUAAGGUACUUUUAGAAAAAAAAAAAGAAAAGAACACCCACAAAUGGAUACAUUCAAUUAGUUUUAGAUUUCAUUUGUUCUUAAUUUCUUAUCAUGUAGGCUCCCCUCAUUAUCGGAUGCGAUGUGCGGAACAUGUCGAAGGAGACUUACGAGAUUCUGACGAAUGCAGAAGUUAUCGCGAUCAACCAAGGUGGUGAACUCGCGAACAAAAAUCUUUUCUUACACUUCAAAUUUUCCGAGGAUACUUAUUUCUUUCGAUUUUGGGAAACAAAAAAACAGAUUCCAUCGGCGUUCAAGUGCGCAAAGUAAAGAAAGAAGGAGAUCUCGAGGUAGAUCACUCUUUGUUGUCUACUACUGCGUUGUACAAAACUCAUUUCGCAACUCGGAAAGCGGUUUCGAAAAUUAUUUUCCGUAACAGGUAUGGGCCGGGCCGCUUUGCGAAGAGCGAAGAGUAGUCCUUUUGUUAAACCGAGCCGACAAGGGAUCGAGCCCGAUGACGGCCCAUUGGAAGGACAUAGGAAUUCCCUCUGGCACAGUUGUUGAAGCAAGAGAUGUUUGGAAGGUAUAAAUUAACUUCAAAUAUUUGUUAUUUUUCAUUUAUUUGAACAUUUGUACUUCUCUUUUGUGCGCAUGAACUAUGUUAAUUGUGAGAAAUGUAGCUAAGAAUGUGUAUCUUCUUAUUUCUGCAGCAUAAGACACUGAAAGAGAAGCUCACAGGGAAGAUAACGGCGACGGUGGCGGCCCAUUCAUGCAAACUUUUUGUGCUAAAACCGAUCCAUUAACUGAUAUCAGAUUUUAUUUAUUUUAUUUUUUUGUUUUGUUUUGCUUUUGUUUUAAUAUAAAGUUAGGUCCCAAGAUCAGAAAUUCUAUGUCUUUAGUGUUUUUUGUUUUGCUUUUGUUUUUUUAGUAUAAAGUAAGGUCCCAGGAUCAGUAAUUCUAUGUCUUUAGUGUUUUAGUUUGAUUUAUUGGAUGUGGGGUGAAUAAACUGAGAUUAUUCUUUGUUUAAUUCGCUCUGUGUAAGAUGGUGUUGAACUGUUAAAUUUUCUAUAAAACCAUAAGUAAAUGAUGGUUUAUCAAUUUCCUCCUUUAUCUACGGGAUUUAUAUCUGUGUAGAGCUUAAGAUCACAAAAAUCAACAAACUUUUCCUAAUGGAAAAUUCAACAUUACAUAUUAGAUAAUUAGGUGCACAAAAAAAAAAGAAGAUAAAACACUUAAUAUUUCCCAAAUUUUUGCUUAUAAAUUUGUCCCAUACAUUGGAUUGAGUUAAACUUAUGAGUGGAAUUAAACAUAGGAAAAUAUUGUUGAUUUUAUAUGAUUUUAACCCUUUUGAUUCAAAAUGUUUAUGUAUAUGAAACGUAGUGAAAGGGCCAUGAAUUUCGACCCAAAUUCCCCACAAUGUGGCCCCAUGCGAAGCAAAAGGCGCGUGGGGACGCAUCACCUCAUCAGUGGACUGUUACGAUUUAAUUUUUGGUCAUCGUACGGUGAUCCUGCGAGUCCGCAUGCGCCAAUAAACGGACGAAAGAGCGGUUGGAAUAAGUAAUGUGUAGGCCCUCUCAGCUGAUCUGAGUCGUCCAAUGUGAAUCCGACGGACAACGGUUCCCAUUCGGGGUAACUUUAGUCCCACAUCGCUUGUUUUCAUAACGUUAUAUGUCUUCUUAUAACCGAUGCGCGCUCCCUGUGCUGUCUCUUCGGAGACAUCCGAUAAAAUUGGAACGAUACAGAGAAGAUUAGCAUGGCCCCUGCGCAAGGAUGACACGCACAAAUCGAGAAAUGGUCAAAAUUUUUUUAAACUAAUUAUCCUUUUUGCAAGGAGAUUUUGAUUCCUCGAAGUGCUCUGUUCUAUUUAUUUAUUUAUUUAUUUAUUUGUUCGUCCAAAUUUUCUCCAAAUUUUGAUCUUUGGAUUGGAGUUUUGAUCUUGGUUUGUUCUCUUUGAUCUCUGAAUUAUUUUUUUUUUUUUCAAAUUUUCUCAUAAGUUUUCUCUGUAAAUUAGGGUUCGGUAUCUCGGUUUAUUCUCUUUGAUCUCUGGAUCCUCGAAAUGCUCUCUUUUAUUUGGUUUUUUUUUUUGGUUCUUCCAAAUUUUCUCAAAAAAUCUCUCUUUGGAUUAGGGUUCCGAUCUCGGUUUGUUCUCUUUGAUCUCUGAAUUUUCUUUUGCCUCACCGGAAAUUCCUCUACUAGUUAGGGUUUUGACUUAUUAAUUUGUUAUUUUAGGUGUUUGAUUUUCUUUUUUUCCUUUUCCGUUGGUAAUUUGUGUUCUUACGGAAUUAGGGCUUUGAUUACCAAGUUUAGUAAUUGAAAUGUUGAGUUGUUAGUCUCGUUCUGUAUGAUAUAGUAAUGUUUUGUCACAAAUACUUGAUUUUUUGCAGCUACAUAUGGCUACGGAUUGUGUGAUCAUAACUACGAAUUUGCACCUGAUUUUGUGGAAAUUUUGUUUCCCUUCAAAUAGGACAUUUUUAAUUCAGUUUCCCUCUUUAUUCUUGAUAAUUUUUUCUAGACCUUUUGCAUAUAUCUUGAUUCUUAACAAUGUGUAUAUAUCUACUCUUUUUUUUAAAAAAAAUCCCCUUGUGCUUCUGCAUAAUAUUGUUCGGUGCUUCCAAGUGUUGAAAUCUUUAGAAAAUAAGGAAAAAAAAACUUGAUUUUGAGAGUGAUAUUGUGCCUCAUAUCACCUCAGGCGUAAAUAACCACCACUCAAUGUGCAAAAGAAGCAGCUACAUUAGAUUUUAUACGAGUUGGUUGAUUCCUUUCAUUCACAUUACCAGAGAACAUCUCUUCCAUAUUAUUUUGAAACUUCAAUCACCACCUUGUUUAUGUAGCAUGCUUUAUCACUUUAAAACAGUUAAUCAAUGAGGUAUGGUCACAUUAACAGCAAAAUAUGUCAAGAUACCAUAUAUGCAUAGCAUGUAAUCUCUGUAUAUAUUUCCUUUAUUUGUUCUGUGUUCGAUGUGGUCGUGAUCUCCUCUUUCUUUUUCUUGCAUAUUCAGAUGCGAGUGAGGCAGUCCCGCUGCUUUUUAACACAUAAAUGGUAAUCUUCUUUUAUAUGCCCUUUUCGUCUGUGACAUUGUUAUAUAUGUUAGUGUUUUGUGCAUCUGCUUUUGUGCGGCUGUUCUCUAAUCACUUUAGUUGGAAAUCCGUGAAACAAUCUACAAUUUUUACUAGACCCGCAUGCUCGGAAAUUUGCGUUGGAUCGAACUUAAGGCCUCGUACAAUCUAGCUAUUUUCUUCUAUUUCUGAUUCUGGCGGUCGAUGCAACUUGAUUGCAGUUUUGCUUCAGGCACAAUACUUGAUUUGGUAAUAUUAUAUCCUGCUCAUGGAAGUUUGGUCAGCGUAUGAUUAUGAACUGAAGAACUUGAAAUUUCAUGCACUUUUUAAGUUUCAAGUUAAAUUUUGCAACCCUAUAUGCUUAGAUAUCACUAUUUUAAAUAAUCCAUAAAUAGUUGUUGCCCUGCAUUCUUGGGUUGUUAUCUUUCUGCAGGUAGUAGGGCUGCAAGAGCAGUAUAGCAAUAAGAUCAGUAGCAGCAUGAAGGCAUUAAUUUUGCGCAUCACAUGUGAGUUGCAAAGGAAAUUUAAUUUUGAAGAACAGGUUUGAGUAUAAUAUGCACUCUUUUUUGUGUUUUUUUUUUUUCCUUUAUUUUUGUCCUGGGAGAGCCAGUGUUUUUUCAGAAUAGUUAUCCGGUAUAACUAGAUGAAUGUUAUUAUGUUUAGUAGCAUUGUUCACUGAAUAAACCUUAGUCAACAGCAGUUGUAUUAAUUUGUUCUUACUUCUUUUUUUUUGUUGUUCUUCUAUAAGAAGGCUAUUUAUUUCCUUUAGUCACAAUGUUAAGAAUUUUGCUUUAUUCAUUUGAGGGCAUGAUUUUCAUCUCAAUCUAUUUAAGGCACUUGUUUUUUUGCCUAAUUCUUGUCAGAUAGAUAUCAUAGAAAAUGUGGUGCACCGGUGUCGCAGAUAAACAAGGAAGACUAUCUGUGGAAUGGUUUUUUUUGGGUUACUUUCAUUCAGCUCCCAGUAAACAUAUCGAAUAGUAAAUAUAUUCUUAUGAAGUUCAAUUUUUCAUAUUUAUUUAUGCAAAAAUUCAGUGAUAUUCAUAUUUGUAUUUUUCGUUUGUUAUUGUUAAAGCACAGUUUAUUUUUUAAACAAAAGAUAUGUGAAAUAACUUUUUUACCAUCAUAAAUAUGUUACUUCAAAAAUUUCAACCGUUAGAAUUAUACAGAAAGGUCCUUUCAAAAAUUCUCAAUAGUCAUCUUUUUUCUUUCUGCCAUCACAAAUAAUAUAAGGGGAAUAAAAAAAGUCAAUUUACCUCAUUCACUAAUUAAGAUUAAGUAGUUUACUUUUAGUUAAUUAUAUUUUUCUAAUGGAUCCUAACAAAAGGGGGUAUAUUUGAAAAAGUUAAGAUUUUUGCAAGAACAAAUAUAAAAAAUUGAACUUUGUAGGUCCAUAUUUGCUAUUCGACAUAUUUACAGGGAGCCGCAUGCAAUUUACCUUUUUUUUUUUUGUAAUAAUGCUUAUUUGCCAUUUUCAUGUUGUUCUCUUGUAUUUUUUGUAAACUCCAUGUUGUCAAUGAUUUAAAAAUUGGGUCCGACGGACUAGUUCGACUAGUCCGACCGUGACUUAAUCUAUAAAGUAGUUCAGUUCAAUUCUUUGAACCAGAAAAUUUAAAAUUCACUUUGAAUUGUUCGAACCAGCUAAUUGGUGGUUCAACCAUCAAACCGAUAAACUAGUCCGAUUUUAAUCAAUCUGGCCUAGUUUUUUUAUCAAGUUGAUUUAAAAUCCAAUAGCUUAAAAUCAACUUAACUGAUUUAAUUUUCUAGUGCUACAUAUUAGUCUUAUAAAACGUAAAACGUGAAAAUUUAUGUAUAAUUAAUUUGGUCUAGAAAUUAAUAUUUUGUAAUUAAGUAUGAUACUAAAAUAAUAAUAAUAUAUAUAUUAUAUAAUAAAAUUAAAAAUAAAAUUUAAAUAUUUAUGGUAUUAUGCUGAUAUUAUUGGUUCACCCAUAAUUCUUUACCCAAUAACAAUUAUGGCCUGCUAUUUGACCUGAUUUUUAAAACAUUGCACAACAAAAAAGAAAAAGGCAAAAAUAUAAUUGUAAAUUUUUUUAUUUACUUAUAAAUUUUAUGGUGAAGUAGAUCAGUAUGGAGACAAGCUAACAGCACGAAAAGAAGUUGAUUGCACAUUCAUUUCAUCAAUGAUAAGAACUACAAAGAAAUGGAAAAAAAGGUUCAUUUUAGGGGCGGUUGGUUCCUCAUAAAACGAAUCGAAAAAUUAUUUUUGGUAUAAAAAAUAAUUUUUUGCUUGUUUGGUUCAAUGUAAAAAUACUUUUUCGUAAAAGUAUUUUUACAGAUUUGAAAAAAAAUUGAAGUUUUUGUUUUCUGCUAUUUUUUGCCGGAAAAUGAAAAUAGAUUGCGUAAAACUUUUUUUUAUUUAUCAAACCAAAUAAAUGUGAAAAUUUUUCCUUUCAAUCGAACAAAUGUUGAUGACAAAUUAUUAUUCUUUUUUUUACAAACCAAACACUACAAAACAUAAAACAUUUUUCCAGCAAAAAGUGUUUUCCACAAAGAUUUUUUUUUACGAUUUUAUGUUGAACUAAAAUGCAUGUAACAAAGCCUACUCAGGAACAGAGAAAAGAGACAAUUUCAUGAAAAAUUUGCACAAUAGGACCAUGUUUUUUUUUUUUUUUUUGGCUUUCUUGAAGAUAACAGGGAAUUAUUUUUUUAAUAUGAUAGCAUUAUUUUGAGCUCUAGCACUGCAUUUGCAUGGAUGAAGGAAAAUUAGGAGAGAACUAUUUUCUCUUUGUUUGAUGGAAAUUUGAGUAAGAGAAAUGCAGAGAAAAGGAGAGAAAUAGAUAGAAGUUGACCUUCUAAAAUGGCCAUUUUUUUUUUCUCUUCUCUUUUUUAAAUCCAAACAAUGGGAGAAUAAAUGAAUAACAACAGACAAAGGAAAUUUGAUCUGCUAUGCCCAUUUUUCUUCCUUUAAAUAUAAUUUCUCAUCUCUUUGCUGAAUGGGUCGAACAGUUGCCAAACUUGUUGAGCUAAUUAUAUUGGGCCUAUUUCUUAUUUGGGCCUUGCUAUUUGGGCUAUGUAAUUUGGUGAAGUCAAAAUCUCCUCUUUUUAUAUUUUCUUAUCAUGUAUGUGGGCCUCUAUUUGUAAGCUUUUGGAUCAUGAUUCUUUUGAUCCAAAGGCCCAUAUUGUUAGCCUCUUCUCUUAGGGAGCUAAAGUGGGAUAUUAGAAUAGAGAGAAAAAAAAAGAGAGAAAAGUAGAGAGUGAAAAAAAGAAGUGGGAGAAAAGAGAGAAAACCCUAGACUUGGUUUUGAUCUUUGUUCUAUCAAGAAGGAGGUGAGAUCUUCCUUAUGAUGUGUGGUUUACACUAUUUGGAUAGAGCUAGAGAUUGUUGGAGCUCUCUUUUAUACCUUGGAGAUAAGGUGAUAUUUCUCCCAUUUGAAUCUCUCUUGUAAUCUUCAAGUUUAUAGUGAAAGCUUCUUUUGUAUUGUUCUCCCGUAGAUGUAGGUAUAGCCGAACCACGUAAAUCCUUGUGUUCCUGUGGUUUUUGAUUUUUGUUAUUGCUCUUGUGCUUGGCUCUCCAUUUGAUGCUUAAAGAGAGUGGGUUGUGUAAUUGCCCACUAAGUGUUUGUGAAAUUGCCAUCAAUAUUUUUCACCCUCAUUUAACAACAAUUGGUAUCAGAGCUUGAUUGGUGGUUAUCUAAGCAUUCAUUUGUGUUUAUUCACUCAUCUUUCAAAUGAAAAAAGCUAUGGAAUUUGAGAAGUUGAAUGAGAGCAAUUGGCCUAUAUGGAAAAUCAUGAUAGAAGAUUAUUUGGUUGCAAAAGAGCUUGAUUUACCAAUAUUAGGAAAAGGUGCAAAACCCACUAGUAUGGAUAAUCAUGAAUGGGAUAUACUUGACCGAAAAUGUUUGGCGGCGAUUAGACCAUGCAUUUCAUCAUCGAUUUUAUUUGAUGUCUAUCAAUGCAAGACCGCAUCCGAAUUGUGGGAGACUUUGGAGCAAUCAUUUGAGCAACCUUCCGGUGUGAACAAGAUGCAUGCAAUGAAGAGACUCUUUCUCUUGAAGAUGCAAGAAGGUUCUACUAUUCGUAAGCAUGUGAGUGAGUUUAACUCUAUUGCGGCACAAUUGAAGUCUCUCAAAAUUAACCUUGAUGAAGAAGUCCUUUGUUUACUACUUUUGAGUUCUUUACCUUCAAGUUGGGAUACUCUUGUUACUAUGGUGGCGAACACAAUGGGGAACAAAUUCAAGUUGAAUGAUAUUGUUGCUUCAUUGUUGAAUGAGGAAACUCGCAAAGCCACAAAUCAAUUGUCUAGUGAUUUGAGUCAAGCACUACCUAUUGAUGAAAGAGGAAGGUCAUCGAAGCGAGGCCAAUAUUCCAACACAAAGGAAAGAUCUCAAAGUAAAGGAAGAUCAAAAUCACAAGGUAGAAAGCUUACUUGUUGGUAUUGCAAGAAGAUGGGUCAUGUGAGAAAGGAUUGUUAUGUUUUGAAAAAUAAGCAAAAAGGUAAAGGCAAGGAUGUCAAGAAUGAAGUUAACAACGCUUCGGAUGGUGAAAGUGGAGUCACAUUAAGUGUUGCUUGCACAGUCUCUUCUUGUGUAAACACUUGGGUUUUGGAUUCCGGUGCUUCUUUUCAUAUAUGUCCGGAUCGAUCAUAUUUUUCUACAUACAAAGGAGUAGAUGGUGAAUUUGUUUAUCUUGGUAAUGAUCGGGCAUGUAAAAUUAUUGGCAUGGGUGACAUUGUCAUAAAGCAAACAAAUGGUCAAAAGCAUACAUUGACAAAUGUGCGUCAUGUUUCGGAGAUCACAAAGAACUUAAUGUUGGCGGGACAAUUGGAUGAUUCCGGUUUUGUUAUCACUUUCGGAAAGGGCUCUUGGAAGAUAUCAAGGGGUAGUAUGACUAUUUUGAAAGGGCAAAAGAAUGAAAGUCUCUAUACACUUCAUGGAACCACUCAAAAGGGUGAUGAUUCAAAUUUGAUGGUUACUACCGCAAGCAAAGGCGAAAAUAUGCAAGUUUGGCAUAAUCGGCUUGGUCAUCUAAGUGAGCAUGGUAUGCAAGUAUUACAAGAACAUAAACUUAUUCCUUUCUUUGAGCAUUCAUUUCUUGAUUUUUGUGAACAUUGCAUUAUGGGAAAACUACAUAGAGUUAAGUUUAAAAGAAAUGAGAUGCAUAGAAAGGACAAGCAAUUGGAAUUGGUUUAUUCCGAUGUUUGCGGUCCUUUCAAUAUUAAGUCUCUUGGAGGUGCAUACUACUUUGUUACUUUCUUAGAUGAUUAUUCUAGAAAGUGUUCGAUUUAUCCUUUGGCUUCGAAAGAUCAAGUUUUUGAAACUUUUAAGAAAUUCAAAGCAUGUGUUGAAAAGAAAAGUGACCAUUUUAUUAAGUGUUUGCAAACCGACAAUGGUCGUGAAUUUUGCUCUAGUGCCUUUGAUGAUUUUUGUUUUGAGAAUGGCAUCAAAAGAGUGAAGACGGUUCCCUACACACCACAACAAAAUAGGAUCAUUGAAAGAAUGAACCAAACAAUUGUGGAACAGAUUCGAAGUAUGUUGUCGCACUCCGGCCUAUCAAAGUCUUUUUGGGCCAAAGCGGCAAAUACGGCCAUUUACUUGAUUAAUAGAUCACCUAGUGUUGCAUUAGAUGGAGACAUUUCGAAAAUUAUAUGGAGUGGCAAGGACAUUUCCUAUGGGCACUUAAGAAUAUUUGGGUGUGAAGCUUAUGUUCAUAUUCCGAAAGAAAGUAGAACAAAGCUUGAUGUGAAAUCAAGAAAAUGUGUAUUUCUUGGUUAUGGAGGUGAUGAGUUGGGUUAUAGACUUUGGGAUCCCGUUGUUAGAAAAACUAUUCGGAGCCGGGAUGUUGUGUUUAGAGAGGAUGUAAUGUUUAAAGAAGGCACGGAAGAAGAGCAAAAGAAAGAUAAACUUGUUGUUGAUGUACAAGUUGAUGGUUCUUCUCAAGAUAUACAUGAAGUUCAUCCUCCACUUUAUGAUAGUGAUGUUGGUCAUGAUGAUAAUGUUGAUCAUGAAGAAAGUACACAAUCUAGUGAAAGUCGGCAUGAUUCUCAUGAGAGUGAGAACGAUAUGUCUACCCCGCCGGCACAUGAUUUGAGAAGAUCAAUUAGGCUAUAUAAACCUAUCUAAAGGUAUUUUCCUUCUUUAUAUUAUGCUUUAUUUACUGAUUCGGGUGAGCCCGAGUGUUUUCAGGAAGCAAAAGAUUGCCCCGAAAAAGCAAAGUGACAAAGGGCAAUGGAGGAUGAGAUGGAUUCCGUACAUCAAAACCAUACUUGGGAAUUGGUGGAGCUUCCGGUCGGAAAGAAAGCAUUGAAAAAUCGAUGGGUUUAUGUGAUAAAAAAUGAAGUCGAUGGAUUCAAGAGAUAUAAGGUAAGGCUUGUUGUUAAAGACUAUGGAUAAAAGCAAGGUAUUGACUUCAAUGAAAUAUUUGCUCCCGUUGUUAAGCAUUGCUCAAUUAGAGUUGUUUUAUCCUUGGUUGCUAAUUUGGAUCUUGAGCUUGAGCAACUUGAUAUUAAAACCGCUUUCUUGCAUGGUGAUUUGGAUGAAGAAAUUUAUAUGUUUCAACCCGAAAGCUUUGUAGAAGCUAAUCCUAAUUUAGUAUGUAAACUAAAGAAAAGAUUUUAUGAUUUAAAGCAAGCAUCUAAACAAUGGUACAAGAAGUUUGAUUCUUUCAUGCAAGAUGAAGGCUCCAAAAGAUGUGAUUUUGAUCAUUGUGUUUAUUUUAGAUGCUCAGCAUAUGAUUCUUUUACUAUUUUGUUACUAUAUAUGGAUGACAAGUUGAUUGCUAGUAAUGAUCAAAAUGAUAUUACAAAGUUGAAGCUUGAUAUGUCAAAGAAGUUUGCUACUAAGGAUCUUGGUGAAGCAAAGAAAAUUUUGGGCAUGCAAAUUAAAAGGGAUAGUGAGCAUUGCAAGUUGUGGCAUGGUCAAUCGAGCUAUAUUUCUAAAGUUCUUGAAAGGUUUGAGAUGAAUGAUUGUAAGCCGGUUUCUACUCCAUUAGCCGGACAUUUCAAGUUAUCCAAGAAGAACUCUCCAAAGAAUGAGGUCGAAAGAGAUAAAAUGAAGAAUGUUCCUUAUAAUUCGGCCGUUGGAAGUUUGAUGUAUGCUAUGGUUUGUACAAGACCGGAUAUAGCUUAUGCGGUUGGAGUUGUUUCAAGAUAUAUGUCUAAUCCGGGAUGGGAGCAUUGGCAAGCUAUUAAAUGGAUUCUUCGAUAUUUGAAGGGCACACAAAAUGUUUGUUUGUGUUUUAGUGGAACUUCUUUGGAGGUGAAUGAAUAUGUUAAUUCCGAUCAUGCCGGUUGUAGAGAGACAAGAAAGUCCACUACGGGAUAUGUUUUUACAUUUGGAGGUAGUACGGUUAGUUGGAUGUCUAGGUUGCAAGACAUCGUUGCUUUGUCCUCUACGGAAGCCGAAUAUGUUGCCUUGACCGAGGCGGCGAAGGAAAUGAUUUGGUUAAAGCGAUUGCUUGCACAAUUUGGAGUGAGGCAAAAUAAAUAUGUUGUGCAUUGUGAUAAUCAAAGUGCAAUUCAUCUUGCAAAGAAUGCGGCGUAUCACUCCCGAACUAAGCAUAUCGAUGUUCGCUUUCAUUUUAUUCGGAUGGUAUUAGAUCGUCAACACUUGGAUGUGGAGAAGAUCGAUACAAAGAAAAACCUUGCGGAUAUGUUGACAAAGGUUGUUCCUACGGUAAAACUCAUAUUUUGUAGGAAGCACUUCGGAUUGAUCGAGACAUUGAUGGAGUGGUUGGAGAACAAUGCAUUGUGAUGAAGCUCAUUUGAUGGAUGGAGAUUACUUAUUUGAAGGAUAGAGAUUUGCCUUCAAGUGGGAGAUUGUUGAGCUAAUUAUAUUGGGCCUAUUUCUUAUUUGGGCCUUGCUAUUUGGGCUAUGUAAUUUGAUGAAGUCAAAAUCUCCUCUUUCUAUAUUUUCUUAUCAUGUAUGUGGGCCCCUAUUUGUAAGCUUUUGAAUCAUGGUUCUUUUGAUCCAAAGGCCCAUAUUGUUAGCCUCUUCUCUUAGGGAGCUAAAGUGGGAUAUUAGAAUAGAGAGAAAAAAGAAGAGCGAAAAGUAGAGAGUGAAAAAAAGAAGUGGGAGAAAAGAGAGAAAACCCUAGGCUUGGUUUUGAUCUUGGUUCUAUCAAGAAGGAGGUGAGAUCUUCCUUGUGAGGUGUGGUUUACACCAUUUGGAUAGAACUAGAGAUUGUUGGAACUCUCUUUUAUACCUUGGAGAUAAGGUGAUAUUUCUCUCAUUUGAAUCUCUCUUGUAAUCUUCAAGUUUAUAGUGGAAGCUUCUUUUGCAUUGUUCUCCUGUGGAUGUAGAUAUAGCCGAACCACGUAAAUCCUUAUGUUCUUGUGGUUUUUUAUUUUUGUUAUUGCUCUUGUGCUUGGCUUUCCAUUUGAUACUUAAAGAAAGUGGGUUGUGAAAUUGUCCACCAAGUGUUUGUGAAAUUGCCAUCAAUAUUUUUCACCCUCAUUUAACAACAAAACUUUUAGAAACAAAUGCAUAAAUAUUUUAUUUAGUAUAUAUUUUUUUUAUUCACUCAAAAAACUUAUAUAUUUGAUAGAUAAGAAGUGUAGUCAAAUAUUUAGAAUUAAAUUUGCAACGUAUUAGAUAAAAUAUACUAUCUUAUCAAAUCAUAAAUGUAUGAUCAUUCAAUGAGCAAACUCAAACUCGUUUUCUAUAAUCGCGCCAGAAAAUUAUCAUAUCGAACAAGUUAUCCUUCGAUAACCAAUUUCGAUAUCCGGUGUAAAGAGAACAUGGAGCCCCAAAUUCACCUGGGUUUCAACAUCACCCUGUACAACAACUCAAAAACUUAUGCUCAAAUAGCUAAGAGAAGCAAUGCAAUUAGGAGGGUUGCUGAAACAGAGAAAAGAACAUCUCAAACCCAACAACAUUCACCAAAUUAACAUGAUGUCCAAAUGUUAGCAAUUUUCAGACCAUCCUGCAAGCCCAGAAACCUCAAUCAAACCGCCGAAAGUCGACUGUUAUGAAAGCACUAAAUUACCCACCUAUUCAUUGCCACCGGCUUCAGAAAGUUCAAGCUAAGCAGAAAAACGAAAUUAUAUCACAAGUUCGAAGCUUAAACGACGACGCUGCUGCUGGUGCAGCAAAGCAGUUUGUUCCGGUGUCAGACUGUCAUGCAUUGUUUUCAGAUGGAGUGAGUGCUGAAAUAGUUGAAGUCAUGAUGGUGGACUCCGAGCUGUUUGAGCCAGGAGUCGGCAGCGCUAAACAGAGAUGCGAUCUUUUCGCUGUCGCCAGUCUCAGGAUUAAUCCAGAGGCUCCCUUCAAGUUUGUAGGUAGCAAGCCCGAAAGGAGUGAGCGAUACAUUGUUCCAGUUCUCCUCGGAUUUUGUUUCGCUCUCUUUCUCAUCUGAAUAACACAAAGUGUCUUUGGUAAAUUUCUGGAAAUAUAUAUCUACAUAGUAUCAUAAUUCACCGUAGACUAAUACAAAAGGAAAGUAAUAAUGAAAGCGCAGAUACUGAAAAUAAGUAGUCAAAAAUUCCAUGAAUUAAGAUCAUCGAAACUCAUGCAGAACCAGAAAAAAUGUGAUAACAAAUAAGCAUGCAGUGUCUUCUUCAUAAGUGCUCCUCAUAGAAUUGAGUAAUUAUGGAGACUAAUGUGAGAACAAGUAUCACAUUACAGUCGCAGUUCGAUACUCUACUUCUCAGCUAUAUACUGCAUAAACGUCCGAUUAAGAGAAAAUAGGAAAAAGUGACAAGAAGAUUUGUUGAUUUCGAGAACCAAAUAUAGGAAGAAUCUGUAUUAAGUAGAAAAUAUAGUUACGAGCAAAGCGUUCGCGAACCUUGAAAUGAAGCAGAGAUAGUAUGGUAAGUCAGGAAGCAUGUAGACAAGUCCUUCACAUUGCGCUUGGCGGGGAUUUGAUAGAUCGGAUACCUAAUUGACAAGAGAAAAAUAGUAAGAAAAGAUCCAAAGAAAAGUAAAAAAGUCAUACAAAGAUCUAGAUUUCGCGAUCUUCAUCAAAUAAAAGAUCCUUCUAAAUGUUCACAAACACGUGCCGAAAGCUGUUACGAAUCAUCGAAAACGUCCAAAAUAACUUGACAAAAAAAACUCAAUUGUCAUUUUCGUUUGUCGUUUCUGCUUGUCGUUUCCGUUUGUCGUUUCCUCGAUUCGACGAUUUCUUAAAUCAUGAAGAACCGGACAAGACAGCAUGGAUAUCAGAGCAACCAAUAGAUCACGAGAUUCGCCGAUCCUUAUAAUAAUAUCCUUUCCAAACAUGGAUACGCUUACGCAGCUAACCAAGUUAAAGCAGAAGCAAAAGGUAGGCCAAGCAUAGAUACCAAGCAACCGACAUCCAACUCGCUGGCGAAAGCUCGGCGCUCGUAAGAGAUGUCAACCCCGAGAAGUAAUGAGCUAGCUCAUACACCUACUUGAAACAAAAGGGGCAAAAUAUGUAAACAAGUACAACGUAAGCGACACACGCAAAGAGUUUCACCAUCGAAAUAAGAUCCAUGCAAAAUACCUUGUCCACAAAAGGUACCCUUCCGUACGGCGAACAAACCUCAAAGAACUCAAAGCACAAGUGCCCGAAGCUUUUCCUAGCAUCCCAUGCACCCCCAUUCCAUGAGGUCGAUAGCUUCGCGUACUCAUUGCGAUGAUCCCCGUUAAGGCUCCUAUUGUCGAAAUGAACAGAGACAGUUCAAAUUAGCCUUUUCGCUUCUCUUGAUUUACUUUAAGCUUAUGUUAUCUCUUCGAAAGGCGGUAUGAACAAACCUAGAUGGAGUAAAAGGUUUGUUGGUGUACAAUUGGAUCGCGGAAAGGUAUGGCACAUAGUAUUGGACUAGUGUUUCCCCAUCGGGAAGGCGAACUCGCGUCCCCGCGCCAUAGGCACUCCACUCAUAGUACUGGUCCCAGAGCUCGCCAAGGUUGAAAUACUUGACGGUUUCCGCCCCCGGAGUUUGCCAUGCAGAGAAGGAAUGCUGCACAAACAAAAAGAACUUUGAUUUUUUUUUUUUUUUUGUUCGAAUUCGAAUCCAUUUAAAGGCAAUACAAACAACUUCUGUCUAAGAGUAUUAUCCUCUAAUGUUUGGACACAGCAUUUGCUGAAAAAGGUUAAGAUCACUGGCCAGAUCACAAGGGAAAGUGGCUUCAGAAAGGAUAAUGGUGAUCCAGAAAUAUAUUUUUUUUAAAAAAAAAAGGAAAGAAAAGGGGGAUUAAAGUAGAGAUAGACCAUUUGUGAAAACCAACUAUAGUUUCCAUCAAAGGUUCUAGAAUAAUCUUAAAGAAUUGAACAUUGUAGACAACAACAACAACAACAACAACAACAACACAAAUGGAUAUGGAAAAGGAUCAUCAACCACAAUGCUUAUCACAUUAUCCAAAAAGAUCAUCAAUCACAAAAGAAAUAUAUAUAUAGUAGUUUGAUUUAGUCUGAGGAGUGAAUCUGUCAAAGUAAAAAUGACCAAAAAAAAAAAGAAGUUAGAUCCAAAUGUGGAUACAAAUAGUUACAACUGCAGCACAGUCGAAUGCUGGACGCUGAUGCAACGCCAGCGAUCCGAGCAAUAAAUUUGGAUUUGCAUGCAGUCACACUUGCACGUGUAGUAGUGCAACAACAACUGCGUGCAACCAAACGCUGAAAGAAUCGUAAACGAAAAGAAACAACUUGACUAUAAAAAUAAAAGAGAAAAAGAAAAUCAAAGAAGAGAGAGAGAGAGAGAUCACCUUGGAGAGGAAUUGGAUCUCCACAGUGGGAGUGGUGCAAUCUAAGAAGCACUGGAGAUUGGAGUAUCCUCCCAAUUUUCCACUAUCCAUCCUCUUAUCCCACUUGUAUUCUCGCAGUCGCUUUCAACACCCCGUCCAACGCACGAAUAUACCAAUCAACUAUUCCACCAUUUCCUGCACACUAUCCCACAACUGUAAAAAAAAUCCAAUCUUUUUCUGGUCAAACCCAGCAAAAAUAAACAGAACAAGAAGAGUAAGGAUAAGAAGAAGAAGAAGAAGAAGAAGAGUACUCUGUUUUUUUCUGGGGGAAAGAUGGGAUUUUUAGUAAAGAUUAUAGUAAGUACUAAGUGAGAACACACUCACCAACCUACCUAGGAGUUAAUGGAGCCCAAAAAUAGUAAGGAGAGAAGAGAGAGAGAGAGAGUAGGGAGAAGAAGAGGACCCAAUCAUAUAUAUAUAUACAUGGUAAAAAUGCAUGGGUAGUCCUUGUACUAUUCUGAUAUUGCUACUAAAUCACUGUGGUUUGCAUUUAGUCCUAAACUUUUGUAUAUAUUACACUUCAGUCUCUCAGGACCAUUAAAAAUUUGUUUUUUAUUACAAAAUAGACUUUUAAUUCUACUUGAAAUAAAGUAGAACGAAUUAGUCAUUUUGUUAAAGGUAAUAUAUUAGCCGGUUUGUAGAUAAAAAUAUCAAAUAAUUAUUUUCCAAAAAAUAAAAUGUUUUGGAUGGUUAGAAACUAAUGUGUAUAAAUUUAUAAGAGCUUAACUAUUUAUGUGAAAAAUAUUGAUAAAAAUAUAUAUAGAGAAAUGCUAAGUCUACAUCCUUUGUUGGAUUGUGGGGAUUACAAUUCUCAUCUAAGGAUUGUAAUCCUCUCCCUUAGGGUUAAAAAAGAUUAAAAUAAAUUUUAGUAAUUAAACAGAUGAGCAAAAUUUUUAACUAAAAUUAGUUAAUUUUGAAAAAAUAAAUGAAGGAUUUCAUUGAAUUUAUUAGUGAAUUAAUCAGAUAUAAUAACUCUAAAUACUUUUUGACCAAUAAAACUAGAUUAACUAAUAGUCCGUAACCAACAGAGUUGCCGAAUUUAGCAAAAUUUUAACUUAAUUACCCAAGUGCCAAAACUCAAAUAAAAAAGAAAAAAAGAUGUUAAAAAUAGUUAAGAGGUCUAUUUCAAAAAGACCAAUUUUCAUUACAGAAAAGGAGAAAAAUUCUACUUGUAUAGCCAAAAAAAUAAAUAGGUCUUACACUCUUAUUUUAGAGUUCAUAAAAAUUUUAAAAAAAAUUUAGUAAAAUUUAAAAAAAAUAAUGUGAUAAGUAAAAAUUAAUAUCUUGAAUGAAAUGGGUGUCAAAUAUUUACUCUAGUUUGGAGCUUAGCUAGGGACGGAGCCAUUAAGGAGCCCACAGUGUCCAUGGUCUUUCUGAACUUUUAAAAAUUAUAUAAAAGUCCUUUAUAUUAAAAAUUAAUUUAAAAUAUUAUAAAUUUUAAUUUUAGGGGGCCAAAUUAAUUGUUUUUAAUAAAACUUAUGCUUCAGUUUUUUUUCGAACUCCUUAGCUCUUUUUUUAGCUCUUACAGUGUUGCUCUUCUUUGAGCAGAUUAUUAUUAUUGUUGCUAGCAAUAGAUGAUCAAUGAAUCCGAUAAAUUUUUUUUUUUACUAUCCGAGGUCGAAUUUUUUUUUUUUAUAUCAAAUCUAAAUCUUAGCCCUUCCGAAUCUUAAUUCCUAGCUUCGUUCCUGAGCGUAACGAUAGCAUUGCGUGAAAGAAGAAUAGAGGGACCGAAGUCACAAUAUUUGCAUAGUACAGGGACCCAUCCUGCGAAAUUACCCCCCACACCACACAGCGUAAGCGCGCGAGCGUGGACGACACUUGGAGGGGCUUCACGUGUAAGUGUAAAGUGUUUAGUGUGGAGUGUGCUUCUACGAAACGAGCGUUUUGUUUCUCUCUCUCUCUUCUCACUCUCUCUAUAAACUUUAUUACAGAGCUUUAUUAUUGAGCUUCUUUAUUCGCAACGAGAAUCGAAUAAGGAGAGUAGAUAACGAGAAUAAGGUGGAGAAUAGCGAUGAAUAAGAAAGAGAUAUAAAGGAAGUGGGAUAAUUACUACCACGACGUUGGAGGAGGAGAGAGAGGGGCUUACGCUUAGUUUGGUAUUGAGAUUUAUUUUAUCUAAUAAAUAAAAUAAAAUUUGGAUAAAAAUACAUAAAAAUAUACUUCAACGUUUUUCCGUGAAACUAUAAAAAAUAUAUGGUAAUUGGAAUGCAAUAUUAUUACGUACGAAAAUAAAUAUGACAAUUUUUCAUCAUAUUUUCUCACCGCACGUAACGUAAUCUUUCCGCAAUCCAAAAUAAAAUCUUUAAAAAAAUAAUUGCUUUUUUAGCUCCCACAAAAUGUUGCUAUUCUUGUAUAGCAUACUAAUUAAAAUACGUGCACCAGUGAAUAAAUUAUUUCAAUCAUAUCAUAUAAAUUAUCAAUAUUAUAUAUAUAUAUAUAUAAAAGAAAUUUUUAAUUAUUAUUUAAAAUUUUUAAAUUUAUUCUAAAAUUAUCAAAUUAGUAAUUCUAUAGAUAUGAAGAUAUUUGAAAAAAAAAAUUAAUAAAGGCAUUUUGAUCAACCAAAAAUAUAUUAUAUAUUUUUAAAAAUUUUGAUCAAUACAUUAGAUAUCAUCUUUAUGAAAAAUUAAGCGCACCAACUAACUUCGAUUUUGAUUUUGAAGGAUGUAUUGUGGAGUUUGGGGAGCGUGGUGUUUGAGAUGUAUGCAUACACCAAGUGCAGGGAAUAAUUUAUGGUGUGUAAAUAAAUGCUGGGUCCCGGUUCACUAAAAGAGAGUAUCUACUAGAUGUGAUAUGGUAUUAUUCAAUGAAGUAGUUAACGUCCUGGACUGGGUCAUUAUGGAUAGCAAUGUAAACGGGUCGGAUGCAGUUGGAUUUUUAAAAAAUUCGAAUCCGAAUCUAACUAUGGAAUUCAAAAUUUGAACACAAAAUUGAAAUUGUCGGAUUUUGGAAAUCGAAAGCCAAAAUUGAACCCACCAAAAAAAGUAAAAUACGAAACCGAACUCGAAAAUCAGAAUCCGAAACUAAUCAUUUUCCUGUUGUCAAAUUUCAAGACAUAUUAUAUUUAAAUCUAAAUUUUCAAAGUGAAAAACAACUAUAAACUAAAAAGUAACUAUAAAUUAUUAGAUUUUUUUGUCUUAUUAGAUUUUUAUCUUUUAUGUUCAUAAUCGAAAUCAAAGAUAUUUAGUAUCAGAUAAACUUGUUCUCUUCAGAUGCGGGCAUCUGAAACCAUCGACAUAUGUAAUCACACGCCAAGUUAUUUAAAUUUAGUAUUAGUUAAACUGGUUCUCUUCAAAUUCGGGCGUCCGAAACUAUUGGCAUAUGUAAUCACACGAUAAGAGGUUUUUUUUUUAAAAAAAGAAGGAUUGCUAUUUAAAGAGUUGGAAUAAGGCGGAAUUAAAUUCUGUGAAUGUGAUUGAUGGGAUCAAAUUUGGGCCAAUUUCUUUGAAAUCACAUGAAAAUAAUCUAUUUAUGUCAAGAUUUAUUUAUUAAUUUAUUUAUUUUUUGAUGAUGGCAAUGUCAGUUUUUUUUUUUUUUUUUUUUUUUUUUUUUUUUUUUUUUUUUUUUUUUUUUUUUUUUUUUUUUUUUUUUUUUUUUUUUUUUUUUUUUUUUUUUUUUUUUUUUUUUUUUUUUUUUUUUUUUUUUUUUUUUUUUUUUUUUUUUUUUUUUUUUUUUUUUUUUUUUUUUUUUUUUUUUUUUUUUUUUUUUUUUUUUUUUUUUUUUUUUUUUUUUUUUUUUUUUUUUUUUUUUUUUUUUUUUUUUUUUUUUUUUUUUUUUUUUUUUUUUUUUUUUUUUUUUUUUUUUUUUUUUUUUUUUUUUUUUUUUUUUUUUUUUUUUUUUUUUUUUUUUUUUUUUUUUUUUUUUUUUUUUUUUUUUUUUUUUUUUUUUUUUUUUUUUUUUUUUUUUUUUUUUUUUUUUUUUUUUUUUUUUUUUUUUUUUUUUUUUUUUUUUUUUUUUUUUUUUUUUUUUUUUUUUUUUUUUUUUUUUUUUUUUUUCCUGAACUUCUAUAUCAGCGUUUUCGUUUAGGAACUUCCAUCUCCGAAAGAGUGAAAAGUACUAACCAAAAUAAGUGUUAUUAGUUUGUAUAAAAGCUUAGUUAUAAGUAUAGUGUAGCACCACCGUACAGAAAUUAGUAUAUGUUUUUUUUCGAAUUAAUUGCAUACACAUCCCUGCAAAUAUGGUGAAUUACAAAUAUAUUCCUGCAAAGCUCCACUUUCAUAAUUUGUUUCUGUAAAAGUUCUAAUGUAUUCAAAUAUGUCCCUCUGGUUAGGAUCCGUUAGAGAACUGUUAAUUUUUUAACAGUAUGUUCGUGAAAUGACACUUUUACCUUCACAAAUAUGUCCCUUUAAAAAUACUCCAUCUUCCUCUUCGGGCCGCAGGAGUGAACGACGGCGGCGAGGGAUCAUCGACGACGAUGACAAAGAAGAAAAAGGAGGAAAAGAGGAGGAUACGAAGAAGAAAAAGGAGGCGGCAGCGGAGGCUGGAGGAGCUCGGAGGUGAGGGGUUUCGCAGCGAGGUUGGAGAGGUCGCCGACGGCGGAGGAGAGGCGGGAGGCGGCUGCGGCGGCGCAACACCAAGCGCGGAAGAAUUGCGCGGUGGCGGCAGCGGAAGAUACGGCGGAGAGGAGACGGUGGAGGUCGGCGUCGGUGGCGCUUCGAUGAGGUCGGGGUCGGGUUCGCCGGCAACGAAGAAGAGAAAAGAGGAAGAGGAAGAGGAAGAGAGAGAGGAAGAAGAAGUGGGAAGAGGAAGAGAGAGAGAGUUCGCCGCCACAUCUCCUCCCUCGCCGGCGACAAAGAAGAAGGAAGAGGAAAAGGAAGAGGGAGAGGAAGAAGUAGUAAAAUUAUCAUUUCACUUAUUAAUUAACCAUUGUUAAGUAUUUUAAUUAUGGUUAACAAAAUUUUUCUAACGAAAACUAACAGCAGAGUCAUAUCUGAAUACAUUAGGACUUUUGCAAGAAUAAAUUAUGAAAGUUUAGCUUUGCAGGAAUAUAUCUGUAAUUCACCAUAUUUGCAGGAACGCGUAUGUGAUUAACCUUUUGUUUUUUUCUAUUUUAUGUUAGUCCCUUAUGUUAAAAGACUCUAACCAAUUCUAAAACAUAAGUUAAUAGAUGGAAAUAAUUUUGACAUUAAAUACAAGGUUUAAUUUUGCAUCUCAUGUGGAUAACACAUGCUGGUAGCUUUGUUUAAGGUCUCAAAUCGAUUAAAAAACUUAAACAAAUAGAUAAAAAUGUGCUCCCUCGACAUUAUUUACAUGUUAGGAUUUUAUCUUGUAUUUAAUAAAGGUGACAAGCUUUAGAUGAUACUAUCACAUGACAUGAACUCAAUUCAAUUGCACAAAACUCACACAUUAAUUCGCAUCUAAUGUAUAAUACAAAUCCAAUUUACACCAGGUGUGACUAAUAUAUAAUACAAACGCGCAUAUAUUAAAGACGAUGAGUAAACGAUCACUGAACCAACUAAAAAUUAUGGUAAGUGAACAAAAAAUUGAGAGCAAAUAGAAGAUUAGAACUAUCCCAAUACUUAAGUUAAUAGAUAAAAAUGUCCGAUUUAUUAUAUGUAGACCAAAUUAAGUUUUAUUUUGUUUUAUAUAUAGGAGUAUAUUGGCAAAACGUAAAAUUAGAAUUGUUCGAUUCCUCAUAACUAUGAGAGAGAGAGAGAGAGAGAGGCGCCAUUAGGAUACAGUAUGAAUUCAACACAACCAUCUAUACAAUAUAAAAAAGGAGUGGGCACCGAUCGUCUCUAGAGCAAGUGGCAAAGGGCUUAGUAAUUGGUACCUGAGACCCAAGUUUAAAUCCUAGUUAAUUCACAUUUCCAGCUAAGUUUGUUUCUAAAUAAAAUAAACAAAGCAGGUAGCGUGCUACCUAUCUCUCUCUCUCAAAAAAAAAAAAGAAAAAGAGUGGGGGGUGGUGAGCCCCACUUUUUUUUUUUUCACUCUCUCACACACUCUCUCUCUCGCUCUUAUUUUUUUAUUUUUUUUCUUAACAUUUUUUUUAUUUUUGUCUAUAUCAAGUAUAAAAUUUUAUCGCAUAAAUUAAUUUUAAUUUUUAAUAGUUAAUAUAAUAAAUAAAUAUAAAAUUUUAUCACAUUGAUCAAUACUAUUUUUUAAUAGCCAAGAUAACAAAUUCGUAUGAUUUUUGUUCUUAUUUUUUUAGUCUUCUUAUAAUUUAUUCUUAUAUUUUUAUUACAGAAAUAAUUACUUAUUCUUCAGUUGCUUUUUUUUAUAUAACUUCUUGAUUCUUUUUUUACUUUAUUUAGUUAUUUAUUUAUUUUUAUGAAAUCAUUCCGUCGGAAUGCGCGAAUCCUUCACUAGUACUAAAUAAUUCAUGUAUUAAAUCAUGAUUAAUAAGCAGUACAAAUUCAAUCCAUAUAUCAAGGUGAAAUUAAUAUACCGCACAAACAACUUCGUGUUGGAUAGGGAUGCAAACGAGGCGGAUCCGGGGGCGGGAGAGUUCCCCCACCUCCCGCUCCAUUUCUUAUCUGGGCGGGGCGGAUUCGGGGCGGGUUACUUUUCAUUUUAUUUUUGGCUCCCACUUACCGCUCCAUUCGGGGCGGGAGCGGGACGGGAGCGGAUUUUUAACGGAUCGGAGUAGAUUGAAGGAAGAAAAGAGUCUCCCGCCUCCCGCUCCAUUUACUUGGCGGAUCGGGGCGGAUUCGGGGCGGGUUAUAUUUUUCUAUAUUUUUUGUUCCCACUUACCACCCCAUUCAGAGCGGAUUGGGGCGGAGCUCCACCAACCCGGAUCCAUUUGCAUUCCUAGUGUUGGAUGGUUUGCAGUAAUCAUAAUUUUAAGAGUUCAAAUUGUUAGGAAUGAAACAACUAAUCUACUUAAAAUGUAUAGAUAUAGUGAUUUGAUUCACUCGUCAAACAUGACUACCACAUGAUGAUUGAGAGUGUAGACAAAUAUCUGAUAUGAGAUCAAAGGACUCAUCAAUCUGAAAACUUUAAACAAACCGAUAAGGCCAAAUUAUAUAUUUGGUCCUCAAACUCAAACUUUAGUUUAUUAUAAAUGUUAUUCAAAUGUUAUAAAUUAUUACAAUCAAGUUUUCAAAGUCAAUUUUUUUAAUUAAAUAUUAAUACACCGUUAAUGUGAAAGUAAUGCCACAUCUUAAUUAUUAUCGCAUUAUUAAUAUAUAUUUGUAAUAAAAUAAUAUUUAGCUAUGUGUUAGGGACACUUCCGGAAGCCUCAACUGUCCGUAUGGAACACACGUGUCCUUAUUAGAUUCGUGUCCGACGUGGACACGCUAUGGACAUGCGUUCGACAUAGAUCCAUUACGCAUCCCAUUUAAAUUUUUUUUUUUCUUUUAUGUAUAUGUUGUUUGCUUAAACGGACCAGCACUCUGCCUUGUGGCGGGGGCCAAAGUUGAAUCAAGUCACGUUCGAAAUGGCAGGAGGUUAGGUUGGGCCAAGUCAUCUUCGAAGUGGCGCGAGAUUGUUAGGAUCAAGUCACAAUCGAGAUCCGCAGGCGCUGUGUCUGUACGUUUUAAGUGAAUUAGUUGCAUAUUUUUAAUAGCUCGAGUUUUUGAAAUUAAUGGUUAGUGCUAACGAUCCGAUAAGUGGUAUCAGAGUCAGAAGCCACAAGUUCGAUUAAGUAGUAUUAGAGCCAGAAGUCACAAGUUUGAUUCCUGAGAGAGGAUUGUUAGUUAUCAUAUCAGAGCUAGAGGUGAUGAGUUCGAUUCCCACUGAGAAGGGAUUAUUGGCUUAAUCGUAUGAAAAAUACAACAAUAUUUGAGCAAAACUAAUAUUUUAUAAAUAAUAAAUAUGUAUUAUUAUUGGCUUAAUAUAACAAUAUUUUAGCAAAAUUAAAAUUUUAUAAAUAAUAAAUAUAUAUUAUUAUAUUAAUAAUAUUAUAUAUUUAUUAAUGGUAUUCAUGUCGUGUCUGUAUCGUAAUUUUUUUGGAACUCAUCGAAUCACCAAGAUAUUUAUAACGCCUAGAUAUUUAAUCAACUAAACUAAAUUAGAUUGUGAGACUACAAAUUCAGAGAAAUUGAGCCAAAAUUGGAGGACCAGAGCGUCACGUAAAUUAGAUUGUGAGACUACAAAUUCAGAGAAAUUGAGCCAAAAUUGGAGGACCAGAGCGUCACGUGCCACAUAGUUGGAGGACGGCAUGUGCAAUUUAGCCAACAGAAGUUAUCGAAAAUUUUAUUUUAUUUUAUAUUAAAACCAGAGGUAUUGUUCUAAACACCUUACUCCGUUAGAGGAGAUAAAUAGUUCAAAAUUUCUAAAAACUAUUUGCUCUUUGACACAACAAAAAAAACAAAAAACUAUUCCAUUUGAGGAAUUACCAGAGAGAGAGAGAGAGAGAGAGAGAGAGAAUGCUCCAAAUUCGACUAAACCCUAAACCCUCGGCCGACCCGGGCGGCGGCGCGGCGAAGGCUCCGGCGGAGGCGGCGGCGGCGACGGAGGAGGAGGCGGCGGUGAUGGUGGCGUGCCCGGAGCACCUCGUCCUGGCCGGCCUCCCCGUCGCGAAGAGCCUCGGGACCCGUCGGCCGCCGGUCCCGCCGCCUCCUCGGCGAGCGCGUCCACAUCUGCGUCCGCUGCGACUUCCCCAUCGCCAUCUACGGCCGCCUCGUAAUGCCAGAACACCACCACCCACCCUUGCGAUUCUUUGAAUUCUCCUCAAUCUGAUAAACCUUUGCGCGAGAUCGACCAUCACUUGUAUGCAUCGUAUACGAUCGCAAAGAUCGACGCUGCUAACGAAUCUACAAUUUGGCAUACUAAAAAAGGAUUGUUAAGAUUAUGGUUUUAAAGUUAUAUGUAUCUAUACAUGCAUAUCUGUUUAGGUUCUAGAAUUGAGUUUUGAAGACUGGUAUAUAUAUAUAUAUAUAUAUAUACAUAUAUGUAUAUAUAUAUACAUAUACAUAUAUGUAUAUAUAUAUACAUAUACAUAUAUGUAUAUAUAUCCUAUACUAAGUUUAUAUAUUACAUUCAUAUAUGUAAUAUAUAUAUAUAGAGUUGGACUGGGGACUAUUAGUAGCAAAUAGCCUCAUGUUGCUGCAGUUUUUUAGCAUUGGACAACUACUUUUCAUCAUUUCUAACCAUUGGAUUAAAUACAUAUAACCCUGUUGGGACCCACUCAACCUAGGGGACCACUUAACUCUAACUGACUAAUAUCAUCCUAAUCCUACAACUUUUUAUCCAAUGGUUAAAAAUCUGAUAGUAAAAGAGCGUUUUACUAUUAAUAGGUAUUCCAGCCUAAUUUAUAUAUAUUUAUAUAUAUAUAUAUAUGAGUCGCUACUAUGCUAUCGGAAGCAUAGGGAUCUGGGCUCUUUCGGUUUUUUAGCCCUUAGAUCAUCCCCUUCAAUCAUUUCUAAACAUUUAGAUUAAUACUAUUAAUCUGUGGGGACCACUCAACCCUAGGGGUGAUCUCAAUCCUAGGAGACCGCAAUCAUCCCAACCGAUAUUAAUUUUUUAUCUUAUCAAUAAGUCAAAAAGUUGCGAAGCAUCUGGACCUCUAUGCUUCGAUAGCAUAGUAGCUCUACACUAUUAUAUAUAUAUAUAUAUUAUAUUAUAUAUUAUAUUAUUAUUAUAUAUAUAUAUAUCUAUAAGCCGUUUCGUCGAUGAGAGUUCUGAAUCGACAAUCGCUCCAUUAACUUGAUCUACGGCGUAUUGAAGUAUAUAGAAAUAAAUUUGUAAUUUUUCGAUAUCAUUUAGACUUAAUCGCCAUCGAAAGGGUUCAUAUAUCAACAAUUUCUAAUGAGUUAAUAUAUACCGUUUGCAGAACAGACUUUAGAAGCAUCCAAAUUAGAUAAGAAUUUGGAUAGAAAGAUUCAUUUAUUUCAUAUCUAUAACAAAUCUAUCUUGGAUCUGAAAUUUGGUAUAUCACACUUUUAUAUGAGAUUUUUAUUUUUCAGCCGUUGAUUUUGAACCUUUCGUUCACUAGAUGUAAAUAAUAUCGAAAAUCCAAAUUUAUUUAUCUACUAUACUUCAAUAUGCUAGAUCUAAGUCUAACGAGCCGAUUGUCGCUUCCGAAGCCUCCAUCAUCAAAAACAGGCUUAGUGAGUACGGAGGGCUCCGCUGCUCCUAUAGCAUUAUCAAGCACUCUCUCUCUCUCUUCUCUCUCUCUUCUCUCUACUCUCUCUCUCUCUGCUACUAUUAUAUAUAUAAUAGAGCUGGAGCUACAUAUGCUAUCGGAAGCACGAAGCCUUCCGUGCUCUCAGCUCGUAUUCGAUAUUGUGGACUUCGAGUCGUCGCAUCGCUCCGUUAAACUUGAAUCUAGAGUAUUCGAAUACCUAGAAAUAAUAAUUUUUAUGAUUUUUACGAUAUCAUUGUCGCUAUCGUGAACCCGAAGGGCUCAAAAUCAACGGUGAAAAUGAAAAAUUUUACAAAAGUUAAUAAUAUGAUUAAAAUUUAUUAAUCAAAGAUAAUUGAUUUGUUUUAUAGUAUAAAGAUUUUCUAUCAAAAUUUUCGACACGUAUUGGAUAUUUAUAACCGUUAACUUGCAAACGGAACUCACUACGGCAUUAAAUUGUUGUUUGAGGCUCAUUCGAUCACUAGGUAAAUAAUAUCGAAAAAUCACAAAAUUUAUUUUCUAGGUACUCCAAAUACUCUAGAUCAAGUUUAACGGAGCCGAUCGACGAUUCAAAAGUCGCAACAUCGAAAACGAGCUGGAAGCACGGAAGGCUCCAUGCUUCCGAUAGCAUAGUAGUCUCACUCUAUAUAUAUAUAUAUAUAUUACGUCUCCCGUACUUUUGAAAGUACGGUAUAUAUAUAUAGAGUCCAACAACUAUACUCUUACGACUCAUAGGCUUCUUUGUACUUAUAAGUUUUCGGCCGUUAGAUUUAUCUCUUUAAUCAUUUCCACCUAUUAAAUUAUACUAUUUAACUAAUGGUCAAAAACUUAUAAGUAUAAAGAGGUCUAUACGCAUACGAGUAUAACAGCCCUAGACAAUAUAUAUAUACAAAUCAAGUUGCAUGCAAUAAUUUCUCCUUUCUUUGAGCUCCCCUUUUUGUGUUAUUGUUUGUUUGUUUGUUUAAAUUCAGAUGCAUGGUAGAGUAAAAAUGUUGAAGAGAAAUUGUUGAUUUUUCGCCCCCCUCUGUAAGCAUGUAGGGCGAUGCAAAAUCUGCAACAUUUUUAUUUCGUGAAAUCAAAGUUGUUGAAUAGAAUUUUGGACACGCCGAACUAAAUCAAACUAGUUGCCUUCGUUUUCCUUAUAAAAUAUGAUUUAUUUCAUGAUCAACCAAGUAUACAGCUUCUGUACCGUCACUUUGGAUCUUGUGUGGCUUCUAAUUCGUUGGAUCUUGUGUGGCUUCUAUACCAUUCAGUAUAUUGAAACUAUGCUGUAUUUUUCGUUUGUAUUUAACCUGUUUGAUCUAGUAAUUCAUGUAAGUUAUCAUGUAUCUUAUUAUUGUUUUUGUCCGUCGCAGAUUCCUUGCGAGCAUGCUUUCUGUUUGACCUGCGCAAGGAGUGGCUGUAGCUGCUUUCUGUAAGCUAUUUUUCGAACUUUUUUAUACUCUAAAUAAAUUUAUGCUGAGAAAUCUGUCCAUGCAUCCGACGUCCCUCAGAGCAUUUAACAUGCUAAUAAUUGGGCUCGUAUAAAUUACAUAGGUAAUGAGAAAGCAUAGUAAGCAAUUUAACACUGGAGUGUAGGAGAUUGCCUAUAACAUGUCUUCAUCAGAUACUUUAUUACAUGAUACAUCCUUGUAGCAUUUUAUUGGGAUUAUAUGACAUUACUACUUGGUAUAAUUGUUUCUUGCUUGAUGUGAUAACUGGCAUGCUUGUCUCUUUUAUUUCAAUAUAUUUGCCUUUUAUUAAACUCUAUCUCGCUUAUGUUCUAUAUAUUACCUUCGCUGCACGCCAUAGUUGAACCUGUAAAAAUGUGAUCGACUAAAUGGGUCAUACCUAAACACUUAACCAUAGAAUAUUAUAUUUCAUCUUUGUAGCUUCUAUUGUAUGUUUUGUUGUUGUUGUUAUAGUUGGUAUAUUGUUACUUCUUUGCUUUGAAACUUGCACAGUAAUCUUUUUUAAGAUAUAUGAGUUUCUCACUAUUGAUUGUAAGAAGAUUCUCAAUGAGUUCUGUAUCUCUUUUUGGCCAUCCUUGUUUAAAGGUGUUUAUUUAUUUUGAAACACUUUGGGUUAAUAGCCUGCUUAUCAUAUUUUAUUCUAUAUAUAAUGUUAAUUGAGCAUGAAAACUUGCUACAGUUACUGAGGUUGCAGUAGUAGGUUAACUCAAAAGCAGAUUGAGUUUGAUAGUAAGAUGGGCAUUUAAGUCUUGAGAGUAAAAAAUAUCUGUAAUAGAGAACUUGAUAGCAUACCUCAACACUGCAUUGCUUAAGAAGUCAAGCUGAGUCAACCGUAUGAAAAUGCUAAUUGAAGUGUUGCUAAAAGUUUUUAAUAUACAUCAGCAAUAGUUCCUUGCCUUUUUUUUCUUCUUUUCUUUUUUUUAUAAGUAAUGUCUUUAAAGUCUUCUAAAUUCUUGGUUUCUUGCCCUAGCUAUUUGACUCUUCUUACUUCUCUUCAGUUGCGAUGAGCGUAUUCAGAAGGUCCAAAGCAUUAAGAUGAUGCAGGGGAUGUUCAUUUGUGCCGCUCCUCAUUGUCUCAAAUCCUUCCUCGACAGAACAGAAUUUGAGACCCAUGUCCACAAAACACACUCCGAUCUUGGCCAAACCAACAUAAAUAAAGAACGGAGCAAUGAGCCGGAUGCUUUCAACAUUCCUCAACCCUCAUCAACUGAUAUUCAAAAGCAAAACCUACUUUCAGAAUCUUCCACCGCACGUGCUCCUUUAAGGUCCGGCUUUUCUCUCAGCUCAAAUUCCCCUGUCACAGAUUGCGGAGACAGUAUUCGCUGCCACCAAUCUGGUGAUCAACCACGACAAAACCCUAAUUUACUGUGGAACCCACCUGCAUUUCAAGCUAAUCUGCCUCAAGGGCAUUCACAACCUCCAAAAAAUGACAAUCAGAGUGGGCUGCCACAGCCGCCGCCGCCACUACAGGCACCAUUUAGCGGCUAUCUACCUUUGCCUCCUCAUCAGCCACCAAACUUUGCAGUAACUGUGAAGACCAACCAACCCUUAGAAUCAGGGUUUGCCCGGCCGAGGGGCAUGCCUUUGCGGAGCGGAUUGCCAUUUUCUGCAUCUGAUUACUGCAGUUCGGUUCCAGAAAGUUCCUCACUGAACCAGAGGUUUCCAUGUAAGGAGAUCCAGGGAGGUUUUACUGAGCAGAGCGAAGGCAAGGGAGUUCCAGCACCAAUGCCGCCGCUACAGUUGCAUUUUCCUUCUCAGUCGCUUUCACCGCCUCUGCCACCUCAUCUUUCGGUGCAGCCGCACUUUCACUGAACAAACUUAUCCCAUGACAGGUGUUAAGGAAGGUCAAGGCUUCAGAUCGAUGCGAGACAAUAUUGGGUCUAGGUGCAGAGCCAAGAGUAGCUUGUGCUCCUGUUCUAAAUGUAUCAUUUAGGGAAGUUUGAUGUUACAACAAGUGCAAGAAUUUUGCCUUGGCUUUUAAUAUUCUUAAUUUUUGUUCUGUUAAUAGAUGAGAGUGAAGCAUUUUUUAGAUCAUCUUGAUAACUGCUCUUCAAGUGACAUAAAGUUUAGGGCCUCGAUUCCUCUUUAAGAAUGUGCUGAUUUGUUUUAUAAUUUUCAGUUUGGUUUGAGAAAAUUGUGAAAUCUCUAACCAUGAACUUGAAAGUCCAGGGAAUCAUGAACAAAGUCUUAGCCACAACUAUAUUAACUGAAAUCUUCACAACUCAACUUAAACUAUGCACAGAGAGACCUAAAAAACUGUGAUUUAAGGAAAACACUAUUUGUAGGAGCUGAGUAACUGAUAUUAUCUAGCUGGAGCCCGGGUCGAGGACGGGGAGUCUACAGUAGAAGCUGAUGGAUUUAUCAGUGAGGCGCGUCCCAGGAAUGAAGAACUGGAAUAUCACUGUUAAGCAAGCACCAUGUGGAGCAAUACCUAUACAACACCAACAAUUACAAAAUAUUUUCAGCAUAGGAAUAGUUAACUAUACUUAUAAUCAAACAUGGCAAUUGAGAAUUGAGAUGAAAGAGGGGGGAGCAUCAGGAGAACACACCAUAGAAGGCACAAUCUGGCUUGGCCAAAUGACACUGCAAACUCUUCGCUAAGUGCUUCAUGCUCACUUGCUGCUUUAAGCAAAGGAAGAUGUAAAAAAAAAAACCAUGAUUAGAUUUGUAGCAUUUGCUGUAAUACUACCAAAUUUAAAAGGAAGUUACAAGAAGUUCAUGAAUUUUAGCCAGCUAAAGAUUUCACCUAUAUAAUGUGUGCAGGGUGAAAAAACACACAAAAGAGCUACUAAAUAAUCGCGAUAGUUCGGAGUGCUUUGCAAGUUAGUACAGAUGAAGAACUUCAUUGCUUCUCAAUUUUUGUUUUCUUAGUGCAUGUUAUUGUUUUACAUUAGUCGUACAAUUCUUAUUAUUAGCUUCUCAAACCUUCCACCAUGCAAAUUAGGCCCCCCGAAUUAUUCUUGUUAUCGAUCACUGAACUUUCUACGAAAUCUUGAUGUAUCUAUGUUUCUUUUACCAUUGCAACAUUGGCUUUCAGCCUUUAACUCAUACAGGAUUCCAUGACUAAUCAGAUGAACAUCAGCAGCUAGCAAUGACAAGAAAAGAAAUAAUAAAGCUUUGAGAGAGAGAUUCACGAACCACAGAGAGCGCCUCACCCCUCUGAAUCGCCAUCUCCGUACGUGUCCGGGCACUCAAGUUUUGGUCUCCGACCGGUGGUUCAGCUGAGAGAAACAAAUUUAUCAAAAAGAUGGCUGCUUUGCAGUGAAGAAAGGGAUCAGCGUCGAACAGUUGGUGAGUUAUAUACCAUGCGCACCGAGGACUCUGAGCUUCCGGAACUCCGACCCGACGGUGAUGAGGGUGGUGGAGACCUGUAAAUGGAGAUCACCGUACUGCGUGAUGGAGACCGUGAGGAGGUCGCCCACGUUCUUGAGCCGGUCCACCAGGCUCUGUAGCUGGGACAGAUCAGGCACUUGUACCAGAGUCUGCAAAUAGAAACAUAAAAGUAAGAACAAGCCAAAAUUACAACUAAAUGAAAUGCGAUUGUAGAUCGUCAGCUAAAGUAGAGAUUAACCAAGUAUGUUGAAAUUGCAAGUGAACCAAUUGUAGAUCAGUAGCUAGUGUACCAUUAGGACAAAAUUAUACUAAGGAAAAAAACCAUUUUUUAAACAAGAUUGCGCAAAACUUUGUAGAAAUGAGAGGAUUGGGGGUCGAGAUGACCACCUGAGGGAGAUCCUGCGCGGCGUCGAGCGAGGCCUGGAGCUCGGCGACGUCGGCGCGGGAGAGCGGCUUCGAGAUGGGCACGUCCUGCACGACGGCGGAGCGGGCGCCCUUGGUCUCGAACGUGAGGAACGGCGCCGAGGACCGCGACCCCGCGGGGAGCUUCUUGACGAGCUUGAUCUGUAUGUCGACGGCGGCGGCGGCGGAAGGUCCGGCGAGGGAUUGGGCGUGGAUGGUGAGGGCGCUGCGGAGGGCGCGGUGGAGGAGCGGGACGUCGACGGCGAAGGCGAUCCGAUCGGCGUUGGCGCUCGCGAUGCGGUAGUCGCGGAAGAGUAGGUCCUUGUCGAACUGGGCCACGCACUCGACCCCGCCGCCCCCGGCGGCGCCGCCGAGGAAGUUGUGGAGGAACAUGGCGUGGUCGGGGGUGAGAUAGACGUGGCAGAUCCGGCCCACCUUGUCCAGAGCAGGGAGAAACCCUAGAGAGGAUAUUUAGGGACACGGAGAUGAGGUGUUUGGUGAAAUGCGUGUGAGGGGAAAGAGAGAGAUAGAGAGAGCGAGGGAGAGAUUGUUAUUGCGCACGCUUGUCGAGGAGGUGGACACCGUCUUGUGUGAGGAACGCUUUGAACUUCAUCUUCUUCAACUUGGCUUGUGGGUGGAGAGGAGGCUCAGCUCAGCGGGGAACGGAAGGAACAAAUAGCUGAACAAUGAGCGAAUGGAAUAGGCUCCAGCGGCUAUUCAAAUUUCUAGAAGAAGGUUUGGCGCGAGAGGGUAUUUGUAGCCCAUAAUGUUUGGGCGCAGCCCAUGUGAAGAGAGUCACCCCGCAUAAAGACAGUCUAAUCGGUUGUUCAUCACGCAACAUACAAUCCAAAGACUUCCUCGGUCCGGUCCUAUCGUAGGGCUUAGUGCUUGUGUAAUUUUUUUAAAAAAAAUUUCUACUUUUCGCAGCAGCAAAAAUUAACUUUUUUUGUAAACUAAAUAUUGUACUAAAAACCAAAGCAAAAAGAGUACUACUAUGAGUGUAGGUAAAGAUAGAGCUCAAUCAAGAAGAUGUUAAGCUGUAAUAUCAGAACGAACUGCGGUUAACUAACCCUCGCCCCUGCUGCAAGGAAAGGUUGUCAAUUGUCAUACAAUGCAUCAUUAUACAUUAGUUAUUGACAAUGUGCAAAUUUUUGAUUCCGACAGAUUAUGGAUUCACGGGCAGGUGAGUGAACCGUGCAUUCGUAACUAUACCUGACAAAUAAUCAAACCAUCCUGGCAUCAUCUUUUGGCAUCCUUCUGACAGCUCAAAGAUCUUCAUUUCUCUAGAAUUCAAGUUUAAAAUUACAGAUCAGAUCGUUGAAUCAAAUUGGCUCUCUACCCCUCUCACUUGAGCAAUAAUCAGGUAAGAUUUGUACAUACUGAAGAGUUUGAAGAGUUUUGUUUCUGCUGCUUUAGACUCUCUUCUCUUUUAUUUUGGGCGAAGUGUAAUCAGAACAAUUACAUUAUUCCACAACAUCAAUCUUCACUUCUGGGCUUUUUUUUGUUAAAAAACCUAUAUAGCUUAUCUGAACUAUAGACUAUUUUGAAUCGGCUAUCCAAAUUUUCAAAAUAUUGAUUUUAUUAUUCAACCUUCUAAUCUUUUGAUUUGAGUCGAUCAGCAACACUUUAACUUUAAUAUUUAAGUCAAUUAUUUUAGUAAAUUUAUAAUUGUGAGAAUUAUAUGAAAUAUAUUAUUUAAAUCUGUAAAAAUAUACAAAACAUUCAAAUUUUGAUAUUAAAGUGCUAUUUACUGACUCAAAUCAAACAAAUUGAACGAUUGAAUAGUAAAAUUAAAAUUUUGAAGGUUAGGUAGCCAAAUCAAAAUUAUUCAAAGUUCAUAUAUGUUCUGUAUAGUUUUACUUUUUUGUUUUGAUUUUGUUGUGUGGCCACUAAAAAUGUGUUUUUUGAGUUACAGACAAGCAUAAUAGCUUUACACUAUAAAACAAAUGGUUGCUUCCAAUUAAAAUUUGAAAAAUACUAGCUGUAUAUUAGAAACUGGUAUAUAUAUCUUACGUCUCAUCUAUUUAAGGGUUGAAAUAAUUCAUUUAAAAUUUUAGUCCCUUUUUAAAAAAGAGCUCGACAGUGAUAAAAUUGACUGUUGCAUAGAUAGAGUGUAAGAUUUAUACUCUUUUUUGGAUGUACAUCUGCUUAAAAAGUGUUUUUUUUUAAAAAAAAAACUAUUUCAGUUUUUAGAUACAGUAAACUCUCCCCAAAAAAAGAAAACCUGUCCAAAAGGAUGCUGUUUUGCUAGUAAUGAAUAUCAAACACAAGAUAAAGAAAAUUGGAAGGUGUAUACAUUGCCACUGUCAUUACCAUGACUACAUCUGAACAAUGUAUAGAGGAGGGUAAAAAAUAACAAAACGAAACAAAACAAAAAAAGAAAAAAGAAAAGCAGAGAGAGUCUUUUGUAAACAACAAACUUUGUUGCUGUGGAACCAAAACAAACAUGCAUGCAUGCCAAAUCCUAGAAAAAUCUAAGAUCAUAUUCUGCUGCUAUGAGCUUUGAGCAGCAGCAGUACCAGGAACCGAAAGAGCUCUCGUCCCGGACCUCGCACUCGCCGACGCACUAACACUGCUACCCCCGCGAUAAACCCGCCGCUGCUGCUGCUGCUGAUCACCACCAAUCUCUCUUUUCUUUCCGCCCGUGUUAACCGCGACGAUGUUACUGCCAUUCGACCCUCCCCUCGAUCUCCUACCACCGCCAUUUACUCUGUUCUCUUGCUCCACCUCCUCCUCUCCGUUUAUCGAUUGCGAAGCCGAGUACUGAUCGGUCGAAUCUACCGAGUUUGGCUCCCACGACGAAGCCGCCCACGGCUGCCCCAACAAGAAGCUGUUGCUCCCCGCGGAUUCUUGCGGCUCCAUCUCCCCUCCUCCUCCUCCUCCUCCCCCCAAGUCCCUCACCGACACAUACUUGUGAAGGCUCGGCUCCAUCAAAUCAUCCUUCACUACGAUCUCCGACUCGAAAAUCGGCUCCCUCGGCACCGAACCCCUCUUUCCGAACCUGCCGUUGAAAGAGCCCUUAUCGUUCUCGGAGGAUGACGAGUUGAGGUCGGCCACGGCUUCGAGGAUCGAGCAGGCCUUCGACACGCAAGCAGGGAGGGAGAAGGCGGUGUUGUUGUGAUGGUGGUGGUAAUUCUGUAUGUCUUCGAGCAGCAAAGAAGUGUAGCCGAGGUUCUGAUCAAAGUCCCGCGAGGAUCGUCUCGACGAUCUGUUCUGCGUCACCGCUCUUGGGUUGAGGGUCUCGAAAGUUACGUUCGUCGUCGAGUGGGCCUCGGCAUUGCUCUUGGAUGAUCCUUUCACCUCUAAUGCUUCUUCGACUAUCUCCGAUUUGCGCAGCGGAACCGUGUUGUUUUCGCUCGAUUUCUACAAUGAACCAGAUCAGAAUUUUUUCUUCAUUUUUUUUUUAAAGCAUGAAUUGGAAAGCAAUUGAAGAGUGAUAUGUGUUUGUUACCUGGGACUCUGUUUGAUUGAGCUUCCUCACUCCAUCAUCCCCCUUUCGGGGGGAUUUCGACACCUUGCAGUUGUUUGCUCUCAGGGAGUUCUCGUCAAUCUCGGCCAUCGGAUUCCUCCGAUACGGCGAUUGCUCCGCCUUGCGCGACGAGCUCCGGCUCAGCGACUGAGGCUGCGCCGGCAGCUGCGGCGCGCGAUUGAGCCCCACAUUCUCGUUUCCUAUUCUGGCGGAAUUCGCCGGAGACUGCGACCGCGGGGACGCGCAUCUCUUUGGCUUCACAGGGGAGGCUCUUUUCACGCCGGCUUCCUUUUCCCUCGCGGGGACCGACACCAACUUCGCCGGCUGCUGCUGAGGCUGCUUCGGCCUCUCCCCGGCCGACGCAGACGAAGCCGGGCAGUCUGAUCUGCGGGACGGAGAUCGGCUCACCCGUCUGCUGCCGCUGCCGCCGCCGCCCCCCGUAGCUCUCUCCCGGCUGCCCGACCGAUCCCUUCCGGGGGUUCGGCGUCGCGGGGAGGGCCGCGAGAGGCGCUUGUCCGGCUCCCCCGCGUCAUCCAAUUCCUCCGGCCCUAAUUUCUUCUCGUGGUCGAAGUCGAAGCUCCGCUUCGACCCCGAAUACCGCCUGUGUCCGGCGGUGUCGGCCGACGGCAAUUUCCCGGAGGAGCUGCGGCUGAGGCGGCCGCACUGGAUCAAGAUCGCGUCGACUUCCUCUUUCGAGCAGCUCGAAGUCCGGACCGCGACCGGCGGCGCUUCGUCGGCCGCGGCGGUCGCCGAAAUAGUGCUGCAGUUGCGCUCAGCUUCCGGCUGGUUCGUCUUCUUCUUCUUCUCUUUCUCUUCAGCAGCUGCCGCCGUCGCCGCCGAUGGCGAGUUUUUGAUGCUCUGCGUGAUCACGAACACCGGCGGCUUCUUCUCCGCCGCCGCGGCAACUGUGGCUGCGGCUUUUCCUGAAAGUGAUUUGGAUGAUGGGAUUGUGGUGGGUUUCAUCUCCUGCUGCUGCUGCUGCUGCUGCUGCUUCUUCUUCUUAUCGUCUAUCUUCUUCUCAACAGCAAUGGGUUUAGAAGAAGAAGGUGAAUUAGGAGGAGGAGGGCUCUUCUUCUUCUUGCUAAAACAAAGGCCCAUUUUUUCUUUUCUUUUUUUUUUUUUUCUGGGGUUUUCAAAUCCACAAGGAAAAGGGAGAGAGAUUCGGGGAGAGGGGGAAGGUAUAGAGGACCAAAAGGUGUGGAUUAGGUGAUAUAUAGUAUUUAUAUAUAGAAACCAAAAACACAAAAAAUAAAAAAAGAAAAAGAAAAAAGAGAGAGAGAGAGAGAGAGGAAAAACAACAAUGCUUCUUUGAAGGGUGCGAGAGCCGAGGAAGAGAGAGAGACGGAGUGUGUUUUUGGACCACACCAACUACUGUUUGAAAAAUAAUCGGAGAGAAGGAUUAGUGGAACGAGCUGAGGAUUUCAAAUUGAUUGGGUAAAAUUUAUGAGUGGUCCCUGGACUAUCAUCAUGUUGUACCUUAGCCAUUAUAAUUUUCACCUGACAUUUUAGGUCCUAAAAAAUUUCUUUUUUUUUUUUUUUUUUUUUUUUUGGGUAAAACGGCAAUUUCAGGCCCCAACUAAAUUUUGAAGACGUUUAUCUGAUAAUAAAAACAUUUUGAAGCAACUCUUUUUUGCUUUUAAAAUUUUUUAAAAAUAAAUUUUUAUCUAUUACUUGUCAGAAUAUAUUAUAAACUAACAAAUUACGACAAUAAAAUUUUUUUUUUCUGGUAGUGGAAUCAGUAUUUAAAAAAUAAAAGAAACUAGCAUCAAUGUCAAAUGAGGCUCAUACCUUUUAGCUUAUUUAAGUGUAACAUAUGUUAAAGUUUAGAAACCAAAGUGAUUAAAUUAAAAAAACUAUGCAUAUAAAAAUAUGCAUAGGGACCAAGUAGUCAUAUUCAGGAUAGUAGAGGGAUUGCACACACAUUUUACCCAUUCAAAUUAGGUGAGGUGAAGUGGGCGGGAUCUCGACUCCCGUGUGUUGCGAGUGCUGUGCACGGAAUCGAGCCGUUGGGGACGCGUCCGUUAUAAAAGAACGCUUGCCCUUUUACUCUGCCAUUUCCUAUUCGUAAAAUUUUAAAUUUGGGCGUUUGAAUCUCCUCCAACGGCUAUCUCCGGAGGAUUCUAUCACUUAUCACCAUCUUCGGCCUUUUUUUGCAUUUAGAUCCUGACAAAUUUUUAUUUUAAAAAUAGUCCUGUCAAAAUUUAAUUUGCAAAAAUAGUUCUGGACCUGCCACGCAGGCGCCACGUCAGCGCCACGCGGGCAGGGCUGGGCCCGUGUGUUAAAUUGAACACGGUGAACCAUUCACCGUGUUCAAACAUGGUGAAUGGUUCACCGUGUUUAGUACGUAUUUUUUGCGUAUUUUUUGUAUAUUGAAAAGUGGAAUAAGGACUCCUUAUUUCACUUUUCAAUAUACAAAAAAUACGAAAGAAACACGGUGAACUAUUCACCGUGUUUAGACACGGUGAAUGAUUCACGGUGUUCAACUUAAUACCCUGGCCCAAGUCUUACCCGCGUGGCGCUGACGUGACACAUACGUGGCAGGGACAGGACCAUUUUUGCAAUUUUAAUUUUGAUAGGACUAUUUUUAAAAUAAAAAUUGCUCAGAGGACUAUUUGCAAAAAAAGCCCCCAUCUUCUGAUCUUAAAAAAAAAAANCUUUGGCUUUUUCUCUGUUUUUUUUUUUUUUUUUUUUUUUUUUUUUCCCUUCCACAGUUCCACGUCGUCAAUCACGUGAAGGGAAUGAAUUGGAAAAAUUUUAGUUCGAUUUCAUAUCGGGGGUGCUAAUUGUUCACGGAGAUCCUCCUAUUAAUUGGAUAUUGUAAAUGGAUUUUGAGCAUUUAUUUUGUUGGAGGUACAGAAUAAAUUGUCACAGUGGCUAUAUGUGGUACACAGGAGGAGAAUUUAUGAUUUUUUGGUGGCCGUUGGAUUUCCAUUCGAUGGUUCUCUGAUGAAACGCCUGAAAUAGUGGCGAUCACGAUUCUUGCGUGAGCUAAAUAUUCCAGGAUCUAGAAUGUAUACAAAGUAUGGAGUCUAUAUCUAGAAUAGGAAAACUCCUAAUAAAAGAAAGAAAAGGGCUAAGGGCUAGAUAGGAGGAUAAUAAUAAAUGUCUUUUCUCUUAUUACGCUUACGACAUUCAAACCACUGGUUGUUGCUUUUCAAAGCACGAAAGUUUUAAAAACCAAACUAAAAAAUUAUUUUGAUCCUAUUUAAAAGUCACAAUAAGUUAUCCAAGACAUUCCGUAUAAAAAUUUUCUAGUGUGAUUGUAAAAAAAAAAUUAAUUAAUUUUUAUUUCUUGAAAGGUUUAAUAUUUAUUAUUUGAUAAAAUAAUAUAUUUUAUUCGCAAGAUGAUUAUAUUAUAGGAAAAAAAUAAUUUGAAGACCGAAUAUAGUAUCCAAUUCUUAACAUUUGAUUUAACUCCUCAUCUAUUAAAUGUACAAGCUUCUCAAGUAAAUUAUAAAAAUAUACCGAAUGAGAUACUUUAUGCAUCCAAACAUAGCAUUGAACACAUUUCUAUAAUUUACUUUGAGAAAAAUAUAAUGUUCGAUAGAUGAGAAGCGUGGUCAAAGAGUUUAAAAUAAUAUCGUAUUCAACAUUCAAUUUUUUUUUUCGGAAUAAAAUAAAUCACCUCGGAGCUGGAAUACACUACUCUACUAAACCUGAAUGGCAUCCGGAAAGGAUCUUCUUACAAUUAAUCUUCUAUUUUCGCAAAAUUAAAAUUGAAAAACGAAAAUUAGGAAAAGGAGGCCACCUUCCUGCUUUAAUUGCUCAUUAUAAAUAUGACAUAAGAGAUUUAGCCUUCCCCUUCUGCCGUCAGCUAAAGUCAAUUUUCAUAAAAAUAUAUGGGAAAACUUUAAAAACCCCCCCUGUAGUUUCGUAGUUUCUCACUUUACCCCCCGUGGUUUGAAAUGUAUCAAUUUACCCCCCUGUGAUUUCUUUUUUCUCUUUUUUUUAUCAAUUUUAUUAUUUUUUUUUUCUUAAAUCAGUGAUAAAGUUAAAAUUAAAAAGUACUAAAGUGAAUAUUUGAUAAAUCUAGAUGGGUAUCUGAAAUUUUUUGUAUAUAAUUUAAUGAAAUAUUAACGAAAAAGCUACCGAAAAGAUAAAAACGAAACCACAUGGGGGCAAUUUGAUACAUUUUAAACCACAGGGGGGCAAAGUGAGAAACUACGAAACCACGGGGAGGUUUUUGAAGUUUUCCCAAAAUAUAUUACAAGAACAGAGAAACUUAAAAACAAAAAGCUUCAAGUGUAACUGAUAGAAGGAAAAGUCACUAUCUGAGGCAAAUUCAAAUAUCCUCUAAUUUUUAUUCCAUUCAAGAUGCAGGAAAAUAAGUGAUCUAUGACAUGAAAUUGAAGAGAAAACAAAAGACCACCUGCUUUGUGAAAGCAUAACAACCCAUUAAUCAUCAAUAGUAGCAGCUAAAUCACAACUGCAAUUGAAGAGUCAUCUUGUGCUAAUAAAUUAAAUCCGGUUAUUAGAUUAGGUUAAGAAGAGGUUUAUCCAUGGGACUGUAACACAACGUGUAAUUGAUCGAGAGUACUAAGUACAAUUUAUCAAGGAUGUAAAGGAUGCACUUUUUCCAAGUCAAUAUUAUCUGAUUUUUGUAACAUAGUGCAUGACUACAUUGCAGAGACAAACUUUAACUUUUCCCCUAAUCAAAAGGACAUAAAACACGUCAUGGUGCUUAAGUUCAAACUAUGUUGAAUAGAUCCGCCAACAAUGAUCUGCAAUUGACUAAACGCUGCUUUCCUAACGGGUCAAUGUACAAAUUGAUUUCAAGCAUGAUUGAGGAAAGCUUGAUUUCGACAAAAAAUCAAAUAUUGACCUGAGAUAAAUCAAAACCUACGGUAAUUGAGCCCUAGAAAUAGUUUCAAAAGGUGCAAGACACAAAACACACAAAUAAGAAAGAUAAGGUGACUACACGUUGGAAGACCUAUAUCACCACUAUAAUAAUUGCAAGUGACAUACCGAAAACAUACUGUUACAGCAGAGUUAUGACAACAAACAAAUCACUCCAGCGAUGCAAAUUGGUACAUCAAUAAUGCCGAAAACUACAAAUUAUGCAACCCCCCAUAAUAACUGGUGUAAACAUCUAAUAUCCCCAUAGAUAGCAUUUCUAAACUUUAUUAACCGAAACUCACUUCUGCAACUCAAAAUCUGCAUCUUUUACAGGCACUUCUAAUCAGGCGCAUAUCUAGAAUCGAAGGGUCAGUCUUUUCAGCCCUAACUACCGGAAAAAGGGAAAAAGGAAAGGAGGGAAAAAAAAAUCAAGCCAAAGUAAUAAAAUCCUGGCAAGUUAUAAAGAUUAAUCAUCUUUGUAAGAACACAUGUUUGCUCAUUUCUUCCAGCAACAUGUAGGUUGUGCAUUCCACUCAAUGACAAAGACCUAUAAAUGGAAAGGAAAACCUACUGCCUAACCGAAAAGAAACAUAGCUAUCUGAAAUAUCGAACUCAAAUCUUCAAAUCUCAACUACAUUGUCUAACCCUCAUGAUCUUCAAGUAGUUAAGAAUUGGCUGUUUUAAUUACAAUCAUCAACUUGGUACAAGCAUCAAUUUCUCAACCUUACCAAAUUUAAGGAUUGAAUGAUCUCCAAUAACAUCAGAAUGCCAAAAAAAAGCUAGAAAUGGCUGCAUACUGAAUGAUUAAAUAGGUUUCAAGGAAUGGAAAUUUUACCCCUCUUGGGAUUAUUGGCCCAGGUCAACAGCAACUAAACAUAUGUCAUAAGGAAUAAGCAAUCCGGUGAUUCAGAAGUAACACAUCAUUCAAGAAGAAAACAAUUGUAACCUGUAUUUAUUUUUAAGUCAGUACAACAAGAAUAAACAACUAGCAAAGCGCUGGCAUCUUUAUGUUUAGAAUUAUGAAUUAUUGCUCUUACUCAAUUUCAGUGCAGUCAAUUGGGACAGCCUUAAUCUUGCUAUUUCAGAUUGUGCGCGAGAUCUACGUUUGUGGUUUUGUAUGACAACACAAAAUAGAUGCAUUUGCUUCUUUCUUCAUUUUUACAGGGAAAAAAAAUUAGUUUGCACACAAACCAACAACUACAAAAAUAGAGAAGCCAUCCCUAUGAGUUUUGUAUGACAAAAUAAAAAAGAUGUAUUUGCUUCUUCAUUUACCCAAAAAAGAAAUUAGUUUGUACACAAACCAACAAUUACAAAAAUAGAGAAGUCAUCCCUAGGCACUUUCAAUUGCAUAAAACUUUACAGAAAACGAAGAAAAACAUAAACAAUGCCAGACACACUUGAAAUCUUAAGAUGCAACAGACUGAACAGAAAAAGAACAAGCAUAAGCAAUAAACCGUAAAGUACAUAAAAAUUCAAUCACGAGCAAAUUUAUCUUCUAAGUUUAAACAGAACAAAGAAUUUUGCAGAAAACACAUCCUAUAAUUUCCAAGCAAGUUUGAGUUUGCACAUAAUUUUGUCAUUUGGACUUGAAUCUGAAAACACAUUGACAAUUUUUCUGUCAUGAGUACGAGGCUAGAGCUGGAAUUUGGCUAUGUCAACUAUGAGUUGGAGAUGGAAUAAACAUUUUCCUAUAAGAAAUAUGGGCUUUAGCCUAAUCCACCUGAUGAGGGGUGUAAGGGCUUUCUUAAAAGCUUAAAAAAAUCUAUUCCAUGUAUAAGAAUUUACUUUAAUACAAAUAAAUUGUUGAGAACUUCUAACAAGGUGGUGGAAUAGAGAUCAUCAGAGGAAAAACAGUAGCCAAUUAUGAAAAAAUUAUAUGCCUAUGAAAAACAAAAAAAAAAAAGCAACUCAUAAAUCUAGUCUACAGGAUUAUAGUUAUAAGAUAAUAAGAAGCCAUGAAAUUUUAAGCUGCCCGAAGAUCACGAAUAAGAUGAAUAAAAGAUGAGACCAUUUCUUUUUCUUUUCUUUUUUUUUUUUAAGAGAGUACUGAGAAGGAAUGUGUGUGUACAGAUCACUCUUGCAGCAUGAAAUUGUGGAUUUACUGGCCAAUAAUGACCAGAAAAACUAUUAACAGAUUUUUCAUUCACACAAUAGUACCUAAAUUACAUUAGUAGGAUGUGCAUGACUACCAUAUUAAAGUAAAAAAGCGAUGGUAAUAAAAAGAACUAUACUAGAUGCUUUGCUGAAUAAUUAGCAGGUCGAAUGAUAGGCUAAGAGGCCCUUGACUACACAAAACAGAGACCCUUUGUUAUCACUAUAAGCAAGCAUAAUACUGUAGUGAGAUAUCAUAUAAUUGUACAAUCUAGACUAUAACAGCAAACAUGGCCCAAAGAAUAAUAAUGUAGUGAUAACACUAAACAAGGAGAAACAAGGUAUCAAGCACAUUAGCAUUGAAAAAAAAAAGAACUCCCCCUGUUAUUCUCAUGAAGAAAUUCGUUAUCUGCAGAUCUGUUGAAACGUAUGCUAUUUCAAUAAAUGAUCAAAGAAAUAGAUAAAUAUAAGUAGAUCUAUAGUCUGAAUGGGACUCAAACUUAAAUUCUUUCCUUAAACUAUUUCCAUUUAACAACUCACUGAAUCCAUUUGCCAAAAAGAAAAUUCUGAAAUAGCAGAAAAAGUGAAAAUUUAUGACUCACACAGUUAGGAAUUAGAACUAAAGCAUAUGGCAUGAACUAAGCUGAUCGAUUCAAAAGUCCAUAGAAAGCAACUUGGCUGGCUCGGAAAUACUAACAUAAACUAGUAGAAGCUUCUUUAUAUUUCCUCAGCUUUUAAAUGCUUGAAUAACAAUAAGCUGCUAUGACAUCACCUCCGUGUAACUAUUGCUUGCAUAUUGAGAAGUCCUUAAUGAAAUUUUGGGAUCAGUUAUACUAACCUAUUAAUCAUGUCAGUUUUAAAUUAGGGAAAAAUUGUUUUUAAACAAAAUGGCAUCAUGUAUUUUUUUUAGUGCUCCUGCAUCAAUAUGAUCUUUCCCUCUCUUUCAGAGUACCAUCUACUUGCUGCAUCGUGUAUUUUUUAGUGCUCCUGCAUCAAUAUGAUCUUUCUCUCCCUUUCAGAGUACCAUCUACUUGUUGUUAGAAACGUGGUCUCUGUUGGAGAUGCCCAAACCAUCUAAAUCGAUUUGAAUGCAACUUAUCUACUACAGAUGCUAUCCUAACUUGUGUCAGAUAAGACAAUCAAACUCUUUAUCCAUCUCACUAUUAUCGUCAUGGCAACUCCCAACUUCAUAAAUUUUUGGUUUCCUAGUUGUAUAACUGACAUAUUAGCAUAUGGCAAAUAUCAUUCUAUAAAUGAUUUUAGCAGCCAAGUAAUAUAACCACAUGGUAGAAGCAUAUACUAUGUAAUCUCUAGUAAUGCUUCUGCCAAUAAUUCAGAUCUAAUAUAUCAAAGCCUUUCAAUCUACUGGCAGAUUAAUUUCUUAAAGUACUAGAGAGCACAAAGGAAAAGUCUAGUUGAUCACUAAUUAGCCUGAGAAUGUGAAAUUCAGAGGGAGUUGUUUUGACGAGUCAAGAACAACACAUCAAAUUUCCAGACGAUUAUGAACUUCCUUUUUAAAUAGAAUCUUGUUUUUGUAUUUUAAGCAGAUAGUGAAUUUAUUAAGCUCAAAAAUAACAUAUGCAAAAUCAUAUCAAAAAGACCACCGUAAGUACUUAUAUAGUUAAGCAAGUACUCAGACCAUUUGUGUUUUAUACAUCUUGAAGUAUAUUUGCAAACUCAUGAUUUCAGAUACUCCAAAGAAGUCAAUAAACCUUAAAGUGCUUAGAUACCAGGCCAAAUACCUAAACAGUUUGUGCUACAUAUAGCUUGAAGCAUCAUUUGCAAAAUCAAGAUUCCGAUGCUCCAAAGAGUCAACAAACUCUAAAUUACUCAUAUACUCACCAAACACCUAUACAAUUUGCGUUUUAUACAGCUCAAAAUAUCAUUUGUCAAGUGAUGAUUCCAAAUACUCCAAGAAGCCAAGGAACCAUUGAACUACUAUAGUGCUAAUAUACUUGACUUCAUACUUCAAUUCCAAGCAAAAAAAACUCUCCAAGUUUAGAAUAAGGGAAUUCCAAUGAGGUUAUGGACUAUAUCAUCUAUCCCAACAAUUUCUUUAUGAUUGUACUGCAUAUUCUAGUUGUUGCAAUUAACCAAACAGAGCCUAAAAUUCACAAAAAUAGCAUCAAAAGAAACACACAGGAGAGCCAAUAAGAGAACUAGCAGGCUUUUUCUUAAAUUUCGCAGCCUAUCAAAUAAUAUACAAGUACAGCGACCAUUUAUUAUGUAAAUAAAAACAGGAUAUGAAUAUGCAGAGGAAGAGGAGGAGGAGGAGCUAGGGUUUGUUCCCCGAUCUCACCGAUACAAACCCCAAAAAGGGCGAUCUCAAUUAGGGCCAUCGGAGGAGGGCACGUACUCGAACUCGUCCUCCCGGAGGUGGGCGAAGAACUUGACGGGCCUAUCCUGGCCGUCGAUUCGGAUCAGGAACUCGACCUUGAAGGGGAGAUUGGCGCUGAUGCGCUUCCCCUUCCACACGCCGACGUACUGCUUGAUCGUCCCCUCCAUCCCGCCCAGAUCCAGAUCCGGCGCCUUCGCCACGUGGUACACCCUGAGCGGCGCCUUCACGCGGAUCCUCCGCCCGAUCUUCGCCGCCGCCGCCGCCUCCUCCUCCGCCACCGCCGCCGCCUCCGACGACGAGACGUCGCUGGUGACGGCGACCUGGCACGCUACGCGCCUUCGAGAAGCGGCGACGCGGGGGAAGGGAGGGAUCGGAGGGCGCCGAAGAGGAGGGUAGCGGCAGAGGAGGACGGAGGAGGAAGCAAGCGCCGCCGCCGCGGCGGCAGCGGCGGCGGCGGCGGUGGUCGCCGGCGUAGGCAUUCUUAUUCCGAUGAAUUUAAUAUGGUUUUUUUGGGAAUUUUUUCUAUUAUUCUCGAUCCGUUUUCGCUAUUUUUUUUAUCAGCGUUGUUGGGGUUUGACGAUGGAUCGGUCGUUGGGAUAGGGCGAAGAAGGGAGGGAAAUAAAAUAAGAAAAGCGCGUUUCUUCUAUUUCGACUUUUUCAUAUAUAUAUCUAUCAGUUUGAUAAUAAAUAUUCCUAAGAAUUUUUCCUUUUUCUUUUUAGAGUUGUUAAUGAGAUUAAAUAGGGCGAAAUAAUAAAUGGGAGUGAGUGGUGAGAGAAGUGGAUAAGGUGGGGAAGGGAAGAGAAAAGAACGAGAGGCGCAUGUAAUUCUGGCACGAGGGGUGAGCACAGACAGAGAGAGAGGAAAAGGAUAAGGAGGGUCUCCAGGCUCACACUGCGUUUGCAAGAAUCAGCCGAGAUAUUGCGUUUUGGAAGAAGCAGCGGUGGAAGAUACUUUGAUGGGGGAUAUGUUUACCGUGCUGGGCACUCCAACUGUCCAACAGCGACUGAGAGGUAUGUUGUGGGUUGGUAUGAUUAUAGGAAAAUUUCAAAAAAUCCUCGUGUGAUUUCGUAGUUUCUCACUUCCCUUGUGGUUUAAAAUGUAUCAAUUUGUCUUCCUGUGAUUUCUUUUUUCUCUUUUUUUAUCAAUUUUAUUAUUUUUUUUUUCUUAAAUCAGUGAUAAAGUUAAAAUUAAAAGGGUACUAAAGUGAAUAUUUGAUAAAUUUAGAUGGGUAUCUGAAGUUUUUUAUAUAUAAUUUAAUAAAAUAUUAACGAAAAAGCUAUCCAAAAGAUAAAAAUAAAACCACAGGAGGGCAAUUUGAUACAUUUUAAACUACAGGGGGGCAAAGUGAGAAACUACGAAACCACAUAGGGGCUUUUGAAGUUUUUCCAUGAUUUAUAUGUGGCCUCGUGGUCUAAAAUACAUAUCCAUAUAAUUAAAAUAUAUAUUAUAUAUAAUUAUACAUAUAUACAUAUAUUUGAGUUUUUCGAGUUUAAUUCGAACGAGUCCAUUAAUAUUCAAGCUUUUAAGAUUUGAAAUUAAUUUUGAUUUUUUUUUUUAUUUUCAAGCUCAUUUAAUUACGAGCCGAGGUUGGGCGAGCCGAAUACUGAACCAAAAGCGGGCCGAACAUGAGCCGGCUCACGCGUUUGCGAGCCCUAACAGCAACUGCCUGGGGAUAUUAGCUUGCCACUUUCUAUUUUGCCUCGAGAGCUCGCAUUGUUCAAAUUAUAACUUGAGCUAUGGGUUGGAUUUAAAAAUUUAGACUCAAGAAGUUCCAGCUUAUUUGGACACGCCCAACUGCCCAAGACUCCAAGCCCAGUCCGAGCCCAACAUCAUUACCCAACUAAUCAUUUAGUUAUAUAUAUUUAUCUGCAUAAAGAAUUAAGGCCAAUUGCAUAAAAAAUCAGCUAGUUUUGGGUUUUUGCAAAAGUGGGUAAUAUUUUUCGUUUUUACAUAUUCGGUCCGAUUUUUCAACAAACUGAUCGAAAUACCCUUGUAACAUUUUCUCUCUCCUUUUUCUUUUCUCUUGUUCUUUUUUUUUUUUUAUUCUCAGAGAGCGGUGGAGGUAGAGACGGAAGCGAAGGUGGCCCGCUUUGGUUUAGUUCAGCACAUCCUUACCCUCAUUCACGCACUCCGUACCUUCCUCGCCUCGUUCCGGACGUCAAAGGCGAGUAUCUGGCAGGGCGCAGGGUCAUUGCGGAUGACCUAGUGGAAGUUUCCGUUCACCAAGGCCCGUCCCGAAGGGCACUUGUUGAUCUCCAAAGGCAGAGAUAAAAAAAAUAAAUAAAAAAUUUUUAAAAUUUUGAAGAACAUAUUAAAUAUUAUCUUAAUAAAAAAAAUAUUUGAAUCUUAUUGGAUACGCAUGGUGUAAUAAUUCCAGAAAGUGCAAAAUUGUCUGAAAUAUCCAAAAAAAAAAAAAAAAAAAUGAAAUACCAAUCUAGAUAUUCAAAACUUAAUCUAUAUUAAAUUAUUUUAAUAAACAUAUAUACAUAUAUUUGAGUUUUUCGAGUCUAAUUCGAGCGAGUCCGAUAAUGUUCAAGAUUGAUUUGAAAUUUAUUUUAUCUUAUUUUAUUUUCUGUUUAAGCUCAUUUAAUUACGAGCCGAGUUCGCAGCGAGCCGAAUACUAAACCAAAAGCGGCCGAAACUCAUCUUCUAGCACUAACAGCGAAAUAAUAUUCAAAAUAAAAUAGUUUACACAUACGGAUGGAAUUGGGACUGGGCCUAACAAAGAUCCAGUCCGAUAGGCCUUGUAUGGGCCGGACUUUGGGUAUUCGAAUUUUUUACUUUAGCUAUGGGUUGGAUUUACAAUUGAGACUCAAAAAGUUCCAUGCCCAAGACUUCAAGCUCAGUCCGAGUCCAACAUCAUUACCAACUAAUCAGGCAUUUAGUUAUAUAUAUUCAUCCACAUAAAGAAUUAAGGAUAUAACAUAUAGUGUAAAUUAUUAUUCUGUAUGCCUUACUAAUUAAAAAUUUUUAAGGUAUCGUUUGGUUCGGGGGUAAGCAAAAAAUAGCUAUUACAGGAAUAGGUAUAAAAUGAGGUAUAAACGGGGAUUAGAUCAAUUUUGCGUUUUGGAUGAAAAUUGAGUUAUUUCUGGAAAUAAAAAAAAUAGCGUUUGGUUAGGUAAGAUGGAAUAAGAAUUAAAGUCGGUAGUUAUAAAUAAAAAAAAAUGAUAUUAUCCCUUUCUUUAUAUUAGAAUUUAAAUUUUUAUAUUUUAUAUUUGUAUUUUGGAAUUUAAAAUAUAAACUUUAAAUUUCAAAAUAUGAAAUUAAAAUUUGAAAUUUAAAAUCUUAAAUUUUAAAUUCAAAAUUUUAAAUUUUAAAUUUAAGAUCAAAUUUAAAUUUGAAAAAUAUAAAAUCAAAUUUUAAAUUAAAAAUUAAAAUAUCAAAUUUAAAUUUAAAUUUAAAAUUUGAAAUUAAAAAUUAUAAACUUUAAUUUUGAGAUUACAAAUUAUAAAUUAAAAAUUAAAUUGUAAAAUUUUAAAAUAAGAACAGGGGUAGGAACAAUUAACAAAAAAAAUUUAUUAUAAAAUUUGUUAUAAUAUUUAAAUAUAAAUAAUAUGUAUUAAUAUAGUACAAUUAAUAAUUUUAUAAUAAAAAUAAUGUAUUAUAAUAUAUAACAUAUUAUAUGUAGUGUCCUUGGAGUACAGUAUUUGAGACUUGUCGACACGUCGGGAGAGUGUCGGGACAAAUCCCAGUUGCGUUAGCGCGAAAUAGACGCAAAACGGACUCAGUGGGACGCAAGAGCAGGAAGUAGCAUUGGAAUCUGUAAAUGGCAGAUUUUUCAGCACUUAGUACCGGUACAAAGGGGUGUACCGGUACCCUAUAUGUUUUCCUGCGCAGACUGCUCUCGGGUUGCCUAUUAUGCUGCGUGGUAUCGGUACAACAUUGAUGUUGUAUCGGUACACCAGGGUAGGUGAGGGGUGUUUUGGUCUUUUGGCUCCUCGUUGUUGUCACCCUCACCUACUCCCUCUAUAUACGUGUAGGGAAGUUGAGAAGCAGAAUUUUGCUGGUUUUCUUCUCCUACUUCACAGUGAAGCUGGGUUUUUCACCUUGGUCCAUUCAACUCUCCAAUUUACACUACUUCAACCUUGAGAUACAGAUUUCCAGCAGCGACCUUCGGCAUUUCGGCUCGUGUGCGACGUAGGAAGGUUGGAUUGCGGUGAAACUUGGUUUGUUGGAUUUUAGACUUCAAGAGAAAUCCAUACAGCUCAAUUUUACUAAUUUUGGUUGAGCUUAGCUUGAUCAAUUCCUCAUUUUACUUUGCUGCUGGCAGCAUUGAGCUGAACAUGAGAUUUUUUGGAUUUUCUUUAUGCUAGCUUUGGAGGAAUUGGAAUUUUGAACCAGAGAUGCAUACUCCAGCUUAGGUUACUAGUUUUGGGACCUACCUUCAUCGGAUUUGAGUACUAGAAGGUAAUUUUGACAUUGAGGUUGGGAUUAAAUUAGCUUAAGAGCUGAAAUUGUUGAUGUAUUGAUAGUUUUUGGUGAAUUUGUAUGUGUAGACCAUUGUGUAGUGUGGUUGCUGGUUUGGAGUGACUUCGGCUGGUCUUGGCAAGGAUUCCGGCGACUUCUCACUCCCGUGGAUUUAGCGCUUAAGGUGGGUUAAUCAUUGGUUUACCUUCUAAGUGUAUAUAUAGUCGACAUGUAUUCAUUGCAUUGUUUUGCAUAUUGUAAUUGCUCGAUUCAUUGAUUUGGUACGAUUAAAAAUUUGAAUUGGAGCCUAGUAUUUAACUAUAUAUUUGUACAUGUUGGACUUGGAUAUGAUUUAGGAAAAAACCCGCGAUUCUACCCUAUCACAUGCUUUAACUAUCUGAUUUAGCUCUAGGAGCCGUGGUUCGUUUAUAUCACCGCAGUAUCAGAGCGGUGGAUACCUAGGGUAGUUUAGAAUGCAUUUACGCUCGUGCUGAGAUGCUGAGCUUAUUUUUACAGCAGUGUCUAGGCUGUUUCGGAUUGUCGUGCCGUUGGAGUUGACGGUGGACCCAGAUUGCCACUUUUGCAUCAGAUUGUGCCGAGGGCACAUGAGUUGAAUUGUUAAACCCUGUUCACAUGACUUUUGCCUGUAAGAGCCUGAUUGAGUUCGAUAGAGAUACGCUUGCAUACUCAGUUGGGUAGCGCCCACGAGUGCCACUCCGGAGUCGGGCUUUGUGCGUUUGCGUUGGUGUCGUUUUGUCCUGAUUGGACUUGCUCUCCACUGAUGACCUGGUUUGGUGUCAAACUGUGUAGCUUCGACAGGCGGGACGGGUGUGUUCACAGUCCCUAGUGAGAUUGGGUCAGGCCUUACUAUUUUCUACAGAUUGUUGGUGUUAGACCGAGAUAGUAUAGGUGCAUAUAGCUGUAGACGUAUUUCAGCUUUCUUUCUAUACUUGUUUACAUCUGUAGACUUAGUGGGUGAGCCGUUGAGGUCGAUAGCGGUACCCACUGAGAACUACUUCUUUUUGCAGUAGUUCUCACGUCCAGUUGUUGGAAUAUUUUGCAGAGCCUUCUUCUUCGGCUGUUGCUGCUGCUGAUUCAAACCAUGGAAAGGGAGUCGCGAGUUAGAUCCCCUCCUAGUUGCUGCUAAGCUAGAAUAUACCAGCUACAGGUAGUGGUAGUUUUUGAGUUCAUAUACAUACUGUCUUGUAUCUCGCUGGAGCGAGCUUUUUGUACACCUGGAUUCGAUGUAUGUAUAGUGAACUUUUAUUUUUUUUAUAUUUUUUUAUUUAUUCUAGCAGCUCUUUACUACUGGCUGUAGUAUUGAAUGAUUAUAGGUACAGCUAUCGCUUCGUAUACAGAGAAAAUUCCUUUGUAUACGGCGGAUUUGUCUGCGUGUCCAGAAAAACGAGUAAUCCGGGGCGUGACAUUAUAUUUAUAUAAUUUAUUUUUAAUUCAAUUUAUAAUUUUAAUUAGGUUUGAAAAUAAGCAUUAGAAUAGCACUAUUCCACUAAAAUGGUGAAAUAGUAAAUCUCAAGCUAUUCUGGGAUAACCGGAAAUAGCAAUAUUUGACCGGGAUAAAAUAUUUCGGUAAAAAAUCAUCUCGUUUGGCGGACUAUCAGGAGUAACUUUCAUUAUCCCUACUUAUCUCUCGAACCAAACGGGGCCUAAAGAAUGAGGAGGGUAUCCGGGCUCACACUGCGUUUGCAAGACUCAGCCCAGAUAUUGCGUUUGGAAAAAGCCGCGGUGGGAGAUACUUUGAUGGGGGAUAUGUUUACUGUGCUAGGCACUCCAACAGCGACUGACGGGUGGAAACGAGCUGAGCUCUAGUGAGCUAAAUUUUGGCCGAAGGUUGGCUUAAAAUUAAUUUCAAAUCUAAAGUUAAAUUAAAAUUUGACUUGAAAUUAAUUCGAGCUUACCUAGAUGGAGCCUAAUUUCGAAUUGAACGAGCUCUAGUCCUAAACAGAACGCUAGAAAUUCCUUCACAUCAUGCAAUCUACAAAAUUUAUUUUUUACACGAUAUUGUUCAGAACUUGACAUAAAAAUAUGUAUACUGUUAAGAAAAAAAAUUAUCUCUAAUCUUAUAACUAAUGUUCAUUUUUAUUUGUGGGUUGAUGUGAUUAUGUAAGAUAUAUAACGGCCUGGUUGUCUAAAAUAUAAAUCAAUACAAUUAAAUUAUUAAUAUAUAUAAUUAAAAUAUAAGGUUAAAUGCAUAUAGAUCUUUACAAAGAUAGUAAAUUGCAAAUAUAUCUGUAGUACACUGAACUUUAGCAAAUUGCGAGGCUCUAGUGUUAGAAUAGUAAUUUGAACUAUUCUAGAUCUUGUAAGGGAUUGUCGAGGGUUUAUCGGCAUGUAACUUGAGUGUUGUAAGUGGCCGGAAGAGUGAUAACUCUAAAAACUUCGAAAUCUUGGUUUUGGCAUUGAGUACCGGUACCCCCAAGCCCGAGUACCGAUACCCAAUACAUCAGAUUGAGUUGGUAAGGGGUGUUAUGGUAAUUUCCUAGCAAGGGUUAUCCUUCUAAGUCUCAGCACGACCCUAGCUGUUGUUCUUAGGUCCAGAAGCUUGGAGAAAUAGGGUAAACUCUGUCCCUUUCUCUCUCUAAAUUCUAGGGCUAUUUGAAGUAGAAAAUUGAGAAUUUGAGCUCUUUUUCUUUCCUUCUCUUGAUGCUAGCUGGUUUGGAAGCUGUGGAGCAGCUUUAGAAGGGUGGAAAGAAGAGUUUGGCAGUGGUUCUUCAACCCUAACUCAGGGAAUAUCUGAGUUGAAGCUUUGGACAGGUAUACUACCUAACAUCUCUCUAGUUUGAGGUAUUAGUAGUAGUAUUGGUGGAGUUCUUUGUGUUAGCUCACAGCAGGUUUGUGAAACCCUUUUGGCCGAGUUUUGGUCAUCCUUAUAGGUUGGAUUUGGUGUGCUCCAACCUAAGUUGAAGUGGAGAUUUAGUCUUGAUUCUAUCCUAGGUGAGAUUCUUGCCUAAACUGGGUUAACUUGUGAAGUUCUUAUGUAAAGGCUUGGUUAAGCUCCUAUCUAAUUUAGAAUAGUUGUUAGGGUGCGUAGAGGCUAGAGAGCACCUUCGCUCGCGAGAUCGACAAGAGUCGACAGCGAUUUGAUGGGUUUGACCUUACCAAAAUGGAUGAAUUCUCCCUAUGUCCUCUUUGAUAUCAUGACAUUGGAAUUCUUGCAUAUUCAUGUGAAUAUAUGUUUGAAUGUCUUGGUGCAUGCAUAACAUGCAUAUUAUGUCGGAUUAAAGGAAACCUCUAUGUAGCGGAGAAAGAAUUAUGAAAUUUGUUUAGCAUGCAUAGAUCGCUUGCUUGUUUAGCAUGCAUUAUAUGAUAGUAGCAUACUUGUGUAGACAAGUUAAAUAUUGCAUCAUUUAAUAGUGAAUGGAUGUAAAGUUAUGAAGAUGAUACCUAGUUUGGAUGAACAACUAAGUAAAUGAGAUAAUAUUGUUCUUAACCUUUGAGUUAAAUUAUGUAAUUUCAUGUUGUAGACAUGACGACAGGACUUCGGUGCAUAUUAUAUUUAACGAGGUUAUACUCCUAUAUUAUGGAAUGAAUGGUUUAGAGAUCAUGUGCAUGAUACCUUACAUGAAUUUUGUAUGUAUGGCUAAGUUGGUUAUGGUAUUCACAUGAUAGAGUUAACAUGAACUUUAUGCUAUUGAAUAUGACCUAAUUAAAUAACUAGAAUUGAACAUGAUGUUAUAGAUUAUGACCUAUGGGUCGUGAGAUGAUAUACUUGUGCAGUCAAGUAGAGGUAAUUGCAUAAUACUUGUUUACUCUCUAUGGGUCGUGAGAUGAUAUACUUGUGUAGUCAAGUAGAGGUAAUUGCAUAAUACUUAUUUACUCCCGAAAAUCCAAACCAUAGACACAUUAAACGUAAAUAUCACGGGCGCGUCUGAGGCGCACGCCUCACUCCUUGAGGCGCCGAGACUCGCGCCUUGCGCCUAGGCGCUGAGGCGCGCGCCUCUGAGGUCCGACUUUUCAAACAUUUUAGAGAAUAGUCUCAAUAGCCAAUAUAAGGCAUGAAGAGCAAGAGGAGUUGCAUUCGAAACUUUAGCAGAUGAACUUGCAUCAAAGGCAAUUGAUUGUGAUAUCAUUAUUUAGAUAAGAAAUGUGCGCAACAAAAUACCUCAAAUAUGGGAGAGAACGAAAGCAGAAGAGCACUUAGAUGUGGAAUCAUUAACAAGAAUAAGAUUACAUUUCUCUAGAUAAGAGAGUGAGUUAAGAUCUCUCUAGUUUUGUGGUCAUCCUGAACUUUUUCUUUUUUAGCUGCUCCAACUUUCAUAAAGAAUGACUUGCAAAUUCUAAGCCUAGAAGAACUCUGACAGUUUUUUUAAAGCAUAUAAAAAAUAUAUUUUCCUUCAUCUUUUAUGGUACUCCUCACACAUUUAUGCUCAAGUUACGAGUCUAACUUUACAAAAAGAAGCUGAAAUUUUAUUCAAGACAAUUAUUAGUGAUAAACCCGAAUAUGAUAAGAAGAGAGCAUAAUUUGAUUUUAUGUGAAAGUCGAAUUUAGUUAGAUGAUGUGUGUGUGUGUGUAAAAAAAGCCUAACGAUCUAACAUGAAAUAAUUGAUUGAAGAAAGUUUCUAAAUCUGAACAAUAUCUAUAAACCCAAUGAUAAUAUUUUAAGUAUUUCAUGCUCAUCACUGGAAUAAUCAUUUGGCAACUAAAAGAUCACUUGUAGAAUUAUACUUUGUAUGAAUGGAAGGAAGGCAAUCCUGACCCAACAAAAAAGACAAAAUUCUCUUCAUUUCUUAUACAAGAUUAGGGGAUAGAAUAGUGCACUAGGAAAUAUUGGGCAUGAAUACAUAAAGUGCACUAGGAAAUAUUGGGCAUGAAUACAUAAAGGUGCAUAAACAUUCAACACUAAAGAGAUUAUAUAAUCAGUCUGUGAUGUUCGUUUUCCAAAUAUACUGCCAUAAGAAUAGAAGUACUUACAUGUUGCUGGCUACCAUUAGCAUGGAAAUAAUGAACAUUGCGGAAAAUAGAAGUCCAAAGAGUUUAUGGGCAAAUGAUGCAAUAAGUAUUCUUCCACAAACCUGAUGAAAGAUAUUAGGAGAAACAAAGUCUGAGAAUAUUAUCUCAUAAAUUUUCUCACGAUGGUCCUGCAUAUUAAAAAUAAAAUUCACAAUCAAAAAUCAUAAAAAUCCAUGCAUGAUGCAAUCAAGCUUGUUUGUACUUGAACUAUUCAAAAGAAAUGCUGAUUAAUGGACUCUUUUAUCAAAAAUAGGAGGUCUGGGAUUUCAUCUGAAGAUACCAUGUAAACUUGGAAUAGUGCCUUUCAAUUUUUUGGUCUCAACUGAAACAGACAGACGUAGAGAACAAUAUUAUCACAAAGAUAGGUUCAAUAUACAUUGAAAGCCUAGAUUUUGUAUUGUUAGGAAUUGGGUUUGUUCACUUUCUUGGCAUUACACAUAAACAUACGAAAUAGACCUUACUCGUGGAAUGACCUUUGGAAAAUAUGUUAGAUCUUCCAUCUUAUCAGGGUUAAAUGCCUGAAUGAAGCGCUAAAAUGCCUUUACAAAGUUCCUAUUAACUUUUAUCCUAGUAAUCAUUUCUUAGUUUGCCCAUGAAUUGUAAACAAUAGAUGAUCAUACUAGUGUAUGUAAUCCAAGUAUUCUAGUCUCCAUACUUUAUUCUUUGAAUAACCAGAUAAUGAAAGAAACUUGUGCCUUGGAAGGUAAGAGAACUCAUUUCACACAUGUCACAUAGAUCUAAUGUACCAGUACAGAAAAAUCAGGUCAGAUGCUUGUUUCCACAAUAGCUGCUCAAGGCUCUAAUAAAGAAAGUCUUAUUAGUCACCAUUGAUGGUACUUAUUGAGUACAUUUUCAUGUCAAUAACAAAGGCAAUGAAAACAGAAAACUCCAGCAGUUAACAAAAUUUCCAUGUAUUAUAUUGAAAAUACCCCUCUUAGAAGGCUAAUAUUGAAAAUACCCUUUCUACGUUUCAACCUAUUUCUAAUAUACCCCUAGAGUUAAAAUAAGUUAAUGAACUCUGUUAUCUCUUUAAAAUUAUAAUUUUUUUCUUUCAAAUAUACCCUUCCACUAUCACUGACUUUCUUAUUUGCCCUUAAAGUCAGGGGCACAAAAAAUGUUUUGACUUUUGGUCUUUUCCAAUAUACCCCUCUACCGUCACCAACAUUUCUUAUUUGCCCGUAAGUUAAGGAUAAAAUUGGCAUUUUAAUUUUUUUUAACUGUGGUAAAUGUUUAACUCACGUUUAACCCAAGUUAACUUAACAAGAGAUAACUGCGGGGGUAUUUUACAAUAACGGUGGAACAUAUGAGGGGUAUUUUAGAAAGAAAAAAAAUGUAGGGGUAAAUCGGAUAUUUUCAAACGUACGAGGGGUACAUAGGCAAUUAUCCCUAUAAUAAAUUAGCAACCCUUGUUACUAAAUAUCAUUACUAAUUAAUAUAUAAUUAUUAAUAUAUCCAUUUUUAUUUAGAAUUAAAAAUUUUAAAAUUAAAGUUUAAAAUUCGAAACAUAUAAUUUUAAAAAUUAAACUUAUAAUUUAAAUUUUAAAAUUUUAAAUUUAUUUUAAAUUUUAAAUUUCAAAUUUAAAACUAUUAAUUUUGAAGCUUAAAAUUUUAUAUUUCAAAAUUAAAAAUUUAAAUUUAGUAUCUAAAUUUAAAAUUUAAAAUUUAAA